UAAAUUUCAACCAUGUGCAUAUGUUAUUUCUAGCUGGAAGCCUCUGGAGUUGGGCGGACCAGGUUCAAGUUCACUCUGGCUGUGCGCAUUCGUCACGUAUUUUGAUUGAGAUGAUGAGAUGGAGGAUCUGAUACAGUUGCAUUGUGUGGAAGCAAUUUUUGUAAGGCCUGAACUUCGUGUUAAUAAUCUGCUAUAUCCGACCAUAUCCCUUCGGCGUUUGUUGGGUAAAUAAUGGUCCCUAGGCGGCCAAACUAGACUUUGAAUGGACUUCAAUAUAUACGUAGAUUAUUAGCCUAGCCUUCUGUCCAUGUCCCCUUUUUUCACUUCCACGUAUUUGUUUUUUUUUUCGUUUCUCACUUCUGAUUGAAAUUUUGCGGUGGAAUGGUUUAUAUACUUCCAUUGGUCCUAUGUGUUCUUUUGAUUUGAAAAAUUCUUGUAUCUGGAAAGUAAAGAACUCUCGUUCGCUGUAAAAUUGUUCAAAACAUGUGAGUAGCAAAAGGGUGGUCAACGGCGAUUAUUCAAGGAAGGUCAUUAUGCGUGGGCGUGGGUCCAUGGCGUGAAGGCGGGGGAUUCGCAGUGGUCGCCGUCACGUCUCCGGCGAGGUCGCCUUCUACAUUUAGGGCCUUCCGUUCCGUGUGGAAUUGGCAAGUCUCCUCGCCGUACAGCAAGAAGUACGUACUAAAUACUCGUUUGUGAUCUGAGGCCUGACCGCGUAUUUAGCCGCCUCCCCGGCUACAGAAACGAAACGGAGCAAGAGAAGAGAAAGAGAGUCUCCACACGCGCGACGUGAGUGGAACGUGCCACGCCCACGCGGUCGUCGGCUGGAGACGCCCCACUGAUUACGCGAGCCCCAAGGCCCCGACCCACCCCACCAGCACAGCGCCCUCGCCGCCCGCCGCUCACCUGCCCCGCGCCCCUCCGGCCGUAUAAAUACAAGGCGCCCGUGGCGGAGAUGGGCACCGCUUUUUCCUCCUCCUCUUCCACCCCAGAGUCCAGAGCUAUGGCGCUCGCCAAGGCCAAGGAGAUCGUCGCCUCCGCUUCCGUCGUCGUCUUCAGGUCUGCCUCUCCGACUCAUCUCCCCUCUCUCCAUCUCACCGAUCGCUCCUGCCAUGAACAGACGCCGCUGAACUCGACUUGGAAAUUCGGUCUGUGAUAAGAACUGAAAAGGGGGCGCGGAUGAUCAGGAAUAGAUCCCACACUAGUUCCGCAUCUUAUCCUUGGUCUUCUUUCCCCAUCCCCUAUGAGUAGAGCAUAUUCGUUCUUGUUUUUUAUUCCCUGUUCUUUUUAAAUUCUUUUCCGGUGGAGGAAGAAAGCUGCCUUAAAUAUAUCUAAUUAGAAGAACUGUACCCAAAUCCUAUUGGCUUGUUUGAAUUCCGGAUGCGCCACGGCCUUGAAAUUAAGGAUCCUCGGACCUCUUGCAAGGGAUUGGGACGUUGUUAGGGGAUCUACUAGCUAGGUUUAUGUUGCGUCUUAAAUAUUUGGUCCAACUACUACUGUUUGUACCUGUUCCGAUGAUGAUGAGCUUAACUACUACUCCAUCCAUUCCAAAGUAAAUUAAGUCUGGUGGUUUUGGUUCAAGUUUUAUGUCGCGUUCUAAAUAUUUCGUCCAACUACUGUUUGUACCUGUUCCGAUCAAAUAUGUAGUAGUAGUACUGUAUUUGUAACGACAUGUUUGAUGCCCAAUGCUACAUGCCCUGUUGACGCUAACUCUGAUUCAUCUGAUUCUUUGGGCUAUCUGCAGCAAGUCUUACUGCCCUUUCUGUGUUCAAGUGAAGAAGUUGCUCACGCAGCUUGGAGCAAGUUUCAAGGCCGUUGAGAUGGACACUGAAAGUAAGUAGAAUUGUCCUGUCUCUUGGUUAUUUAAAUUUCACUUAAGUAGACUGUAUGCACCUAAGUUUCACGGCCACGGGCUCCCAACAAUUUUUUAGAUGAAUAAUAACCUUAAGUUUCCUGCAUCCGGAUGUUGCUUUGUACUGUUGCGUUGAAAUAGUGUCCUUGUUGGGUUUAUAAGAGCUUAAUGCAGGUUAUUUUCCUGCAUUUGGAUUGCCCUGUGUACUGUUUUGUUGAAAUACUAUGCGUAUUGGGUUUAUGAGCUUUCAUACUGCUGUGGCCUGGAAAAGAAUUUAAUAUGACAGCACAAUUUUUGGAAAAGAUUUCAGUAAGCUCACUACGUAAUGAUGUGAGUGUGAUAUCAAAUCUCUUGGUAGCUUUGAUGAUUGGUUAGACACAUUAAGAAGCAAUUGAGUUUUCUGUUAACAAAGAAGCAAUUGAGGUCCCAAGGAUCCAACAAUGAAUCACUAUGUAGGGGCAGCUCUUUUGGCAGCUUAAAAAAUAAGCCACCUUCUUCCUAGUUUUUCCUAUAAGCCUUCUCUCUUAUUCAUCGGGGCUUCUAAAUUAGUUAUGGGAUAAAUAAUUUAGAAGUCUCAACAAAUUUUAUGUGCGGCUUAUUUUAUAAGCUGGGGAGAGGCAGCUUAUUUUUUAAGCCGCCUAAAAGAACUAGACCGUAAUGAAAGUGAUAUCAUCAGAACCUCAGAGUAGUUAGUCUUCUUUUUAGUGUUUACAUGCUAUGAGCAAAACACGUUUCUUUUAGAUUCUGCUCCCAGUCGUACUACGCUACUACUCAUCUACGCUCGUGAUAAACAAUCAAGCAUGUUCUAAGUUCUAAUUGCAUCAUGUAUUGGCUCUGCAUUGGGAUGAUCGGCACAGGACUUGGGAGAAACCUUAUUCAACUAACCCAUGUUAUCUUUUAUGAAGGCGAUGGAACUGAGAUUCAGUCAGCUCUUGCUGAAUGGACUGGGCAGAGGACUGUUCCCAAUGUCUUCAUCAAUGGAAAACACAUCGGUGGCUGUGACGGUGAGCUGAUUUGCUCCCUACAACCAUGUUAAACUGUUGAUUGUAGUUAUGGUUCUAUGAACAAGCAGCAAAUUCCAUUGUGCGAGGCUUUGCUUUCUUGCAAUUGGAUUACUUUCUGAUAGUUACUUCCAUGUCAAUGUCUUCUGUGGCAGAUACUAUUGCACUGAACAAGGGAGGGAAGCUGGUUGCUCUGCUGACAGAGGCUGGAGCGAUCUCCGGUUCUUCUUCGAAGACCACCGUCACUGCUUAGCUUUGUUUGCGAGUUGUUGUGAUCGACAUGUUAGUGUGUUACAUGAGUUGCAUUGUUCCCGUGUCAUGAAAUAACGAAGUUGGAUGUGUUUGGCAAGUUCAGGGCUUGUUGCUGUCUAGCAUGUCCGCAGCGACUGUUAAAUCUCAGUGUAAAACUCGUUAGAAAUAAAGCAAAUUAUUUUGGUGAUAUCAUCAAACCCCAAAUUACUGUCGUUCGUUUGCAUAUAUACAUGUCACUCUUUAUUGUUUCCCUGCUGAAAGGGAACCGUAGACGUUUAAGGCAGAAUUCAGUUUCAUGACAGAAUCUGCAGACCAAUUUUUCUACCGCCGGUAACCAAGCAUUUUCAGGCACAGCUUGUACACCACCAGCUCCUCGUCUUCGUCCAUUGGUGCCUUCGCUGCGGGCAGCUCGCCGUGCGGGAAGUCCUUCCCGAACCCGUACUCCUCCAUCCACCACUCCGUCCGAGACACCCGCCUCACCGUCACGUCGUCUUCCCGGUACAAGAACACGCGGCGGUACCCUAUGUCCCCGCCAUUGCCGUUCACGACGCGGCCUUCGCGCACCGGCACGUACGCCCCUGGCCCUGCCCUCCGCGGGCGCGCUUUGUCCUCGUCGUUCUCCUCUAGCUCGCGCCGGCGCUGAUGCGCGGCGAAGAACCACUCGCACCGGUCGUUGGCCGCCGGGAACGCCACCGUGAGCACCGCCGGGUGCGCGGCAAAGACGUCGGGCACGGCGUACAAUCUGCAGCGCCGUGGGUCACCCAGGUUGAGGCUGUCGAGGUAGAGCUGGACGAGCACCUGCGGCUUAUUCAUGUCUUGGUGGUGCGCGGGGGACGCGGGCUGGUGGACGCCGAGCAUCGUAUGGACGACCCCGCCACGCGCCGGGUAGAGCUUGCAGACCACCAUGUCGAAGGCAGCGGCGGCAGAGCGGCAGUCGCCGUACUCGUCCAUGCGCCACUCGGUCUCCCUGGUCGAGGCCGAGCCAACCUCGGCCUCGUCCUCGUAGUAGCGGAAGGCGUGGCAGUAGGCGGCGCCGCCGAGCAGCCUGGCCUCGCUGCCGAGGCGGUACGCGCCGGGCCCGGCCCUGCGCCGCCCGCCCUGGCAUUGCGCGCGGCACACGAAGAAGAACCACUCGGGCCGGCCGUUGGCCGGCGGGUACACGGCGGCGAGGAAGCCGGGGUGCGCGCCGUAGACGUCGGCGUCGUGGAUCUGCCGGGGCAGGCCGUCGCAGAGCAGGGCGCGGCGCAGGGGCAGGUACCGGGCGACGAUGGCGUCCAGGGCCGGGUCGAACGCUUCGUCGGGGGAGGCGUUGACGGCGUCCGUCGCCGUGGCGCGCGGCGGCGGGGGCCUGGGAGGCUUGCCCGAGUUGGGCGGCGCCGGGGGCAGGACGAUCCAGCCGUCGUCGGUCUCCUCCUCCAGGUCGCGGAGGGCGGAGGAAGCCGCCGUGGUGGCCUCCGGCGCAGGCUUCUUCCUGGCCGGCGAGGGUUUAAGGGCGGGCCAGUACAUGUUUGUGUGCCGCACGCUACCGUUCCGCGCGAUGGAUCGGUCGAUCCUCCAAGGGUGCACGCAAGAUCGUUUAUGUCAACGCGAAGCGCGCGGUUCAGGUUCCCGAGGCCGACCGCCCCAACGGGUGAACUUGACGUGGAGGUCGAGCCGGCCGGUCGAAUCAUGGAUCGGAACGGAAUCCGAAGCGAAGUACGGCUGGACGCGGGGUAAAUCUCGCCUUUUAAAGGAAAAAUCUCGUUGCCAGUUUUUAUUUUUUUAAUUUAAAGGGAAAGCAGGAUAAAUGAAUUUCAAACAAUAAUUAGAAAAAAAAAGGUUAUAUAGGGAUACCAAUAUGCCUUCCGGCGGAUUUACGAGCCGAUUUUUUUUUGAGAAAAACGAGCCGAAUAUAUUUUGACCCUUGUCAAGGGGUCUAUGUGCAUGCAUGUAAGGCCUAUCCUUUUCUACCUAGAGAAGCGACUUGCCAGUGCAGGUUGAGAUGGACUCUCUAAUGGCAGUAAAAUUGAUUCAAGCUUCAGAUGUUGACAGAUCGGUUUACUCGUCCAUCAUCAAGGAGAUUACUUAGAUAUCUUCUGUCUUUUCGUGAUUUUUGUAUUACUCAUGUAAAUCGUAGCCAAAAUAAAGUUAGUGAUAGUUUAGCAUAGGGUGUGUCUAGGACACAUCUAGAUGUGCCCUAAUUAUUCCACAUCUAAGUGAGUGAAUCAAGCAUAAGGAGAAAAGGAUAAAAGAGAAAGAAAAUAUUCACACGAAUCUUAAUGUAAGAUCAAUGACAUAUGACUUAGAUGUGCAAUACUUAUGGCACAUCUAGAUGUGCUUUAGCAAAACUGUUUAGCAUAUUUUGCUCGUAGCGAGGGUAGAACCAUGACUUGGCUUGGUUCGGGACCUUGAUGCUUUGAAUUUGGCUGCGAUGGAUUGUAAGGACUUGAGGUUUUGAGUUAUACAAAUUUCUACCUGAAAAAAAAAAGAACUUCUAGCUAGUCGAUGGGCCUCCCAAUUCAAGCUUCUGGAUUUCUUGAGAAGACCUGAUUUCUUCAAAAUUCGCUGAUCUAACCUUGAUCGACAACAUACACAAACCCGUAGGUGCUCAUGGAUUGCUGUUUUUUUUGAACACGUGCUCAUGGAUUGUUGUGAACAUUAUUUGAAAUAUGUUUUUUUGUAAAUCAACGUUUCAUGAAAACAUAAACAUUUGUUUUCAAAUUUAUGAACAUUUAUACAAUCUGUAAACAUUUUUGUAUCACUAUUUAGUUAAAAAUAAAAUAAAAUAAAUUUUUAAAAAAUAAAAUAUAAUAAAACAAAGAAACCAAAAAAUCUAGUAAAAAACAAAAAUAGAAAACCAGUUCAGAGGAACCUUUUAGAAAGUUCCCAUACUUAUCCGGUAGAAAGCCGGGUUGAUAACAUUCAGAAGGUUUCCAAAACCAGAACCAGAGUCCAAUAUACAAACCGUAAAAGGGGCCGGCCCAGUGCGCUUGCUCCUGUGCGGAAAGACAACCAUUUGACGCAAAGAGCGGAGAGCACCUAACUAACGCCUGAUCCUAAAAAAAGCGAGAAAAACCCCUUUUUUAGUUGAAUCGAGAAAAAGACCUAAGCAACGCCUUUUUUUAGCAUCAGUACAGACACAAGUGCUCAUAUACACACGCAUACACUCAUCCCUAUGAACGCACACACGCACACCCUACCCCUAUAAGCACCUCCGAGAGACUGAGCCGGCAUAUCAUCUUGAGAUUUACAAAGUCACCGUAGGUGCCUCGUCCUCGACGGGAACGUCUCCUCCCACUAAAAGCGCAUCACCGGACUGAAAUAAAUCCAGGAAUAAUGCGAGCACCAGGAUUUGAACCCUUGUUACGGCAUAUAUCUCUCUCAAGGUAGUUUUGGUGAUUGAUGACAACAUGUUUGCGGACUAAUCUUGUGCUUUGAAUAGUUCACAGAUUCACCCCUGGCAUGAGACGUUUUCUUCCCUUCGAAGUGUCUUUCAAGACGGUGUAGCUCUUUCGUUUCUCUCUUGGUAGACUAGUUGCGUAGAGGGCACCGUACUAUCAAGAGGGGGUCCGCUGGGGUAUUGCAUGGGUGGAAUCAACACGUACACAUCAGCUUCUCACCCUCCGAGCUUUUCCAUUGCAUUGUAGAGAUCUCUCCACUUUUCUGUCUUGUCUGGGUCCCAGCGGUAGUACCGCGCAACCCAGCCAUAGUACCGCUGAGGAGCCACAAGCGGCAGUACGGCUCCACAACGGUAGUACCGCCCAUGACUCCACAGCAGUAGUACCGCUGGGGUACCUGGCACCACCGCCCUCAGCCUCUUUGGAGAGAUUCUCUCUCUCUCUUCCUGUCCCAGCGGUAGUACCGUACUACCAUCGAUAGUACGGCCGAAGGGUCACAAGCGGUAGUUCUGCUCUGUAGCGGUAGUACCGCCCGUGACCCCGCUGCCUUAGUACCGCUGGGCAGUCUGGCUCCUACCGCCUCGACUCGAGGGCUCUUUUUCUCGUGUCGGGUUUUGCGGCACUAGUUGCGGUUGUAGAGGCGGUAGUACCGUUUCAGGAGCGGUAGUACCGCCCCUAUCACCGCGGUAGUACGGCGUUGGGUCCUUUUCCCUACUAGUCUCCUUGACGCGGCAGUGCCGCUGGCUGGUGCGGCAGUAUCGCUGACCUAGCGGUAGUACCGCCCCCUCUUAGCGGUAGUACCGCCCUGUGCGGGGCUGGUUGGUGAGGGGCAACGGUUGGAUUGUUGCCCCCACUAUAAAAGGGGGUCCUCUUCUUCCCUUUGACCUACCUCUUCCCCCUCAAGCUCCAUUAAAUGCUCCAAGCUCCAUUUUCGCUCGAUCUAUCUCUCUAGCCAAUCAAACUUGUUGAUUUGCUCGGGAGUGGUUGAGAAGGCCCCGAUCUACACUUCCACCAAGGGAUUUUCUGUUCCCCCACUCAUCCCUAGCGGAUCUUGUUACUCUUGGGUGUUUGAGCACCCUAGACAGUUGAGGUCACCACAGAGCCAUAGUCCAUUGUGGUGAAGCUUCGUGGUUUUGUUGGGAGCCUCCGAUUAAGUUUUGGAGAUUGCCCCAACCUUGUUUGUAAAGGUUCGGUUGGCGCCUUCAAGGGCACCAAUAGUGGAAUUACGACAUCUCGCAUUGUGUGAGGGCGUGAGGAGAAUACGGUGGCCCUAGUGGCUUCUUGGGGAGCAUUGUGCCUCCACACCGCUCUAACGGAGACGUACUUCCCCUCAAAAGGAAGGAACUUCGGUAACACAUCCUCGUCUUCACCAGAUCCACUCUUGGUUAUCUCUUACCUUUACUUGUGCAAGCUCUUUAGUGUUACUUCUCUUGCUUGCUUGUAUGCUUGUUGUUAUUGCAUCAUAUAGGUUGCUCACCUAGUUGCACAUCUAGACAACCUACUUUGAUGCAAAGUUUAAUUUGAUAAAGAAAAGUAAAAAAUUGGUAGUUGCCUAUUCACCCCCCUCUAGUCAACCAUAUCGAUCCUUUCAACCCUGAUGGGUUGGGAUACCACUGUCCACCUAACCAUCUCAACCACAGGUUGGUUCGCACCUAAGCAACGCCUUAAGCGCCACCGCGCGCAUGGUGGGCCGGCCCAGCUACGCCUGGAUGACAGGUGGACCUUGGAUGGGUUGCCAGCUGGAUCGGUUGACCGUUGACUUUUAAAAAUGAUUUGAAAAACCGUAAAAUUUAUAAAAAAACCAAAUUUUGAAAAACAUUAGUGGAAAAAAAGAUCAGAAAUUUCCAAAAAUAAAAAAUAAAAAAUUUGAGAAAAGUUCAUUGAUUUUAAUAAAAAAUAGCAGAUUUUGGAAAAGGAGUUUGCAAAAUUUUAAAAAUUGAAUAGGAAGUGUUCAUGCAUUUUUAUUUUAGAAAAUCACGGAUUGAAAAAAAAUCACAAAUUUAAAAAUCUGUUUUUUGGUUUUGAACAGUUCCUAAUUUUAAAAAAGUUCACAAUUUGAAAAUGUACGAAGAAAUUGAAAAGAAGCUGUUAAAUUUGAAAAAGUUCACAUAUUUGAGAAAUCACGCAUUUUAGAAAAAGGAAGAAAAAAAUCAAAUAAAAAGAUAAACGAAUUUGAAAUAUGUUCACGAAUUUAGAAAAGCCCAUGAUUUGGAGAAAUAAGUUGCAAAUUUUUAAAAGGAAUAAAAAAGGAAAUGAAAAUGAAAAAGAACAAAGAAAGCCAUACAUAAUUCUCCAUGAAAAAAACCCAGGGGGAAAUCGCUCCAGAAAUAGCUCGGUAGGCCCAGUCAUAUUCCUGCAUCAUCUUUCUCUUAAGGUACCUAUGGUUAGCCUCUAUAUUAAUACUCCAGCCUUUUGUAGCUUUCCUAAGACUUCUCAUCUUGGUAUGCCAAAUAUCUAUUGUAUUCCUACCCUUAGCAGGCCUAGUCCAAGCAUUUACUACAACUACUCUAAAAUCACUUCUUAGCAACCACCAUUUCUCAAACUUAAAACUAGAGCUUCUGGAUUUUCGAUCCAUACCAGAAUCCCAUAAGAUGGUGGUAUGGUCACUACCCAGCCUAGGGAGAUCCUGAAUGGUUGGUAAUGGGAAAAUCAGAUUCAAGUUAGUUGAGGAGAACACCCUAUCAAUGAUGGCCAUGACAAGAUCACUCCGGUUGGUGGACCAAGGGAAUAACCUAUUGCCCAUCUUGAUCCCUAACAAACUCCAAAUCCCCACCCCAAGCAUAAAAAGGGCCACACCACUUGUGAUCUACAUUACAAUUUUCUUAUCAGAGCUAUACCUAACUAAAUUUAAAUCUACCUCAACCAAAGUUGGGAUAGAGUAGUCUACAAACAAAGAGUCUAACUGAGAGAGAAAGGCUUCCUUCCUAGAUUCAUAAGCAGAUCCACAGACUACCACUAUCCUAAAAGCAAAGGCAUUAGCCCUGGACUAAACAAAACAUGAAACAAAAAACAUUUUUAUCUGCCAUGUGAAUGUCCUUUUCUUCAAAAAAUUAGUGUUUUAGAAUACUUCCAUCAAUUAGUCAAUGUGCAAACUAACUUAACUAACUAAAGUAUGUGAUGUCGGGAUGGUACGAGCAAGUGCCCGAGAGGAUGUUUGCAAACUAUAUAAGCUAGGUUACACAUUUCAUCUACUAUGGAAUAUCAAAGCAAGCUUUCUACUUAAAUUGUUAUGAGUCGUGAACUAAUGAUCGAGCUACCUAUGCUGAUGCUUUGAAUCUAUAUUCAGAGCUUUUUUCCAACUACCGGAAAAUUUGAACGGUAUAUACGCCAUUAACAUGCCUAUGCUUAUAUAUGUCGGCCAAAUCAGACUUUGAAAUAACUACCACGGACUAGACAAUUCAUGUGAUAAUGGGAUUGGUUAAGGAAGACUUAAGACGGCAGAACUCGGAGUCACAUUGAUUAGUGUGGAGUCACUCCCUCUUGAAUGAUGGCAUGCCCUAGGUUCACAUUAUCAUAUAUGACCCUAGCACAUGCAUGCAUGCAUGGACUACCGAAGAUACCAUUUUCCCUCAGAAAGGAAAACAGAUACCAUCUUUUUUAUAUAUAAUAUGUUUUUAAAUAUAUAUGCAACUAAAUUUUGUAAGAAUCGAUUAACAAAAUUGCAUUGCUUUUUCUACAUCGGUUGAGCUAUAAUGGCCCCCUUAGUUAAUUUUAAUAGAGAUGGAUUUUAUUAAUAUUGAGUGGACCGAGAAUAUUGCCAACUCGUGGACCAAGCACAAAAAAAGGAGUGGGAUUUUAGGCUUGAAUAUGGGCAAUUCAGUUCGGUUGCAUUGUACCCUUAGGGCAUGAUGCUGCACAUCGCCUUCCUUCCUCGCCUUUCCUCUCCUCCUUCCUCCUAUAGUGACUAGCGCACCCGUCAACCCCAUGACACUGGCCCCCUUGUUUUUUUGCUCCAGCCGCCCACCGUAAACCAUAACUGCUUAGAUAUGACAAACCACCACUACCGCCAAACCCCCAUCAAGCAGUUCUCCAAGCCUAGAUGGAAGCUCAUUAUUCAUUGCCAUCACUGGUUAGCUACCCGCCUUCACCAUCAAGAUCAACAUUGACCUCACCUCGCCGGCCGGUCAGCGUCUCAUGUCCUCCUCCUUCCUCUUCCUCAUAUCAGGAUAUUAGGGGCUGUUUGGUUAGCGCCCAGGACUGCCCUGCCAAAUCAAGGGCGUGCCAAUUUUUUGGCGUACGAUUCUGCCGCCGCUGCCAAGCCAAAGCAUGGGCGCAAAAAGUAAAGAGGAGGUGUACUAGCGACCAAAGAAUUGGCAGGGUAAGAAAGCGCUGGCACCAAUCCAAACGCCCUCCUAGCUUGGUGGUCAACGCCAAAAUAUUGGCAUGGCAGCGCUCGGCUGCCAUCCAAACAGACCCUUAGACAAGCUAUGAGGCCUUUGUUCUAUAAGUUUAGUCUUUCAUGAUUAUUUUCUCUAGGCCUUGCGCAAUAAAGGCUGAUGCGGAUCUUUCAGCCAUGUGAUCAAGAUUCUAAGGCUGGUAGCGUUGAUUAUGUAGUUGAGUAAUGCUCAGUUUGCGAUUGUUGAAUUGUCGAAUUAUGUUGUGCUAAACCUACUUCAUAGUCUGGUGUAAAAAUAAAUGGGAGUGUCUAUUUAGCAUUUGACUGUUUUACAAUUGGAGAACAUUCAAAUUUUCUGACUAAUAAGCAGAUGUCACUUAUAUGUCCAAAACCUACCCCACCAACGUUGUAUGUAGCUCUAUUUCAAAAAUAAAACGGGUCAGGAAAUAAACCCGAUUCAACUAAACCUGGACCACAACCCAGUUUCACAAAAACAGAAAAGGAGGGUCCACAAAACACACCGAACAGCUGCCAUUCACCAAUUCUUGACCCCCUUCACCAGUUUCACCACUUCUUCACCCCCUUCAGGCCUUCACCACGCUUGACCUAUUACAUGAUAAAAACAACUUUAAAAAGAACCAUCAGAGAAACUAGUUACAAAGAAAUUCCAGAGACAGCAGGAGACUCCGGAAUGUGUGAUAGCUAGCGAUUGUAAAACUCUAGAAAUACAAAAUUUUUGCUGUCUUAUGUCAAAAAUUACAAUAGCAAAGGCAUGGAAAUUACACUACAACCCUGAAAAAAACAUAUAGUGGAUUUACACUGUAAAAUACAAAGGAACUCACAAGGAUUUACAAUCGUAUUACUCAUAAAGUUACACUGUAAACACCCACGAAUUAUAGUCAUAUAUCCCACGAAUUACACUGGAAAUCCCCUAGAAUUGUACUGUUAUUAUCAGGUAUUUGCACUUGUAAAAACUGAUGAACUUACACUGUAAGUACUAAGUACCCAUGUCAUACUACAAGGUAAAUCGGUAGUAAAAUCCACUGUAAUAUAUUUGACAUAAACCUACAAUAAUUACAGUGCUAAAGCAUUGAAAUUACAGUGUAAAUCUGCAGUAAAAUUCACUGUAAUCCAUCUGACAUAAACCUACAACAAUUAUAGUGCCGAGGCAUUCAAAUUACAGUGUAAAUCUGUAGUAAAAUACAGUGUAAGCCAUACAACAAUUCAUUACUGAAGCUAACUGAAGAAUACCAAGAAUCUGCUGUAAAUCACUGUAAUAUAUAUGAAACAUAUAACAAUUACAGACUUGUAGCGUAUAAAUUACAUAGAAAAUCUUUGAUAAAUUACAGUGAUGAAGCAACUGAAAGUAAUCUAUAAAACAAAAAAACCAAAAGCCCUACAACAAUUACAGCACUUAACCAUGCAAAUUACAGUAUAAAACUACUAAAUAAUAAAGUGUAACCAUGCAACAAUUACAGUCCUAAAGCAUAAAAACAGUGAAAAUCUGGGGUAAAUUACACUGUAAAUUUGGAGUCGGAAAAUUACAGUGCAAUUUUACGCAUAUUACAGUGCAGAUCUGAGCUAAAUUACACUAUAACUCUAGGGUAUAUUGCGCUGUAAUAACAAUAAAGAAGCAUAUGCAUUACACUCAAAUUCUGAUAAGAUUACACUGUGAUUCUUGCUAAUACUGCAACAACACUACAGGCCUACAUCAGCACUACAGACCUAGUACACACAAAUUCAGAGAAAUUUUGGGGUAUAUUAGCAUGAAACCAUGGAAACUAAACACCUACAUCUGACAACAAAAAUCAAGAGGGAUUCAGGGACUACAAGAGCUAACAUGAGCAGGAAAAUGAAACAAAUAACACCUACAUCUACAUAGCAAAGGGUCAGCCAAAAUCAAACUACAAAUGACAAACUACAUCUACAUCGCAUAAGCCAGCAGGAUCCUAAGCCAGACCAUGUACAACUACAUCUACAUACAAAAAAUGCAUGCGGAUUAGACACCCUGGCCACCAGAAAACAGGGGAAUCCAGCGCUACAACUACAAAAUCGCCUACCUCUACGGCUCUUCAUCUACAGUAGAACAAACAAAUUAGCAGGGAGGAGCGACCACAACCAUCAGAUGACCUAGAACACCCACCUACCAGUGGCUACACCAAUGACUAACAACACAAAACACACAUCUUAGGCAGGCAGGAGGGGAGCAAAAUGGUGGACUACAACAACACGGCAGCAUGCACCUAUAAUAGAAAUCACAUAGCACACAAAACCAACAACAACGCAUAAAAAACGACUACCAACAAAUCGACAGCCCUAGAUCUGGAAGCUACACGAACAGAGACAGGGCAAAUCGAAUGCGAGAAAGAGGGAGAGAGAGGAAGACCCAACCGGGGGAGACGAGAAUCAAAGGGAAAAUCAAAUUCGAGCAGAGAGGCGGCUCGGAAACGCCAUGAACCCGACGGAAUGGCCUCCUGUCCUCCGCCGCACAAGCGCCUCCUCUCUGCCCCUCUGCCUCAUCGAAACAAUGCCACCUAAAAUGAAAUAGGGAAAAAUUGGGGGGAAAUGAAAAGGAACCGAGAGACCCCGAGGGCGCUAACGGGCUAGCCCAAAAUAAUAACGCACCCUACAAAGGAACCCACGCCUGAAAAUCAGAGUUCUCAGCGUGAAUCUUAGUGCGAGAUCAGACGGACAAGAAAUUGAAUGACAACGAAUUGAAAAACAGUCGACUGUAAAAUAGCAAAACCGAAAAUAAAACCAUGCGAAGUAGCCAAAACUGAAAAAGCCGGUUAGAGCACCGAGCAUCGCUCGGUUGGCUAGCUGGGCGAGUGCACAUGCUGCCCACCAGCGUUCGAGUCCUGAACUCAGCAUUGCAUGCUCACGGCGUUGCUUCUAUAUAUAAAAAAUAAGUCACCAAGCGUUCGAGUUCCGAACUCAGUGCUCGUGCUCACGGUGUUUCUUCUAUGAAAACAAACCAUUAAGGGCUAGUCCUGACAUGUGUUAAACAAUAGGCGGUUAAACAGACCAUAAAAUAGUCAAAAUACAGUUAGACAAACAGGAUUAUCAUAACCCGACGUAAUACUCAGAGAUAAUGUUAUAUUCAGACAGUUAAUAUUAACACAGAAACCAAUUUCAACACACCCCUGUCCCUGAUGUCUGAGUAGGCACCGGUCAGGAAGACAGCUUCGUCAGUGCCAACCAGGGAAAACACAUCUUCAGUUUCCCCUCGAGAAAGUGCAGCAGAGCUUUCAACGUGUCACCAACUGAGCCUCCUGCAAAGUGGGCGUACGAUAGUUGUUGUUGUUGUUGCCGCAUCAUUAUCCAUCACUUCAGCACCAUGUACUCUCGCAUCCCUCCGUUCGCUAUCAGAAGGGAGCAUGCAACUUCUUAAUGGGGUCUUCUUUUUCUCUCGCCGCGAGGGCUAACGGUGGGAAUCCAGCUACCACAGCGCGCAUGCCCCACCGUCGCCGUCAUGGGCCACGUCUUCGAGGUUCCACAGGCUUCCCCACGUGGCGCCGUCAUCCUCGGUCGACCCAUACUCCUCGCUCGUGGAGGCGCCGCAGCUGCCGCUCUGCCCGGCGCUGUGGAGGAGGGCGCAGGACAUGGGGCACAGGAAGUCCAAGACGUCCUGCAUGAUCAGCUCCUCGUGGCCGUGGUCAGCCAGCGCCGUCGCUGCCGGGCCUACGUUGCCGGUCAUCUUCUCGUCGACGUCGUCCUCGGCAGUGGCGCUGGCGAGCUCGGCGUCCUUGCCCUGCCCAAGUAGCAGCUUCUGUUGCUGCUGCUGCUGCUGCUGCUGCAUCUCACGCCGCUGCAUCAGGAACCGAGCCCUGGCGCGCUCGAUGUUCUUGGACGGCUUGCCCUUCUUGUAGUGCGUCCUCCAGUAGUUCUUGAUCUCGUUGUCCGUCCUCCCCGGGAGGCUGCGUGCAAUCGUCGACCACCUGAAGAAGAAACGUGACACUGAAUUUCAGCUCGAUCGUUCAAGUCUAUUGUUUCAGCUGAUCAGUCUGCAGUACCAGUGUAUAUUUUACCUGUUCCCCCACAAGGAGUGGAGCUGGACUAUGGUGCUCUCCUCUUGGGGUGUCAUCUUGCCUCUCUUUAGAUCAGGUCUGAGGUAGUUAACCCACCGCAGCCUGCAACUCUUGCCACUUCUCUUGAGACCUGCAGCAGCAUGCAAAGCUCAAAUGAGAAACGUACUCGGGGGCAGGCCAAGUGAUUAGAUUACCACAUGUGCAAUACUAUACUACGUACCACGCAGGGGUGGUCCAGGAAAAAAUAUUACCUGGCCUGGCCACGUACCCAUAUGAACUAUAUAGUCUAUUGGUGUCAUUUGCCUCAUUUAGUAAUACUGAAUUCAUCCCUUUGCAUGCGGCUUUACCCGAAAGCUCGAGCCCAGGGAGAAAGAUAUAUUUCCACAUAUUGGGGUUGGAUUAACCCCAACGCAUGCCUGGAUGCUGGAUACGCCGCUAGUGCUGUGCAUAUAUAGUUGAUGUCGGCAUCACUAUGUUGAUACUAAUCCAACUAACUAUUUAGGUAUAUAUAAGUGCUAAUGUCUUUCCAUCUGAUACAUAGCCAACUGACUAGAUAUUUUUCAUACGUCAAUUAACUACUCCCUCCGUAAACUAAUAUAAGAGCGUUUAGAUCACUACUUUAGUGAUCUAAAUACUCUUAUAUUAGUUUACAGAGGGAGUAAUUAUCUGGUGAUUAUUCGUCCAACACUCCCCUUUGGCUUGCCAAUUCUGCGAGGUGGAUGCACAUAGACGGGAUGUAUAGUCCGUCCAUUAUAGGCCAUGCUACACUUAGUUUAUACAUAUAUGUAUGUAUAUUUUUCACCUCAACAAACGCGUGUACGUACACUAGCUCAUGGUCAUGGGUGUCUUGAUUAAAUAGUUAAUCAGUAGCCCAUGGAACUUGCCCGGACUUCCCGUACGUAGCUCGCUCAGGAAUCAGGACCAGCACUAUAUGCACGCAUGCAUCUUCCAUGUAUAUCGUAUGUAAAGCAGAGCUAGCUAAUAGGUUUCUACUUACGUGCAAGCUAGUUCUUGUAGAGUUGAAGAAUUGAUGAUUGAAAUCUCAUCAAAGGAACGCACUGACGAUAUUCUCCAAGAAAUUUCAAUGCGUGAGUGAAAGAGAGCGUUAGGUAGUUCAUCACCAUCUUCGUCCUAGCAAGAAGAGACGAACACACACAAGACCGUACAGUACAGGAUCGAAUCAUGCAUGCAUGCGGCCGGCUAGCUUUGUGAACUCGCAAGUUGCCGGUACUUGAAGAUCCUAAGGUACUGUUUACGGCCGUGUGCAACUUGCAGGCCGGAUCAAUCAUUCGCAACUUGCCAGUUGCAGACGAGCCGGCCGGGUUAAUUGGAAAAGGAGGUCCGUACUUGCAGCGACAAAAGUCAAGGAAGAACAUAAAGCAUUAGAGCAAGCUAGAAAACAUCAGAUCAAGAGCAGGACAAGAAAAAUACUCUUAGUACUAGUAGUAAUCUGUUCAUCCAGGAACCUCGAGUUAAUUAAUUAGGAGUACGAUUAGUACUCUACGGGCCGUACCUGUGAGCUUGGAGACGGAGUUCCACCUCCCUUCGCCGUGCUGGGCGACAUGGUCGAGGAGCAGCUUGUCCUCCUGGGUUGUCCACGGGCCUUUCCUCCACUCGUCGUCCUGCUUCCCCCAGCAGGCCGCGAGCUGCCCUUCCGCUUCCGCCAUUAAUGGCGCGCACUCCUCAGCUAGCGAGCGAGCUCUCCCACUUAGCUGAAAGAGAUAGCACUGCUACUGCUAACUAAGCUGAGCACGUUGCCGCUGCUGCUGCGAUUUCAGCUCUUUUCUUGGAGAUAUUUUUUUGUGCUAGCUGCUGGUAGGGACAGAGCGUGUUACGCUUAAUCAGCUAGCGGCUAUCAAAUCCAAGGCGGGGGAGAGGCAACCUUUCUUUCCUCCGAUGCUGUCGCCCAGCGAGCGAUGGCAUGGGACGAGUGAGCCGCUGCCGCGUAUAUAUGGGGCAGAGGAUCGAUCGAUAGCAAGAAAUUCUCUGCGUCACUGUCAGGGGAAUUCCAGCUCCACUACCCUGCUUGCGGAGAUUCCCCAAAAUGCCCACGGUAAUUUUUCCUUCUCUUCUGUCUCUCUCUCUCACUCUCACUCUUUUAAGAUAAGUUACUGCGUGCUGCUUACGGAAAGCGCUGGGUGCGUGUAUCGGGCUAUGUCGGCCUCAUGAUUUGGAAGAAUCAACCAUAGUUUUUUUUCUUUAAAAAAACUUCGACUCAUUCAUCAGCGUACCUGUCAUAGCAAUACAAAGAACACCAGAAGUAGCAUAAAUCACAUUCAGUUACGUAGACCAUGUAGCAACGACUACAAUCAGUGCAGUGAGUCGAAACUGUAAAACUAUGUUUCUUGGUUUCUUUGUUAGAAUUCAGCAAAUGUUUGAUACAAACGAGUUCUCCCAUGAAUUUUGAAGAGAGGUGAAUUUUGUGCGUUAAGCCUGUUACAUCAUAUACGAAUACCAUGGGGCCCUCAUAAUUUUAUUUACACGAAUCGAGGAAUCUUUCAAUGGAAGAAGGUCACAUAUAUAGAAUGAAAUUCUACAGAGUGAGUUGAAAAUAUUGCAUUUCACAAGACCAUAAACUGCAUUGCCUCCUAGAAUUGUUCUUUCUUCAAAAAUAAUAAUUGUAACCGUCCCUUUUCGAUCGCAGUGCCCGCUUCAGGCACAUCUUGUAACGUAAGAAGUUAGAUUUUUCAAGUAAAAGAUGAUGUACCUGUCAAUAGCAAGGCAUCCUUGAUUACUUUGAUAAUUUUAAAGCUCCGCGACUCCAGUAUUCUCGAUGUGCGAGUGUGCACAUCUGGUGAUACGUGUGUAUACACAUUUACGACUUUGUAUUUUGAUUAGAGAAAAUUAUGUUUUUGGUCCCUCGAGUUCCCACAAAGUAUAGACUUGGUCCCUUAAGAUUUUUUUGGUAUGCAUUUGGUCCCUCAAGUAUCACAACCGGAUAAAUUUGGUCCUAAACCAGAUUUUGAGCACGUUGACCGGGUUUGACCGCCACAAAACCGCGUGAUAAACAGUAAAUAUGAAAAAGAACUUUGAAAAAUGACAAAAUUUUGCUAGAGCCCAUUCAAUGUCAUUUCAUGACAAAAUUUUGGUCGCACCUUGCGCACGUAAGCAUAUUGGACCCCAAAAUUUUUCAGAAUUUUUUGAUUAUUUUCGAAUUUACUAUUCAUCAGCCAGAUUUUUUUUUCUUUUGCCACGAGCUCCUCGAGUGCCGAAAGAGCUCGAAAUUUUGUUUGCAUAUUGCGCAUGUAAGCAUAUUCGACCCCAAAAAAUUUAAGGUUUGUUUUAUUUUCUUUUUUCGAAUUUACUGUUCAUCGGGCGGAUUUGUGGCGGUCAAAACCGGUCAACGUGCUCAAAAUCUAGUUUAGGACCAAACUUAUCCGGUUUUGAGAUUUGAGGGACCAAAUGUAUAUCAAAAAAAUCUUGAGGGACCAAGUCUAUACUUUGUGGGAACUUAAGGGACCAAAAACAUACUUUUUUCUUUUGAUUAAAAAGAUCCAUCAAGAUAUAGGCAAACACACACGUAAUCCACGCGUGCAUGCCCCACCAGCUUCACUUAAAGCAAGUGCGGGCAACAAAACUUAACAUAUGCACGAACAAUACCCACAGUUUUCGUAUACUUCCUCAAUCUGAUUUUUUUUUCUUUUGAUAAAGAGCGCUUUUAUCAACUUAAAAUGUAGCAUCAAGCGGAUACAUCAUAUUGAGCGACACUCAGACUUGGCAUAAUUAGGAUGCACACAAUCAACAGGAACAAGUUUGACAAAAAUAAAUAAAUAAACAAAACGACAUAUCGCCAGCAGUAAAGUCCUAUGGAACGGACAUUUUGCCUAUGUAGAAGGAGGAGGUGGAUUGAUUCAAAGAUUAUGUUUGCUGCCCAUGUUGGGUAGAAACCUUCCUGGCCAAGGAUAUAUAAGGCUUGUUUUCUGGCUAAUGCAAGACUUUAACCGAUAGCUAAUCUAUUGGUAAGUGAUUUUUGUAAUACAAAUUCCAAAUCAUAAGCUGGUACUUUGAAUAUGAAUCCGUUUGUGUCAUAUAUAAACUACAUAGUAGUAGUAGUAGAGUAAUUCUUGAUCAAGAUUCGUAUUAACACAGCAAAACAUACCAUAUUUAUCUGGACAAAGAGUGUACUUGCUGAGGAUGGAGAAGAGCAUGCGAGAAAUCGACAAGUAAAAAGAAGUAAAUAUCAAGAACAUGUACACCUGAUUUAUUAUGCAAAAACCAAAAAAACUACAGGCACAUGACAACAACUGUAUCAGGGGUACCCUUUGAAAUCAAAUACCUUGAGUCCAUGUGUGAUGGAUGUGGUGCCUAUGGGCACAACAACCACAAGGGUAGUGGAUGGGAUGCGCAACAAUCAGUAUGCGAUUGCGAGUGAGCUGGCAUGUGACGCGAUGUUGCUAUCUCAGUGGGCGGCAACUACACCAUGAUGGCUCUGACGAAUUUCUCAUGCGACCGCGAUGGCUCGUGUGGAGUCCAAAGAGCGUCGAUGGACACACGGGGAGCCGACUUACUCCACAACAAACCGGUAGAGAUGGUCGACAAGUGCAUUGGUGAACCAAUGACGAGUAUGAGUUUUCUCCGAGGUGAAAACCCUUGAUCAUCUUCUUUGGCCGGAUCCGAGAAUGUCAACAUACAUGCAUCUUCCUCCUGUUGGAGGUGUUGGCUCUGCCUUUAGGGGUGAUAGCCCCACAAUUGACCUUUUGGUUUGAUCUUAUCAAUAUGGACGUUUGAGCGACAGACCCUUCUUAAAAGAGUUGUGUGUAUCUAGCAUAAAAAAAAACUUGUAUGUAUAUGAAUAUGCAUAGACCGAGAGGCGUGUUAUGGCUAAAUUUAAGAGAUAUCGUAAGAACAUUGGCAAAGCUAAAAAAUAGCUAUCGGUAAAAAGGAAAGCGGGAUUUACCGCAAACCGAAUGGACCGAAAGUUACUUUGCGAGACGUAAACGUCGUAGGUUUUCCAGAAGAGCGCGUCUUGGGUCACUGGAUAUGCCACAUGUGUCAGUUCAUCCCCUGAUUGCAAUCGUACUUGUAGCGUUCGAUGGAUCGACUUUCCGACGCACAAGCGGACUAAACUAAUCAUCUUUAGUUUGACGACCAUGCGCCGCACUGCUUGGAGUGCAGUAAUUCUCGCGUACAUCCUCCUCACCUGGUCGCUCCGGCACACCCCUGAGCUGGCACGCGGUUACAAAAGCAUAUGUGCGUGUGUGCUGUGGUGCUUUGCCGAGAACUAGAAAGGAGAAUUGUGCUAAUAAGUACCGAUCAGACGUCUGAUCUGCAUCGCUAUCGAGAAAAGAGAAGGCACGAAGCAAAUCAAAAGCAAACACAUGAUCGGUCACUCGAUCGACAUGCCAGGUAGCCUCGUGCAUUACACGCGCCCCCGCAUGCACCUGAUCUUGAGCUGCAUGUCGGCCUGCCCCAUCUGGUCAAGUCUUGAACGAUCAGUCAGCAUGGAAUAGGAAGCAUCUCAUCCGCANNNNNNNNNNNNNNNNNNNNNNNNNNNNNNNNNNNNNNNNNNNNNNNNNNNNNNNNNNNNNNNNNNNNNNNNNNNNNNNNNNNNNNNNNNNNNNNNNNNNNNNNNNNNNNNNNNNNNNNNNNNNNNNNNNNNNNNNNNNNNNNNNNNNNNNNNNNNNNNNNNNNNNNNNNNNNNNNNNNNNNNNNNNNNNNNUAGGAAGCAUCUACAGUCAGACUGCCAAAUUCGGUCCCUAAGCGUCCACGGAUGUGCCCGGACACGACUUCGAACAACGUUAGGCGACCCUUCAGUUAUCCUCCUUGCAAUCAGUCUCUCACUUUUAAAUUCUUAAAUUCAUACAAACGCAUACACGCAGAUCAUACACAAAUAAAAAAAUCUAACAAAAAAAUAAAUAGUUCAAACAUAAAUAUUAUUCCGAGUGCACGAUUCAAUUAUUAAAUUCCUUGGUGUCAUUGUGGGUCCAUGUAUGCUCCACAAGAACAUCGAGUAGUUGCAUGUGCAUGUUCUGAUCUCGAAGAUUACAAAGCAUUUCUAGAAAGUUCACAAUAUGCUCGGCAUUUUGUUCCAGGAGGUGGUCUUUUACUUCGGGCUUCACCCUCAUCAUACAAUCAUGUUGUGCAAAAUGAACAACAUGUCAUCAGUGCCACCAUGUCUCGGAUUCUCACAUCAUUGCAACUCCACGAACAGUACCCCAACAAGCUUGGAGCACUCUGAAUGCUCUUUCCACAUCCAUCCUAGCCGCUUCUUACAUUGUUACAAAGUGGCAUUGUUUGUUGCCAUGGGGAUCGGAUAUAUAUGGUCUUGACAAGUAGCCCAUUGAGGAUAGAUACCAUUGACAAGGUAGUAUCCCAUGUAGUAGUUGUGUAGUAUAGUUGUAUGGCGGAGCAUCCCCAUCACAAAGUCUCUUGAACACCGGAGAUCCCUGGAACACAUUAAUGUCGUUGUGAGAACCAGACAUGCCAAAGAAAGCAUGACAAAAUCCAGAAGCGCCUUGAUGCCACUGCUUCGAGUAUGAUGGUGGUCUCUUUGGUGUGAGCUUGUUACAUCCCGCGCAAAACUUUGGGGCGGAUCUUCUAUUACCAAUGUAUGUAAUCAACUGAACUACCAUACCUGGAAAACCUCUUGUAGCUCCAAUUUCCAUCAACCUCUCUGUAUCUUUGACAGUUGGUUCUCUCAAGUACUCUGCUCCAAACACCUUUACCACGGCUCGGGCAAACUUGACAGUGACAUCAAGACAUGUGCUCUCCCUCAUCUGGACCAUCUCACCAACGACAUCUACGGUGGUACCUAAUGAAGCAUCCUCAGAGUAGUCGUGCAUUUCUGCAAAGGAGGGAACGACAGUUGCUCGCGACAAUCCUUUCAAAGACUAAAGUAGGGAUCAUAUGCCUCCACGCCCUCCACCACACGCAAGAACAAGGGUUUGCCCAUUCAGAAGCCAUGCCUAAAAACCCAUCAUGAAACUUUGGUUAGGGUUGAAAGUGUUGGGGAACGCGGUAAUUUCAAAAAAAUUCCUACGCACACGCAAGAUCAUGGUGAUGCAUAGCAACGAGAGGGGAGAGUGUUGUCUACGUACCCUUGUAGACCGCAACGGAAGCCUUGACGCAACGUAGAGGAAGUAGUCAUACGUCUUCCGAUCCGACCGAUCCAAGCACCGUUACUCCGGCACCUCCGAGUUCUUGGCACACGUACGGCUCGAUGACGCUCCCCGGGCUCCGAUCCAGCAAAGCUUCGGGGAUGAGUUUCGUCAGCACAACGGCGUGGUGAAGAUGAUGAUGUUCUAUCGACGCAGGGCUUCGCCUAAGCACUACAACGAUAUGACCGAGGUGGAAUAUGGUGGAAGGGGGCACCGCACACGGCUAAGGAACGAUCACGAAGAUCAACUUGUGUGUUCUAGGGUGCCCCCUGCCUCCGUAUAUAAAGNNNNNNNNNNNNNNNNNNNNNNNNNNNNNNNNNNNNNNNNNNNNNNNNNNNNNNNNNNNNNNNNNNNNNNNNNNNNNNNNNNNNNNNNNNNNNNNNNNNNNNNNNNNNNNNNNNNNNNNNNNNNNNNNNNNNNNNNNNNNNNNNCCGGCCUAGAGGAGGCGCGCAGGAGGAGUCCUACUCCUACCGGGAGUAGGACUCCCCUCCCGUUCCUUGUCCAACUAGGAGAGGUUGAGGGAGAGAAGGAAAAAAGGGGGGCGCCGCCCCUCCCUCCUUGUCCAAUUCGGACUAGGGGGAGAGGGGGCGCGCGGCCUGCCCUGGCAGCCCCUUCCUCUUCUCCACAUUAGGCCCAUAAGGCCCAUUAACCCCCCCGGGGGGUUCCGGUAACCCCCCCGGUGCUCCGGUUUUAUCCGAAACUACCCCGGAACCCUUCCGGUGUCCGAAUAUAGUCGUCCAAUAUAUCAAUCUUUAUGUCUCGACCAUUUCGAGACUCCUCGUCAUGUCCGUGAUCACAUCCGGGACUCCGAACUAACUUCGGUACAUCAAAAUGCAUAAACUCAUAAUAACUGUCAUCGUAAUGUUAAGCGUGCGGACCCUACUGUUCGAGAACAAUGUAGACAUGACUGAGACAAAUCUCCGGUCAAUAACCAAUAGUGGGACCUGGAUGCCCAUAUUGGUUCCUACAUAUUCUACGAAGAUCUUUAUCGGUCAGACCGCAUAACAACAUACGUUGUUCCCUUUGUCAUCAGUAUGUUACUUGCCCGAGAUUCGAUCGUCGGUAUCCAAUACCUAGUUCAAUCUCGUUACCGGCAAGUCUCUUUACUCGUUACGUAAUACAUCAUCUCACAACUAACUUAUUAGUUGUAAUGCUUGCAAGGCUUAUGUGAUGUGCAUUACCGAGAGGGCCCAGAGAUACCUCUCCGACAAUCGGAGUGACAAAACCUAAUCUCGAAAUAUGCCAACCCAACAUGUACCUUUGGAGACACCUGUAGUACUCCUUUAUAAUCACCCAGUUACGUUGUGACGUUUGGUAGCACCCAAAGUGUUCCUCCGGUAAACGGGAGUUGCAUAAUCUCAUAGUUAUAGGAACAUGUAUAAGUCAUGAAGAAAGCAAUAGCAACAUACUAAACGAUCGGGUGCUAAGCUAAUGGAAUGGGUCAUGUCAAUCAGAUCAUUCACUUAAUGAUGUGAUCCCGUUAAUCAAAUAACAACUCCUUGUUUAUGGUUAGGAAACAUAACCAUCUUUGAUUAACGAGCUAGUCAAGUAGAGGCAUACUAGUGACACUCUGUUUGUCUAUGUAUUCACACAUGUAUUAUGUUUCCGGUUAAUACAAUUCUAGCAUGAAUAAUAAACAUUUAUCAUGAUAUAAGGAAAUAAAUAAUAACUUUAUUAUUGCCUCUAGGGCAUAUUUCCUUCAGUCUUCCACUUGCACUAGAGUCAAUAAUCUAGGUUACACAGUAAUGAUUCUCACACCCAUGGAGCCUUGGUGCUGAUCAUGUUUUGCUCGUGGAAGAGGCUUAGUCAACGGGUCUGCAACAUUCAGAUCCGUAUGUAUCUUGCAAAUCUCUAUGUCUCCCACCUGGACUAGAUCCCGGAUGGAAUUGAAGCGUCUCUUGAUGUGUUUGGUUCUCUUGUGAAAUCUGGAUUCCUUUGCCAAGGCAAUUGCACCAGUACUAUCACAAAAGAUUUUCAUUGGACCCGAUGCAUUAGGUAUGACACCUAGAUCGGAUAUGAACUCCUUCAUCCAUACUCCUUCAUUUGCUGCUUCUGAAGCACCUAUGUACUCUGCUUCACAUGUAGAUCCCGCUACACGCUUUGUUUAGAACUGCACCAACUGACAGCUCCACCGUUUAAUGUAAACACGUAUCCGGUUUGUGAUUUAGAAUCAUCCGGAUCAGUGUCAAAGCUUGCAUCAACAUAACCUUUUACGAUGAGCUCUUUGUCACCUCCAUAUACGAGAAACAUAUCCUUAGUCCUUUUCAGGUACUUCAGGAUGUUCUUGACCGCUGUCCAGUGAUCCACUCCUGGAUUACUUUGGUACCUCCCUGCUAGACUUAUAGCAAGGCACACAUCAGGUCUGGUACACAGCAUUGCAUACAUGAUAGAGCCUAUGGCUGAAGCAUAGGGAACAUCUUUCAUGUUGUCUCUAUCUUCUGCAGUGGUCAGGCAUUGAGUCUUACUCAACUUCACACCUUGUAACACAGGCAAGAACCCUUUCUUUGCUUGAUCCAUUUUGAACUUUUUCAAAACUUUAUCAAGGUAUGUGCUUUGUGAAAGUCCAAUUAAGCGUCUUGAUCUAUCUCUAUAGAUCUUAAUGCCUAAUAUGUAAGCAGCUUCAUCGAGGUCUUUCAUUGAAAAACUCUUAUUCAAGUAUCCCUUUAUGCUAUCCAGAAAUUCUACAUCAUUUCCAAUUAGUAAUAUGUCAUCCACAUAUAAUAUCAGAAAUGCUACAGAGCUCCCACUCACUUUCUUGUAAAUACAGGCUUCUCCAAAAGUCUGUAUAAAACCAAAUGCUUUGAUCACACUAUCAAAACGUUUAUUCCAACUCCGAGAGGCUUGCACCAGUCCAUAAAUGGAUCGCUGGAGCUUGCACACUUUGUUAGCUCCCUUUGGAUCGACAAAACCUUCUGGUUGCAUCAUAUACAACUCUUCUUCCAGAAAUCCAUUCAGGAAUGCAGUUUUGACAUCCAUCUGCCGAAUUUCAUAAUCAUAAAAUGCGGCAAUUGCUAACAUGAUUCGGACAGACUUAAGCAUCGCUACGGGUGAGAAGGUCACAUCGUAGUCAAUCCCUUGAACUUGCCGAAAACCUUUUGCGACAAGUCGAGCUUUGUAGACAGUAAUAUUACCGUCAGCGUCAGUCUUCUUCUUGAAGAUCCAUUUAUUCUCAAUUGCUUGCCGAUCAUCGGGCAAGUCAACCAAAGUCCAUACUUUGUUCUCAUACAUGGAUCCCAUCUCAGAUUUCAUGGCUUCAAGCCACUUUGCGGAAUCUGGGCUCACCAUCGCUUCUUCAUAGUUCGUAGGUUCAUCAUGAUCUAGUAGCAUGACUUCCAGAACGGGAUUACCGUACCACUCUGGCGCGGAUCUUACUCUGGUUGAUCUACGAGGUUCAGUAGUAUCUUGUUCUGAAGUUUCAUGAUCAUUAUCAUUAGCUUCCUCACUAACUGGUGUAGGUGUCACAGAAACAGUUUUCUGUGAUGUACUACUUUCCAAAAAGGGAGCAGGUACAGUUACCUCGUCAAGUUCUACUUUUCUUCCACACUUCUUUCGAGAGAAAAUCCUUCUCCAGAAAGUUUCCGAAUUUAGCAACAAAAGUCUUGCCUUCGGAUCUGUGAUAGAAGGUGUAUCCAAUAGUCUCCUUUGGAUAUCCUAUGAAGACACAUUUCUCCGAUUUGGGUUCGAGCUUAUCAGGUUGAAGCUUUUUCACAUAAGCAUCGCAGGCCUAAACUUUCAGAAACGACAACUUUGGUUUCUUGCCAAACCACAGUUCAUAAGGUGUCGUCUCAACGGAUUUUGAUGGUGCCCUAUUUAACGUGAAUGCGGCCGUCUCUAGAGCGUAUCCCCAAAACGAUAGCGGUAAAUCAGUAAGAGACAUCAUAGAUCGCACCAUAUCUAGUAAAAUACGAUUACAACGUUCGGACACACCAUUAUGCUGUGGUGUUUCGGGUGGCGUGAGUUGCGAAACUAUUCCACAAUUUUUCAAAUGUGCACCAAACUCGUAACUCAAAUAUUCUCCUCCACGAUCAGAUCGUAGAAACUUUAUUUUCUUGUUAUGAUGAUUUUCAACUUCACUCUGAAAUUCUUUGAACUUUUCAAACGUUUCAGACUUAUGUUUCAUUAAGUAGAUAUACCCAUAUCUGCUUAAAUCAUCUGUGAAGGUGAGAAAAUAACAAUAUCCACCACGAGCUUCAAUAUUCAUCGGACCACAUACAUCUGUAUGUAUGAUUUCCAACAAAUCUGUUGCUCUCUCCAUAGUACCGGAGAACGGCGUUUUGGUCAUCUUGCCCAUGAGGCACGGUUAGCAAGUACCAAGUGAUUCAUAAUCAAGUGGUUCCAAAAGUCCAUCAGUAUGGAGUUUCUUCAUGCGCUUUACACCGAUAUGACCUAAACGGCAGUGCCACAAAUAAGUUGCACCAUCAUUAUCAACUUUGCAUCUUUUGGCUUCAACAUUAUGAAUAUGUGUAUCACUACUCUCGAGAUUCAAUAAGAAUAGACCACUCUUCAAGGGUGCAUGACCAUAAAAGAUAUUACUCAUAUAAAUAGAACAACCAUUAUUCUCUGAUUUAAAUGAAUAACCAUCUCGCAUUAAACAAGAUCCAGAUAUAAUGUUCAUGCUCAACGCUGGCACCAAAUAACAAUUAUUUAGGUCUAAUACUAAUCCCGAAGGUAGAUGUAGAGGUAGCGUGCCGACCGCGAUCACAUCGACAUUGGAACCGUUUCCCACGCGCAUCGUCACCUCGUCCUUAGCCAAUCUUCGCUUAAUCCGUAGUCCCUGUUUCGAGUUGCAAAUAUUAACAACAGAACCAGUAUCAAAUACCCAGGUGCUACUGCGAGCAUUAGUAAGGUACACAUCAAUAACAUGUAUAUCACAUAUACCUUUGUUCACCUUGCCAUCCUUCUUAUCCGCCAAAUACUUGGGGCAGUUCCGCUUCCAGUGACCAGUCUGCUUGCAGUAGAAGCACUCAAUUUCAGGCUUAGGUCCAGACUUGAGUUUCUUCUCUUGAGUAGCAACUUGCUUGCCGUUCUUCUUGAAGUUCCCCUUCUACUUCCCUUUGCCCUUUUUCUUGAAACUAGUGGUCUUGUUGACCAUCAACACUUGAUGCUCCUUUUUGAUUUCUACCUCCGCAGCUUUCAGCAUUACGAAGAGCUCGGGAAUAGUCUUAUUCAUCCCUUGCAUAUUAUAGUUCAUCACGAAGCUCUUGUAGCUUGGUGGCAGUGAUUGGAGAAUUCUGUCAAUGACGCAAUCAUCUGGAAGAUGAACUCCCAUCUGAAUCAAGUGAUUAUUAUACCCAGACAUUUUGAGUUAUGCUCACUGACAGAACUGUUCUCCUCCAUCUUACAGCUAUAGAACUUAUUGGAGACUUCAUAUCUCUCAAUCCGGGCAUUUUCUUGAAAUAUUAACUUCAACUCCUGGAACAUCUCAGAUGCUCCAUGACGUUCAAAACGUUGUUGAAGUCCCGAUUCUAAGCCGUAAAGCAUGGCACACUGAACUAUCGAGUAGUCAUCAGCUUUGCUCUGCCAGACGUUCAUAACAUCCGGUGUUGCUCCAGCAGCAGGCCUGGCAUCCAGCGGUGCUUCCAGGACGUAAUUCUUCUGUGCAGCAAUGAGGAUAAUCCUCAAGUUACGGACCCAGUCCGUGUAAUUGCUACCAUCAUCUUUCAACUUUGCUUUCUCAAGGAACGCAUUAAAAUUCAACGGAACAAUAGCACGAGCCAUCUAUCUACAAUCAACAUAAACAAGCAAGAUACUACCAGGGACUAAGUUCAUGAUAAAUUUAAGUUCAAUGAAUUUACUUAAAGAACUCCCACUUAGAUAGACAUCCCUCUAAUCCUCUAAGUGAUUACGUGAUCCAAAUCAACUAAACCAUGUCCGAUCAUCACGUGAGAUGGAGUAGUUUCAUUGGUGAACAUCAUUAUGUUGAUCAUAUCUACUAUAUGAUUCACGCUCGACCUUUCGGUCUCCGUGUUCCGAGGCCAUAUCUGUAUAUGCUUGGCUCGUCAAGUAUAACCUGAGUAUUCCGCGUGUGCAACUGUUUUGCACCCGUUGUAUUUGAACGUAGAGCCUAUCACACCCGAUCAUCACGUGGUGUCUCAGCACGAAGAACUUUCGCAACGGUGUAUACUCAGGGAGAACACUACUUAAUAAUUUAGUGAGAGAUCAUCUUAUAAUGCUACCGUCAAUCAAAGCAAGAUAAGAUGCAUAAAAGAUAAACAUCACAUGCAAUCAAUAUAAGUGAUAUGAUAUGGCCAUCAUCAUCUUGUGCUUGUGAUCUCCAUCUCCGAAGCACCGUUGUGAUCACCAUCGUCACCGGCGCGACACCUUGAUCUCCAUCGUAGCAUCGUUGUCGUCUCGCCGAGCUUGUGCUUCCACGACUAUCGCUACCGUUUAGUGAUAAAGUAAAGCAUUACAGCGUGAUUGCAUUGCAUACAAUAAAGCGACAACCAUAUGGCUCCUGCCAGUUGCCGAUAACUCGGUUACAAAACAUGAUCAUCUCAUACAAUAAAAUUCAGCAUCAUGCCUUGACCAUAUCACAUCACAACAUGCCCUGCAAAAACAAGUUAGACGUCCUCUACUUUGUUGUUGCAAGUUUUAUGUGGCUGCUACGGGCUUAAGCAAGAACCAAUCUCACCUACGCAUCAAAACCACAACGAUAGUUUGUCAAUUUGACUCCGUUUUAACCUUCGCAAGGACCGGGCGUAGCCACACUCGGUUCAACUAAAGUUGGAGAGACUGUCGCCCGCAAGCCACCUAUGUGCAAAGCACGUCGGGAGAAUCGGUCUCGCGUAAGCGUACGCGUAAUGUCGGUCCGGGUCGUCUCGUCCAACAAUACCGCCGAACCAAAGUAUGACAUGCUAGUAGGAAGUAUGACUUAUAUCGCCCACAACUCACUUGUGUUCUACUCGUGCAUAUAACAUCAAACCAUAAAACCUAGGCUCGGAUGCCACUGUUGGGGAACGCAGUAAUUUCAAAAAAAUUCCUACGCACACGCAAGAUCAUGGUGAUGCAUAGCAACGAGAGGGGGGAGUGUUGUCUACGUACCCUUGUAGAUCGCAACGGAAGCGUUGACGCAACGUAGAGGAAGUAGUCGUACGUCUUUCGAUCCGAUCGAUCCAAGCACCGUUACUCCGGCACCUCCGAGUUCUUGGCACACGUACAGCUCGAUGACGCUCCCCGGGCUCCGAUCCAGCAAAGCUUCGGGGAUGAGUUUCGUCAGCACAACGGCAUGGUGACGAUGAUGAUGUUCUGCCGACGUAGGGCUUCGCCUAAGCACUACAACGAUAUGACCGAGGUGGAAUAUGGUGGAAGGGGGCACCGCACACGGCUAAGGAACGAUCACGAAGAUCAACUUGUGUGUUCUAGGGUGCCCCCUGCCUCCGUAUAUAAAGGAUCCAAGGGGGGGGGGAGUUCGUCCGGCCUAGAGGAGGCGCGCAGGAGGAGUCCUACUCCUACCAGGAGUAGGACUCCCCUCCCGUUCCUUGUCCAACUAGGAGAGGUUGAGGGAGAGAAGGAAAAAAGGGGGGCGCCGCCCCUCCCUCCUUGUCCAAUUCGGACUAGNNNNNNNNNNNCCGGAACCCUUCCGGUGUCCGAAUAUAGUCGUCCAAUAUAUCAAUCUUUAUGUCUCGACCAUUUCGAGACUCCUCGUCAUGUCCGUGAUCACAUCCGGGACUCCGAACUAACUUCGGUACAUCAAAAUGCAUAAACUCAUAAUAACUGUCAUCGUAACGUUAAGCGUGCGGACCCUACGGUUCGAGAACAAUGUAGACAUGACUGAGACAAAUCUCCGGUCAAUAACCAAUAGCGGGACCUGGAUGCCCAUAUUGGUUCCUACAUAUUCUACGAAGAUCUUUAUCGGUCAGACCGCAUAACAACAUACGUUGUUCCCUUUGUCAUCAGUAUGUUACUUGCCCGAGAUUUGAUCAUCGGUAUCCAAUACCUAGUUCAAUCUCGUUACCGGCAAGUCUCUUUACUCGUUACGUAAUACAUCAUCUCACAACUAACUUAUUAGUUGUAAUGCUUGCAAGGCUUAUGUGAUGUGCAUUACCGAGAGGGCCCAGAGAUACCUCUCCGACAAUCGGAGUGACAAAACCUAAUCUCGAAAUACGUCAACCCAACAUGUACCUUUGGAGACACCUGUAGUACUCCUUUAUAAUCACCCAGUUACGUUGUGACGUUUGGUAGCACCCAAAGUGUUCCUCCGGUAAACGGGAGUUGCAUAAUCUCAUAGUUAUAGGAACAUGUAUAAGUCAUGAAGAAAGCAAUAGCAACAUACUAAACGAUCGGGUGCUAAGCUAAUGGAAUGGGUCAUGUCAAUCAGAUCAUUCACUUAAUGAUGUGAUCCCGUUAAUCAAAUAACAACUCCUUGUUUAUGGUUAGGAAACAUAACCAUCUUUGAUUAACGAGCUAGUCAAGUAGAGGCAUACUAGUGACACUCUGUUUGUCUAUGUAUUCACACAUGUAUUAUGUUUCCGGUUAAUACAAUUCUAGCAUGAAUAAUAAACAUUUAUCAUGAUAUAAGGAAAUAAAUAAUAACUUUAUUAUUGCCUCUAGGGCAUAUUUCCUUCAGAAAGUAGUCCUUGUAAACCAGCCAUCCGCCAACAAUCCUAUCCCUUGUACAAUUCUCCUUCCCUUGACCGAACCCUUGAAGUUCAAAUAUAUGCUCCACUUCCUUCUUCAUUUCCUCAUGGAUGCUCAUCAUCAUCAUCAUGACCUCUGCAUCCUACGAAUCCGAGGAAUCGACGAACCCUUUAUGAAAGAAACCAUCAAGCUAAUUGUUGUGAAGCUCCUCAUCUUAUGAAUCCGCCGUUUUAGCUAAAAUAAUAAAAAUAUAGCUCACAAAUUUUGUCGAACACAUAGAGGACAACGUGUAUGACUAGAGGAGCAAGGUGUACCUCGGCAUCAUCCGGCCCAAUGACCGUGUCAUUAGCAGCGAUAAUAGUGGGGAGGGGUUUUCUAUUGGUGGUGGUGGCAUUGUGGACUCGGGACGGCAGCGACACUAGGGGAGGUUCGAGCCGAUGAGGCAAAAGAGAGGAGAGGAAGAGGAGAUAUCAGCCUAGGUUGGGAAUAGUUUGGAGGGAUUUGGUGUGGGCCCGAUCUCUUAGAUCCAAUGUGGCACACUUGUCAGGGUGCGCCUCAACCUCCUCAAUUCCUCCCUGGAUACAGGCUAGGGUUGAAGGGUGUCGGAUAGCCCGGACAUAUAGGGCCAAUUUGUGGGGGUGGUUGGGUCGUAUUUUCAUGACCGGUCACUGACAGGGCCAUCCGCCUGGACUUAUAAGAGGAGUUUUGAGGGGUCCGACUGUAGACGCUCUAACUACUCAUAUUCCCACACGUACUCGUUGUUGUGAUAUAGUUCAAGAGGUGUCUACGACUCGAUCGACUGUGUUCCACUAUCGCUGCUUUUUUCACGACUCCCUUCGUCCGGUGACAAGUGUACAUCUAGAAAUUUUAAGACAAAUUAUCAAGUGAAGUAAAAAGUGCAUUAGAAAGGUGCAAGCCACCAUCUCUCUCCUCUUUAAUUACCAAACCCUCAAUGAGCUAAGUGUAUGUAGAAAUUAAGAAAACCAUAUGUAGAAUGCUAUUGGUCUUGAUUACUAUGUGAUGAGAGAGAAGCAUUUUUUCUACUUUAAAGUGCAUUGGGAAGAUAGAAGUGCACUCUUUUGUGGACAAAAUUUAAGGCCAUAUGUACACUCUUCACUGACGGAGGGAGUAUACAAGAUUGCCUAUCGUUUCACCGAAAGAAAGAGAGUGAAGCGAUUACAAGGUGCAAUUUGCAAAACCACGUACAUGAGCCAACAUGGUUGCAAGUGCAUAAGUAGUACAAGAAAAGGGGGUGCUCAACUCUACAGAUACAAGGACUAUGUUUCAAGAAACAAUAGUUGAGCCUCUAGCUCCAGUCCUAGCCCAAAGCCCUCCUCCUGGAUUGUUUGGACAAGUUGCGUAAUGGAUGGUCUCAAGCCAUCGAAGACACAUCUAUUUCGUUGCUUCCAGAGCCACCAAGCAGUCAACACGAGAAGUGAGGAGAUCUUGUUACGCAUGGAAGGGGGUAUGGUUGCAACAAACCACCCACCAUUCUAGGAAAACAACUCUGGAUGGGGAAUAUCAGUUGUAGUGCAACACCAGGAAAGGAUCUCAUGUGACACCUGCUGAGAGAAGGAGCUGCCCAAGAGGAUGCAUUGCAUAUUCGCGAUCUCCUGGUCGCAGAGGAUGCAAUGACCAUCAUGGGGAAGCCCCUUGUGGGCCAGACGAUUCAUCGCUCAACACCCGCUCUGGAGGGUGAGGUAGUUGAAGUUACUAACACACAAAGUUGCCCACGUAUUCCAUAUGAGGCACCAACAGGGGCCCUGUGCGGCGCCGUGGAGCUGUCACUGCAUGAACAAGAGAUAUAUCUAAGUUACAAGAUCACUAUAUUCGUGGUACGAUACACUAUGAACUAAAACUAAGCGGGGGAUAGCUAGUGAGAUUCCUUUAGACAGUCUGAGUCACCGCUUGAGGCAAGCAUUUCCGUGUCCCUUGGGUUUAAUUCUAACCCCCCCCCCCCACACACACACACAAUUCUUAGUGGUUUUGACAUCUUGGACCUCACCCGUACGGACGGCCACCCUUUAGGUGUGUUGGUUACCGACCCACUCCGUCCUUGAACAGGAUUGACAUGUACUUCUUGAGGGACGAGCAUAGUAUGUUUAUAGAAUUCACCAAAAUGGUUGUUGGUGUCGAAACAUAUGCUCUCUUCUAUAAGGACUAGUGGUUGGAUGACAUGAUUAUUUCAGAAAAUUGAUCUUGAACUACUCAUGCUAGCUUCAAGGCGCACUCAAAAUCGCCGCAUGGUGUAGUAGAUGCUCUUGUAUAGGCCUCGGAUCACAUACAUUAAAGGGACCGUCAACCCCUUCUUCGAGGCAAUAUAUCAUGUUUGGUUGGUGAUCCGUGACGUGCUCUUCUUGAUGGUGCAAGAUGUUUUGCUUACACCAUUAGAUAUGUGCUAUGUGAUCAACAUGAGGAGGCCAUUUGUCACCCCCUCAUCAGAUGCCGUUUGUUGUGUACCUUGUAACAUGAGGUGCUCUUGCGGGUUUGUUCUUCCUCCCGGAUGCCUGUAGUUGAAGAGGACUUUGUAGAGUGGUAGCACCAUGCCACUCAUUAUCUCAUACUACCGCGAGGAAGUUGCUUAUGCUCACGGCCUCGUAGAGUUGUAAGCAACGGAACACGGUCAUCUCCAACAAGGAGCAACCCAACCUCGAUAGCUUACUCGACAUGAAGAUAGGGGCUGGGGUGGCUAGAGGUGAUACUUCCAGCGAUAUCUAGCCCUUAGAGCAUCUAUAGCCGGAUACACCAAAUCUGGUCCCUCAAGUGUCUGUGGACGCGUCCGCGGACAGUGACCAGUCACACCUCGAAUAUUGAUAUUACACAAGCACCGUAAACUUCCAAUACAGCCGUACAUCAAGGGAUGCCAUCGGACUACAAAAAUUUGGCAUGUCUACAUACAUACUAAGCUAUGGACAAUGAUCAUCCACGAUUGCCCUUGCUAGCGCCCUAGACGCCUUUGUCGCGGAAGUAGUGCUCGAAGACGCAAUAUAGAUUAAGCCAGAUCUCCUCCUCGCCGGAGAUGUCCGCCCGUCAAUUUCCUCUCCUCCUCCUCUUGGGGGUGGGGGUGGCAGCCCGGCCAUGGCAUGGACCGCUCGGGCUUGCUCUCAGGCGAGGGCACGCGUGUUCCUCCUCUUCUGCGGUAGUGCAUGCCACAUCGACAUGUUGGGGAACGUAGUAAUUUCAAAAAAAUUCCUACGCACACGCAAGAUCAUGGUGAUGUAUAGCAACGAGAGGGGAGAGUGUGAUCUACGUAUCCUUGCAGACCGACAGUGGAAGCGUUAUGACAACGCGGUUGAUGUAGUCGUACGUCUUCACGGCCCAACCGAUCAAGCACCGAAACUACGUUACCUCCGAGUUUUAGCACACGUUCAGCUUGAUGACGAUCCCCGGACUCCGAUCCAGCAAAGUGUCGGGGAAGAGUUCCGUUAGCACGACGGCGUGGUGACGAUCUUGAUGUUCUACCGUCGCAGGGCUUCGCCUAAGCACCGGUACAAUAUUAUCGAGGAGUAUGGUGGAAGGGGGCACCGCACACGGCUAAGAAAACGAUCAUGUGGAUCAACUUGUGUGUCUAGGGGUGCCCCCUGCCUCCGUAUAUAAAGGAGCAAGGGGAGGAGACCGGCCGGCCCUAGGGCACGCCAAGGAGGAGUCCUCCUCCUAGUAGGAGUAGGACUCCCCUCUUUCCUACUCCUACUAGGAGGGGGAAAGGAAGGGGGAGAGGGAGAAGGAAAGGGGGGCGCCGCCCCCCUCUCCUAGUCCAAUUCGGACCAGAGGGGGAGGGGGCGUGCGGCCCACCCUGGCCGCCCCUCUCUCUCUCCACUAGGGCCCAUAAGGCCCAUUACUUCUCCCGGGGGGGUUCCGGUAACCCUCCGGCACUCCGGUUUUCUCCGAAAUCACCCGGAACACUUCCGGUGUCCGAAUAUAGCCGUCCAAUAUAUCAAUCUUUAUGUCUCGACCAUUUCGAGACUCCUCGUCAUGUCCGUGAUCACAUCCAGGACUCCAAACUAACUUCGGUACAUCAAAACUCAUAAACUCAUAAUAUAACUGUCAUCGAAACCUUAAGCGUGUGGACCCUACGGGUUCGAGAACAAUGUAGACAUGACCGAGACAUGUCUCCGGUCAAUAACCAAUAGCGGAACCUAGAUACUCAUAUUGGUUCCCACAUAUUCUACGAAGAUCUUUAUCGGUCAUACCGCAUAACAACAUACGUUGUUCCCUUUGUCAUCGGUAUGUUACUUGCCCGAGAUUCGAUCGUCGGUAUCUCAAUACCUAGUUCAAUCUCGUUACCGGCAAGUCUCUUUACUCGUUUCGUAAUACAUCAUCUCGCAACUAACUCAUUAGUUGCAAUGCUUGCAAGGCUUAUGUGAUGUGCAUUACCGAGAGGGCCCAGAGAUACCUCUCCGACAAUCGGAGUGACAAAUCCUAAUCUCGAAAUACGCCAACCCAACAUUUACCUUUGGAGACACCUGUAGAGAUCCUUUAUAAUCACCCAGUUACGUUGUGACGUUUGGUAGCACACAAAGUGUUCCUCCGGCAAACGGGAAUUGCAUAAUCUCAUAGUCAUAGGAACAUGUAUAAGUCAUGAAGAAAGCAAUAGCAAUAUACUAAACGAUCGGGUGCUAAGCUAAUGGAAUGGGUCAUGUCAAUCACAUCAUUCGCCUAAUAAUGUGAUCCUGUUAAUCAAAUGACAACACAUGUCUAUGGUUAGGAAACAUAACCAUCUUUGAUUAACGAGCUAGUCAAGUAGAGGCAUACUAGUGACGUUUAGUUUGUCUAUGUAUUCACACAAGUAUUAUGUUUCCGGAUAACACAAUUCUAGCAUGAAUAAUAAACAUUUAUCAUGAUAUAAGGAAAUAAAAUAAUAACAUUAUUAUUGCCUCUAGGGCAUAUUUCCUUCACGACAGCGAGGCAGGCCUUGCGCUCCGUCAAUCUUUGCUUGUUACGGCGGGCACAACGGUCCCUGUAGCACUCAUAAGCCAGCGGACGGAGAUGGCACGACAGAUGGACCUCGAGCUUCCACCACCGGCGGAUCCGAGCGCAAGUUGCCCUGACGCAAUGGAUUCACGCUAGAUAGACACCGACAUCGGUCGGGCACACUCCUAUAAGGAGCGGCGGACGGUCAAGAAAAUGACCGUUGCCUCCUCCAUUUUGGGGCCGGUAUGAGGCAUCCUUCUGGGUCGGGUUUUUUUGACUGGUCAAUGGCCGGUCCGUUCGCUCAGUCGUUGGGNNNNNNNNNNNNNNNNNNNNNNNNNNNNNNNNNNNNNNNNNNNNNNNNNNNNNNNNNNNNNNNNNNNNNNNNNNNNNNNNNNNNNNNNNNNNNNNNNNNNNNNNNNNNNNNNNNNNNNNNNNNNNNNNNNNNNNNNNNNNNNNNNNNNNNNNNNNNNNNNNNNNNNNNNNNNNNNNNNNNNNNNNNNNNNNNNNNNNNNNNNNNNNNNNNNNNNNNNNNNNNNNNNNNNNNNNNNNNNNNNNNNNNNNNNNNNNNNNNNNNNNNNNNNNNNNNNNNNNNNNAUAGAGUGUGUGUGUUUUGCGGGGGAGUAAUUUAGAGUGUUACCUUUCGUUGGACUUAAAAAUGGUGGAAAAGCUUCUCAAGGCUUCGUCCUCCUCACCGCACAAGCAUGGGAAAAAUGUUAUGUGCUAUAGUUGCAGGGAGAAGGGUCAUCUUGCAGAGAUCUGCAGAAAAGAGGCGACCCGCUUCGUUUGUGCACCUUCGGCCAUAGAUCAUUCUACUGUCCUAGGCGAGGGAAACAAGGUAACCAAAUAAUCCUCUUUCUUGUGCUUCAGCCCUGACUUUUAUUGAUAAGAUGAAUUGGGUAUGUUUCACGCUAGCUCACACGACACAAUAUCAAUUGAUUUCCGACAGUCAGUUUCACAACAGUGAUUUCCUGCAACAACAAAAAAAGAAGUUUCACAACAGUGAUAUGUUUUUUUCACUGCUCGCCCAUCUUGACCUAACGCCUAACGGCUAGGACCCCCCACCUCAACUCUCACCGUGUGGGUAGAUUAAGGUGAAACCAGCGGGCGGCAGCUCCAGGAACCAUUGUGAUGGGACGAAGGAGGCAUGAAAUAAUUUGGCGGAAAGUUACUGGUCGGCUGGGAUGCCGGGGACAAAACGACCGAAAGAACCCCUCGAUCGAGCGCAGGUGUCCACAGCACAAGAUUCCCCGGGAAACCGGAGCUUCAGUUCCACCGAUCUACCCCGGCCUGCUCCAUUGCUACCGGAGGGCAACAUGGGAACACCACACACCACACACGCACGUAACAAGAGGCCGGAAUCAAAAACCAAUAUCCAAUUCCUUAUUCUCCCUUACCCCUUCGAGAGACCUCCCCGUCGUGACAUUCACCAAAGAAUAAUACUAACCCCAAAGCAGCAUCAGCAGCAGUAGAUCGUUAGAUCUCCCCUUGCGAUUUAAGUAGUGUUUUCUACGUACGGUCCCCGGCCAUGCCCUCCACGUACACCUUCUCUUUCGGUCUUUCCCGUAGAUCGCCCCUAAGCUAGCGCUCGUGGCAACAAUGUCCCCUCUCCCAUGCCUAGCUCUCACGGCGCUCUCACCUAAUCACCAAACGGCCCGAGCCAAUAGGCCACCUCUGCUCCAGAGCAUCACGCGCGCACAUCAGCAAGCUCAGCAGGACGCAUCACCGCGCAAUAUUAACAAUGCUCUAAGCUAAUAAGCUAAGGUCAUGCUCGAUCGGUAGCCGCUGUCGCUGCCACCAAUUAGUGGUGGGUGCGGCGAUGGCGACGGCCGGGCCAAUCCCGCGCCGACACCCCGCCCGGCUUUCGUCUUCCUCUUUAGACCGAUCGGGGUUCCCGCGGCCCGGAAGAAGACAGCGCGCGCGCCCGUAAAAUAAUGUGGCUGCUAUUUCGGGCAAGCACGUAGACGUACGUACGGGCGAGCGAGCGAGCGCGAUCGGCCUCGGCCGCGCGUUAUUUUAUGCGCGCAUCGCCGUCUCCGCGCGCUGGGUGCGGUGACUUUGCCGCACCACGCCGGCGACAGGUGUCACCCGCGCGCACCAGCUCCCCCUCCAGCUCCAGGACCACCUCCUUGUUUAAUCGCCACCCCGCGCGUAAAGCCCACCCCGGCCACCGGAAAGAGCAGGAAGAAGAACCCAGAUCGACCGGCGACGGGCACGUUAAUGGUUAACUAUCCCUAGAGCUAAUAUAUCUUGCAGUACAUGCCACGGCCGGGAGACACGGCCGGGGUUGCUUCGUCUAGCUCCCUCCACCUGUCUGUUUGCAUGUCGCCUGCGCGGGCAUGGAGGCCGCGCCCCAUUCGCUGCGCCCAUUAGUAAAUCCCUCCCGUGAUGUGGCUGCAAGGGUUAUGUUAAUCCGUGUGCGGUGAAAUGAAGCAUCCAUCGAUGAUGGCAUGAGUGAUGGUGUCGUGUACACGGCCGGUCCCUUUCUCUACUUUGCGGUCUAGAAGGCUCGAUCUGCUAGUUUUGUUUACUACUGUAUAUAAAACCCAAAGGCCAGGUGUAUUUGGAGGUAGUAUGUUUAUACUCCAAGCAAAGCAAAGCUCGUCGAGCGAGCGGGGACCAAAAGUGGAAAGCAAGAUACGCCCCUCCCGCACAAGCUUUGUUGUUUGCAUUUGGCGAUGGAGUCGCAUCGAUCGGGCAAAUGCUAUGACCGUGAGGGAUUACUAAAACAAGGCAGAGCUAUAGCCUAUAGGGAAAAUCUAUUGUCUCCUGGGGUACUUUUACACCUCAAAACAAAGUUAAUCGCAGUAGCUAUGGCUAGCUAGGCAAACUAUAUAUAGCAGGUUGGUCAUUCUCUCUGCUAUAUAUAAUGGUACAUAUAUACUCCUACGUACUCCUAUAAACAUUUUUGAUUCUCUCCCCACUAAUCCUUGUUUUUACGAUCCGACAACUUUUUCCCUUGGAAUCAAGUUAGUAAUAGUAGAAAAAAACUAGUGUGCAUUUAGCGUGUCAUGUAUAAAUGCUGAACUAAAUUAUCUUACCAAUAUGGAUGACCUGUUACCAAAAGAAUCGGCGACAGGUGUACCUUCUUUUCUGUAGCUUUAGGCUCUAGCUCUUCUGUAAUGGCAUGUCAUCUUUGUGAAGAAACAGUUGUGUGCAUCAACUGAUACACGGACGGACGGACAGAUGGGUAAUCUUAAUUUUUCGGGGAAAUAGUUGUGAUUGCAUGAUUGAAAACAAAGAGAACAACAUCUAGUUCACCAAUUGUCAUGCCCUCGUUUUGUAUCACGAUGGUUAUUACUUAAUUAGUAGGUGGAUAGCAAAUUGUUCAUACAGUAGAUGAAGGUUAACGCUUCAAUUGUACUAAUUUAAAUUAGGUGCCACUUAUGUUGUAUUUAUCACUGCAAUGUCUUUAUUUGUUUUCUCUUCCUUUGUUAUUAGUUAUAAUUGAAUGGCUUCAAAAAAGUUAUAGUAGAAUUAGUAAAAAAAACGGUAUCGAACAAGAUUCCAUGGUUUCAUCACAAUUAUUUUAAGCACCUUUUGAUUGGUUUCCUAUGUUAGCAUAAACUCUAGAAAUGAGUUCCAACCAAGUAAAAGUGUAUAUUUUUGGUUUGCUAUUUUAUCACUUAGUUCAAUAUAACGGGAUUUCUCAAACAAGACACCAAUUUUGCAAACAAAUGAGAAGAAUAUCUCAGCACAACAUAUGAACUUCUUUUAGCCGUAUGAAAUUACUUGUGGUUUAUCAGGUUUCACCCCAAGAUGCCAAUUCGGACAUUUUUCUUCUAUUCUAAUUUUUAAUUGCAUGAGCAGCAUAACAACAUAACAGUUUUGUGUAAGGAAGUAAGGAAAGACUCCUGUUCCAUUCCUCGUAUAUAAGUGAUAACGUUUCUCAAAGAGAGUUUCCAAUGGAUUACAUCAAGUUCCAUUCCUCGUAUGUGAAAUCAGUAAGCACGAAUUUCUGUAUAUAACAAACUUCUGUUCCAAUCCACAAUCAGUCGUCCAACAAGGCAAUUGUCUUCAACUAGCUAGAUCAAUCAGGAAUAAGCAAUGUGACUUCUUUAUGUCUUUUGUUACCACUAUUUUCUGAUUCAAAAGCACAUAUUUCAUUUUUAUAAUGUGUGUUAUGUAUAAUAUAAGUGUACAUAUAUUGUAGGUGUGACGCGAGGAUAUGAUACACUAUAUGCUUCUCCAUACACUCUCCGCUGGUGAGUGCACUGUGGAUGCGCAAUGGGGGCUAUCGUAUGUUCACGUUUUGAAGAUGUUCAUCACAGAGAGAGCACCGUUUUAUUGGCAUUAGGUGUCUCUUUUCUCCACCGGAAAAACAAGAAAGGUGUCUCUUUCCGUAGCAAGGUAACAUGAGCGGAUGUGUCAGUGUUCACACCUCUAGUUGAGCACCAAGUUUGAGCCCGGUCGGGUGUGGUUGAAAUGCUAGCUGGGUAACAGAAAAUAAGGAACAAAUCGACGGCAUCAGUUCCACUUUGUACGCAGCUGUCUGAUCCGUCCACGAGUCCUUCUGUCCUCUUGGCGUAAAGAGGGAACAGAAUCUUGCGUCGGUCUUAAACUGUUGAACUUGCACCCACCUCACUGUUCACGAAGCCACGAAUGUGCCCACGAAGUACACGGAAAUGCUGUACUGUACUUGCAUUUCAUCAUGGAAGGCACAUGGUAGUGCUCGGUCCUGUGGAAGGGGAAGCAAUUAGUUGACGAGCGCCCCUUCGGAAGCCUCGCAACAAUCAGCGUCACUUAACGCAUUCUCAGCUAUCCGUCACGUGUCGCGCUCUGGACGCUCUCUUCAGAUUUGUUUUUUUCGCACGCGUUUUCAGCUUUUUAAACGGUUUUUUUGUUUUUUUCGAUGUUUUGAUUUUUCACAGGUCUUCUUUAGCUUUUGGAUAAAAAAUCUGAAAAAACGGAUUUUUUUCCUUCCCUGAGAGUCACGGUUUUGCUUCCGCGAGAAGCACGGUUUGAUUUCGCGAGAGUCAUGGCCAUGCCUCUCAAAAAAAAAUGUGUUUUCUAUUUAUUUUCCUUCCACGAGAGACACGGUUUUUGUGCCGCGAGAGUCACAACCGUGCCUCUUGGAAACGAAAAAAAACAUAUUUUCUGUUUUUUUUCUUUCGCAAGAGGCACGGUUUUGCUUCGCGAGAGGCAUGGUUGUGCUUUUGUGAGAGGCACAGACGUGCCUCCUCGGAAACGGAAAAAAAUGAGUUUUUUCUUUUUUUUUUCGUUCCGCGAGAGGCACAGUUUUGCUUCUGCGAGAGGUACGGGCGUGCCUCUUUCGGAAAGGGAAAAAUCCAUGCUCCAGAUUCGUUUUUUCAUUCGUUUUUUCGUAUGGUUUUUUCAUGAAAAAAAUAUCAACAUGGGAUCUAGUUUCGAAGAUCUCGGCACAAGGAAUCCAACGGUGAAAAAGGUUCGAGAUUUGGACGCACGGUUUAAGAAAUAAAAUGUUUUGAAUAAACGGAUCUAGAAAAAAGGGAAAACUCCGCUUACAUGCAGCGCGCCACUUAUCGCAACCUGAGAAGGUGUGAGUGAUUUUUGCAAUGAGUAUUCCUUAUUUCAUGAUUUCGUGUGAAAGGGCAUAAGUCAGGAAGAGAAGAAAAGAAAAUAAGGGGCCCAAAGCAGAGAAAUUAACAAAUAACCGUUAAACCCAAGAUCCAGCCUGCCCCAUCAGUUCAAGUAAAAGGCCCACAGAAAUAGCCGUGAUCUUUCUGCGCACUAUUAGGGAAAAUUUUAUACAUAGAAUCUUACCAGCAGUAUGGUUUAAAAUAAGACGCUACUGCUACUUAGCAAUAGCGCAUAUAAACAAAACGCGCUAUUAAUAUACACAUAGCAGUAGCGCGUCAGUAGUAAACAACGCUACUAUUAUAAUUGCCACGACCUUGCCGUCAAACUAGUUAUAGCAGUAGCGCCUGUUUAGUAAACGCGCUACUGCUAUUGAGCUUAGCAGUAGCGCUUUUCACCAAAGCUCGCUACUGCUAAGUUUAGUCCGCUCCUUGCAACUAAGUUUAGUCACACCUCGCUCAGCGAACAGGGUGUUUAACACCUUAAAUAUGUUACAUCUCAAACUAUCACAACCACUUGGUCUUCAUUGAACUCUAUGUGUAGGAUUUGUGGCCGCAAUGUGAGUCUUCUUCGGUUCCUAAACCGAUGAGGACUCAUAUUGACAAUUCAAAUUAUACACAAAAAGAUCACUGAUGACCAAUGUAUUUUUGAUGUUUAUUUUUACAUGCUUAGCCUUAGUAGUAGCGCGUUUUCAUAGAUGGCGCUACUACUAUAGACAUAGCAGUAUCACGGCCAAAGGAAAGGGCGCUACUGCUAUGGCGUUUAGCUGUAGCGCUUUACCCUAAAGCGCGCUACUGCUAAAGUCAUGCUAUCUUCUCCAUCCGGCCGCCCCUCACUAUCCCCUCUCCACUCCACUCACUCUCCCCCGCACCCCCUCGUCCACCGCCACCGCAUUGCCGCCAGCUGCUGCCGCCGUCGCCCCCUCCCUCCUCCAUCCUGUUGCCGUCGCCCCCCUCCCCAACCCCCCCCCCUGCCGUCACCGCCACCGAGGUAGCUCCUCCUACCUCCCCCCUCCUUUCCGCCUCCUCCCUCCUUCCUACCCCUCCUUCCUCCCCCUUCCCCCUCCCUCCCUUGUCUCUGCUCUUGUAGAAUGUAGGUAAUUUAAAUGUAGAUUUUAGAAUGUAGACAUUGUAGAAUGUGGGUUUUUUAAUAGAAUAUUUUUAUACUAUUUUAGGUGUUUUGAAUAGAAUAGGAAAUUUUAGGUCUUUUGAUUAGAAAUUUUAGUAAUGGAAAUUUUUAGUUGGUAGAAUUUGAAAUGGAUGGGUGGUUAUAUUGAUGGAUAUAUAGAUAGAUGGAUGGAUGGAUAGGUGUUAGGGCUAGAACUAUAGUGGCAAAUUUUUAGGGUUAGAACUAGGUUUCACAAUUUUUUAGUAAAUGUAGGUCUUUUGAAUCAGCAUAGUAAGGUUUAGUUGAUAGCUUUUAGGGUUUCACUAAGUCCUAAGAUGAGGAUAAUAAUGUUUUUGUUUAUAUUUUAUUUUUGUAGAAAUCAAGGAGCCCCUGCAUCAUCCUCGCCGUCGUGCCCGUCACCGACCCCCUCCGACCUCGAGGUGAGACCAGCCAAAUCCCCAUGUCGAUGAUGAUGUAGAUGUUUUGAUAGUUGUAGUAGAGUAGUAGCUACAUGAGUAGUUGUGACAAUGUUCUAUAGUACUAGUGCUUGCCCAAGUGGCCUAUGUUUGCAGGGAACACACCUCACAGUGGCCUAUGUUUUGUCGGAGUGUUCAUUAAUUUUCGUUCCGGCAAAUUUCAGGCGCUCGAUAUGUCCUUUUUUAGCAAAGGUCAUGCCGAUUUUUCCGUGAAUUUUCGCAUGGCUUGUGCUAUAAUAUAGGAAAUAUCGAGUGCGUUGGAAAUGCCGGAAAGAGCAUUUAACGCCAUUUUGGGUUUUGCCAUCGAAUUAUAAUCUUUGAAUUUUGAACACAAGAGAUGUCUGAUGAUGAUGGGAUCCCAGAGUGCGGGUACUGCUACGAUGACUGGGGUUUGUGCGACGGGUUUCCUCACCUGCAAAAUGAUUGGUUUUUCACCACAAAGUUGGAAGAAACCUUUGAUGUUUGUACGGUACGCAAUGACAAGCAUUUCAUAGUAAUUAAUAUCAUCACUUGUGCUUCUUUUGUUCAAGGUGUAAUUUCUGGAAAAAAAAUUCAAUUCGAUUAGUACAUCCCAUGCCAUGCUAGACCAUAUGUAUUGGAGAAGUUUGGUUUAGGUUUAGAUGACUUUGAGAAUGUGGAGAGGAGGAGGGCUCACUUAAGAACUAAACAUGGUUAUGAGUUUUUGAUUAAGCUGUACAAUGCGGUCAAUCGCUCCCAUUUCGGUUGCUCUAAUUGGGAAGCUCACCGCAAGGCAUAUGGAUUUGAGGAGGGAAUGCAAAUAAGAUUUGAUAUUCAUCCUGAAGAUUAUGACGAUGAUAAUAUCUACAUCUAGGUGGAUGUGGAUAUGCCUCAAGUUUUGCCUAGAUGUGAGUUUGUCAAACUAAUUUGUUAAGUUCAGUAAUUUAUAUUGUUAAUUUAAAAAUAUUUGGUGUUCGUCGGUACUAAACUUAUUUAUUUAUAAUUGUCAGCUUAUUUCUUAUCUUCAAGAAAUACUCGGAAGGUUGUAGACAUCACAUAUUACAGCUAUGACUUCAAACUUAAUUGCGAGGAGAAAGGUUAUCUUGUCUCAUUCAUAGAAGAUCUUGAGGCCUUUAAAACCAAUCACUCUAUCAACCCAAAUUAUACUAGAUACGUGCCACUAGUCCAUAAAUUGCUUGGUGGCAACUUCAUUGCCAAAAACUUGGUAAGAUUUUGUUAAUUAUGGUAACUUCAUUGCAUACAUUAUUCUUAAGUAAACUACAUCGCUAACUAUAUAUGUUACUAUUACAUUUUUUAACAGAGGCUCCCGAAGGAGGUUGUGCCUGACAUGCUAUUUACCGAAGGUGAUAUGCAUAUGGUUAGCUUACGACCAACUCCUUCGAAGGCUUACCAUACUGCAUACUCGAUUUCUUCAAAUGAUGGAAGGCUCAAAAUCAAAGAAUGGAGCAAAGUGAUGAAUGCGCACACGCAACUAAUUGGACACAAAAUGAAUGUGCGCAAGCCACAGGUUGGAGAUAGGUUUAUGUCCAUUCGGUUUAUCUGUUUUGUGGUAUUUUACCUAGGAGAGAGGAGUAGGUCCUAGGUAUUAAAAACAAUUAGUUAGUGUUGAUUAUAUAUAACUAUGAUGAUGAUGAGAAGUUUUUAUUAUGUGCUACAAUGUGUUAGAGUUGAUGGUGAUGCUAGGGAGGAGGAGUGAUUAUGAGUACUAUGAUGAUGAGGAGGAGUUGUUAUUAUAACUAGUGACCAAGUUGUUAUAUGAUGUCGCAUGGACGAAAAUUAUGAUGAGGAGGAGUUGUUAUAUGACAAUGAUGUAUUAUGAUGAUAAGUUGUUAUGCUAUGAUGAUGAUGAUGGUGAUGAUGAUAAUGAUGAUGAUGAUGAUGAGUUAUUAUGUCAUUGGGUGAAAGAACCGCGGAUUAGUUUUAAGUGGAUGGAUCCAACGUGACCAAUUGGGUAUAGUGGUGUUAGGGCGCAUCUAUGUCUCACUAUAAGCAACACGUAGGUCAGCCUCACCUAGCUAGCCUAUGAGCUUUUAAAUUGCUCGAGACUCAAAAUAAAAAUAAUAUGAAGUAAAAGUAGACGAUGUCUCUAAGAUUUCCUUAACAAUAGCUUUGUAUUCUUCACCCGCUCGCUGAUGAAUAUGUUGUACCACUUGCUUGCAGUCCGAUGCAACUUGAAUGUAUUGCAUCCCAAAAAUGGAUGAACUGUUUUUAAAUUUGAUGUACUUUUUUUCAAAAUUGAUGAACUUUUUUCAAAUUUGAUGAACUUAUUUUUAAGUCAAUGAACUUUUUGCAAAAUCGAUGAAAUCUUUUUCGAUUUUUUGGAAUUUGUUUUCAAAAUAGAAGAACUUUUUAAAAAAUCUGUGAACUUUUUCUCGAGAUGAUGAACUAUUUUUCAAAUUUGAUGAAUUUUUUUUAAAAGAGAUGAACUCAUUUUAAUUUCUAUGAACCUUUUUUUUCAAAUACGUACAUAUUUUCGGUAUUUUUUAUAGAAUUCUGUUUCGAAUUUAUACUUUCUUUUUAAAAAAAUACACUGGAUAUAUAUAAUAUGUAUCAACUAGAGGAAGUGUCAAAUAGAGGUUUUUCCUUUUUGUUGUGGACGGAAUGAUCAUGGCCUGGUGGUUACGAGGGACUGUUGUCAAACCUUGCGCUCGGAGUUCGAACCCUGAAAUCACUAAUUAAGGAGUACUCGUUGCAAAGAACACUCCACUUUCCCAGGUCGCGACAAGUGGCGCACAUGCAGCGCGCCACUUGUCGCAACCUGGGAGUUUUCCCUUUUUUCAUAGAUACGUUUAUUCAAAACGUUUUAUCUCUUAAACUGUGUGUCUAAAUCUCGAACCGUUUUCAUCAUUGGAUUCCUCGCAUCGAGAUCUUCAAAACUAGAUCCCAUGUUGAUAGGUUUUGACAAACAUUAUUUUCACGAAAAAAAUCGGACAAAAAAAACCGAGCAAAAAAACCAAACCGAGAGCAUGGUUUUUUCCCUUUCCGAAAGAGGCACGCCCGUGCCUCUCGCAAAAUCACAACCAUGCCUCUCGUUGAAGCAAAACCGUGACUCUCGUGUAUGGAAAAAAAUAGAAAACGCGUUUUUUUCCGUUUCCGAAAGGCACGGCCAUGACUCUCGCGAAAGCACAACCGUGCCUUUCGCGAAAGCAAAACCGUGACUCUCGCGAAAGAAAAAAACAGAAAACGCGUAUUUUUUCCCUUUCCGAGAGGCACGGCCGUGACUUUCACGUAAUCACAACCGUGUUCUCUCGCGGAAGCAAAAUCAUGACUCUCACGAACGAAAAAAAAANNNNNNNNNNNNNNNNNNNNNNNNNNNNNNNNNNNNNNNNNNNNNNNNNNNNNNNNNNNNNNNNNNNNNNNNNNNNNNNNNNNNNNNNNNNNNNNNNNNNNNNNNNNNNNNNNNNNNNNNNNNNNNNNNNNNNNNNNNNNNNNNNNNNNNNNNNNNNNNNNNNNNNNNNNNNNNNNNNNNNNNNNNNNNNNNNNNNNNNNNNNNNNNNNNNNNNNNNNNNNNNNNNNNNNNNNNNNNNNNNNNNNNNNNNNNNNNNNNNNNNNNNNNNNNNNNNNNNNNNNNNNNNNNNNNNNNNNNNNNNNNNNNNNNNNNNNNNNNNNNNNNNNNNNNNNNNNNNGAAAACGCGUUUUGUUUUUCCCUUUCCGAGAGGCACGGCCGUGACUCUCGCGAAAGCACAACCGUGCCUCUUGGGAAAGCAAAACCGUGACUCUCGUGAAAGAAAAAAAAUAGAAAACGUGUUUUUUUAUUUCCGAGAGGCAUGGCCGUGACUCUCGCUAAAGCACAACCGUGCCUCUCGCAGAAGAAAAACCGUGACUUUCACGAAAGAAAAAAAACGCAGUUUUUCAUGAAUUUUUUUGAUCGAAAAGCUAAGAAAGACCGGGGUCAAACCAAAAUGUCGAAAAACCCGGAAAAAAACCCGUUUAAAAAAGCCAAAAACGCAUGCGAAAAAAUAAAAAAGCAAAAUCCGAAGAGAGCGUCCAGAGCGCGACACGUGGCAAAUGGCUGAAAGCGCGCCAAGUGACGCUAAUCGUUACGAGGCUCCCGAAGGAGCGCUCGUUAACUAGUUGCUCCCGUUCGAACCCCAGCACUCGCGAAUCACUAUAGGAGAUUAAGUGUAGUUUUUGUUUUCUUCUGUAUUGAGAACAGAUAGUUAGCAAUGUUUUAAUUGGGCCGCGGCCCGCUCUUGGUCGUUGUAGGCGCCACUUCUCCAACGGGCGCCUACACCGCCGACUAGGAGCUCCCGUAUAGGGGGAGCUCCUAUAUGCCGCCCGUGUGCGUCAGAUUGUUGCGACUUUGUUGAAGUGACGCGCACACGGGCCGGCCCAACCAUCUCGCUGUGAGUGAAAAAACAAAAAAAGAAGAAGCGCAAGCGUGGGAUCAAACUGAGGACCCCAUGCUCGAAUCCAGUGAGGCAAACCAGCCGAGCUACCUACCUCAAACAUCUUGUAUGCAGCGCCAAUCUUAAAGUAGAACGAACAGGGGCAAAUCCUUAAAAAAAAGUUCAACAUUUUUAUGAUAUAAGUUGAAGAAAUUUUAAAAUAAAGUGAAUGUUUUUGUAAAAAAAUACUGAACAAAAUUAAAAUACCAACAUGGAUAUUUUAUGGGUAUAUGUUAAUUUUUUUAAUAUAUGAUGAACAAAACUUAAAUACACAAUGAACAUUUUGUCAAUAUACGUUGAACAAUUUCAUAAUAUACAAUAAACAUUUUUGUAAUACAGAAUGAAAAUUUUCUAAUAUAUGUUAAACAAUUUAAUAAUAUACAAUGAACAUUUUCUAAUAUACGUUGAACAAGUUGAAAAUAUACAAUUAACAUUAUUGUAAUACACAAUGAACAAUUUUACAGAGCAAGGUGAACUAUGUCGUAAUAUACGAUGAGCACUUUCUUAAAACAUUGGAGAUUUUUGUAACACACGGUGAACUUUUUAUACAAAUACACAAUAAUGAGAAGAAGAACAGAAACAGAAAAUAGAAAAGGAAACAUAAAAGAAAGGAAAUGAAAGGACAAAAAGGAAUCAAAACAGAAAAAUAAAAAACCAGAACAAAACAACUGAAAACCGGCCAAAACAGUGAAAAUACUGGAAGCAAAAAAUCAUAGAAGAAAAACGAAAAAAGAACACGAGAAACAAGGAAAAGCGAACGAGAUCCGUACGUGGACCGGCCCAAGUGUCGACUUGCCUCAGCGAAGGCUCGUCCUUUUGACGCCUGCGGGCGUCAAAUAGGAUUUGCCCUAAAAGGCCCCCGUACCCGUAUGUACAUAUAUAGCAGCGGAAGGACGGAUAUACGACUUUUCCGGGCUGGCAGGCUUUUAGCGGACCUAUUCGGGCUGCAAAAAAGCGAAAACUUGCAAAAUGCGGGGCGGCAAGGUUUUAGCCGAUCUGCUAGAGACACCCUAAUUUCCAAAUGCGGUGAUAACUAGAGAUUGAACCCCUGAAUGUAUUUUUUUCCAUGGGUGACGUAUGUGCAUGAACUUUGAGCAUGAGCUUUACAUGAUAAUUUGUACAGUACGUAUUAGCUCCGUGCAAGAAGGUAGUACUACUACUACUAUGUAUGUAUAUCCACUUAAUUAAGUACAGUACAAAACUUAGGGAGACGGCCGGGCCGGGGGUUUGUAUACAGCUAUAUAUGUUGACCUCCAAUCCAUGCAUCGACGUCUCAUCAGAUCUCAAACGUCCCCUCUAGCUCGAGCUGCCCACCGGCAGCCUCUUCCUCCUCGUCCGCAACGUAGAGGUACGGGUUCCUCUCCACCGGCUGGAAGUUAUAGAAGACGAAGACGUAGAAGGCGAGGCUGGCGAGCUCGACGGAGACGUUGACCACCCACUGGUACUUGUAGCUGAGCACGUCGGCGAAGGCCGAGACGGCGAUGCGGGUGAAGUAGAGGUAGCCGACGACGACGAGGUAGAACUGCUUGAAGAGGGUGAGCUUCUUGAGGUUCCUGGCCGCCUUGCCGUCCGUCUUGGAGGCCUCCCGCAGGUUGCGGAUGGACCAGAUGAUGGGGAAGAAGACCGCGCAGCAGCAGACCACGUCCACCAGCAGGAAGAUCUGGUUCCACGCCAGCCAGUCCCGCCCCGCCGGCCCCGUCUCCCCGAUCAUCGCCGACGCGAUGUUCUCGAUCACUUGCAGCGGGAUGAUGAUCAUCAGCACGUUCUUCUCCCGCUCCUGCAUUCUCGAUCCAUCCCACCAUCGUUGUGAAUACAUGCAUGGCCCCUCAUGUGUUGGUCGUUACAUGCACUGCACGUACGUAAUGUACAGACCUGGAGGUAUGGCUUCAGGAAGGACCAGCCGGUGCCGAUGAGCACGAUGACCGUGAAGAGGAGGAUGCCCUUGAAGAAGCCGAAGACAUAGAAGGCGACGUCCCAGCCGUGCGGCGUGCCAGUGCGCCCCACGUACCACGCGUCCUCGGCGGCGCACGCCAGCUUCAGGGCCUUGAACAGCAGCAGCGCCCCCAUCACAGCGUGGAUCCGCUCGACCGUGGCCCGCUGCUUGAUGCAGACGAACACCCACGCCGCCAGGAACGCGAAGUACAACGCGGACGAGGCGGCGAAGAUCCCCGGAAGCGGGAGCAGGCCGACGGGCAGGUACUCCCUGUCGCCGCCGGGGCCGGGCAUGUUGUACAUCUCCGUGCGCACGUCCAUGGUGAUCUCGACGCCGUCCUGGCAGCUGCUGAACAGCACCGUGUACUGGUCGGCGUCACCGAUGGUCACGUUACCCCCGCCGGCGCCGUCACGCCCGAUGUCCUUGAGCCGGAAGAGCGGCAUCACGUACUCGCUGGUGAGCGGGCAGAAGGAGCUGCCGGUCUCCUCGGCGUACUCGGACUCGUUGGUGAUCUUGAAGAAGAGGGUGUUGGAGAUGAGGAUGAAGCCCAUGAGCCCCGGGUCGACGGCCUGGGGCGGGGAGCCCUCGGGGACGCUCCAUGAGACGCCGGACACGUUGACCUGCGCGACGCCGCCGGGCUUGAAGCCGAACUCCUCGAACAGGAUGACGGGCCGCGAGUCCGACACGAUCGGCGUCGUCUUGAUCUCGCCGCGGGCCGCAUGGAGGAGCUGGAGGGCGAGGACGGCGGCGAGUAAUGCGGAGGCGGCCAUGGAGGAUCGAGCUAGGACGCUACCAAGGUCGGGUUCGUGUCACGUCAUUCGUGGAGGCGGAGAGGGUGGGAAGAGGCUCCGGCCGCGUCGAUUCGCGUGGCGUGUUUUCGGGGUGGCCACGAGACCCGCAUGAGUCAAACAAACCUCCAACAGGCCAGAACCAACAGCGUUUCCGCUAUUUUUGCCCAGUGAGAGAGGGCAGAGGGGGAAUUCCCUAUUCGACGCUCUCUGCGUCAAAGUGUCGACCAAACGCACAGGUGCGCAAUUGAUUGGGCCGGCCCAUCUAGAAAUGCACGUAUAGCUGGCAGUUCCGGUUUUGGGAACCUUCCAGAAGAUUCCUAGCCGGUUUUCUCGGAUCUGGGAUCCUUCUACAAGGUUCCUAAACUGGCUUCUUUUCCUUCUUUUUUUCUGAUUCCUUUUUUCUUUUUUCUUUUUCUUUUUUCUGUUUCCUUUUUCUUUUCCUUUUUAUCUGUUUCUUUUAAUUGUAUAUUUUCAAAAUUGUUCCAAAUAUUCGAAAACAAAUUGUUACCAAUUUUCUUUCAGUAUUUUAAAAACAUUUUGAAGUUUAAAAAUUGUUCGUCUUAUACAAUUGUUUCUUUUUAUUUUAGAAAAAUGUUUUGAUUUUCCAAAAACAAUCAUGUAUACAAAAAAUCUUUGGGAUUUUCAAAUUGUAUCAGAUUAAAAAAAAUCUGCAUUUGAAAAUAUGUACCAAUUUUCAAAUUUAAUCACCAAUUUAUAAAAUGCUUGCAUUUUCAAAAAAAUGUUAUGGAAUUGUUUUUUGUGUGUAAUGCAAUUUUUUAAAGUUAUCGAAAAAUGUUUCCAUUUCCAAUAUUUUGUUCACAUAUACAAAAAAGGUUCGGGAUUUUAAAAUUAUUCUCGGGUUCAAAAAUUUUUCUUCAUUUCAAAAGUUUACCUGCUUUCAAAAUAUGGUCACCAUUUUAAAAAUGUUUGUGUUUUCAAAAAUGUUCUGGAAUUUGAAAAUUUGCUCGCAUUUUACAAAAAAUGUUUCCAUUUUCAAAAAAAAUUCACGUGCACAAAAAAUCUUCAGAAUUUUAAAAUUGUUCUCAUGUUCAAAAAAAAUUUCUGCAUUUCAAAAGUUGUACCUGUUUUCAAAAUAUGUUCACCAAUUUAAAAAUGUUUGUGUUUUCCAAAAUUGUUCUGAAAUUUGAAAAUUUGUUCACGUUUUACAAAAAAGGUUUCCAUUUAAUUUUUUGUUCACGUACGGGAAAAUUAUUCAGGAUUUUCAAGUUGAUCUAAAAUUCAAAAUUUUGUUCUGUAAUUUCAAAAAAGUGUUUGCAGUUUUUAAGUAAUGCUCAAUUUAUGCCGGUAUUUUUAGUUCAUUUGACUUCGAGCCGAAUAUUUGCCAUGAAGGCUUGAUCGGUGUGGUGGCUAGCUAGAUGCGUACACAUACGGGAGGUCUAUAGUUCAAAUUCUAGCUCAGGCACAAUUUUCUUUGUACGAAUUUUUGCUCGCGCGACUUCAAUCCUAACGGGCCGGCCCAGUCGCGCGAAUCCUCUGCGAAAGGAUGACAGGAAAGGAUAAAGGCUAUUUCCGUGGGCCUGUUAAACUGAUGGCCCGGACUGGAUUUUGGGUAUAACUCUCAUUUGUUAAUAUCUAUGCUUUGGGCCCCUUUUUUUUUCUCUCUUCCUGACUUUUAACCGCCCGACCAAGAGCGGGGUUCCUAUACGGGGCAGAUCCUAUUUGACGCCCGCAGGCGUCAAAAGGAUGUGGCUCCGCUGAAGCCUGGCCACCCGACGCCCCAGUUUCGGCCGGCCCACGGUCGGCUGCUUUUUCUUUCUUUUUCUGUUUCUUUCAUUUUUGUUUUUCUGUUUCUAUUUCUUUCCCGUGUUUUGUUUCUUUCUUUUUGCAUAUUAUACACAUUUCGUUGCAUAUUAUGUACAAACAUGUUCAUCGUAUAUUUAAGAAAAUGUUCGUUAUGUAUUUUGAAAUUAUUCAACAUAUAUUCACAAAAAUGUUCAAUGAGUAUUUAAAUAUUGUUCAGCGUAUAUCACCAAAAUGUUCAAUGUGUAUUUAAAUAUUUGUUCAGCAUACAUUAAAAAUGUUCAGUGUGUAUUUAAAAAUUAUUCAACAUAUGUCAAAAAACGUUCAAUGUAUAUUUAAAAAGUGUUCAUCAUUUGAAAUGUCAAUUUUUUGUUCAUGUUUUCAAUAAAUGUUCGUUUUUAAAAGUUUGAUAAAAUUUCUAAAAAAAUCAAUAUUUCAAACGUUAUGAAAAAAAAUAAGAAAAAUGUUCAUUUUCCCCAAGAAAUGUUGAAAAGUUUGAAAAAAGAAACGGACCUGCUAUUGUAUAUGGUAGUUUAAUUGAUCAGGCGAUAUAUAUUGGUUCUUAAAGUUGGGCGCUGAAAAUCUAGCAGUAGUACGUGUCGGUUUUAUUGGUUUGGACUAGCUAUACACUAGUCAGAGAUAACGAGAUCGAGCUCUCUUUGUGGCGCAACAGUUUUCUGGUGAUAUUUUUUUACGUGCCUGGAUUUCGCUAGGUCCAACUGGGCCGGCCCGUUCGCGGUUCUGUUCAGCGAAGGGUCGACAGCUUGACGCUCGCGGGCGUCAUACAGGAGCUCCCCCUUUUAGGUUAGCAAUCCGGAUAAGCUUCACUACAAAAAUACUUCUCCAUGGGUAGGUUUAAAGAGCUCCCACAUGUUGGGGAACGUAGCAGAAAUUUAAAAAAAUUCUACGCAUCACCAAGAUCAAUCCAUGGAGUCAUCUAGCAACGAGGGGAAGAGGAGUGCAUCUACAUACCCUUGUAGAUCGCGAGCGAAAGCGUUGAAGAGAACGGGGUUGAUGGAGUCGUACUCGUCGUGAUCCGAAUCACCGAUGACCGAGCGCCGAACGGACGGCAUCUCCGCGUUCAACACACGUACGGUUGGGAGAGACGUCUCCUCCUUCUUGAUCCAGCAAGGGGAGAGGAGAGGUUGAUGGAGAUCUAGCAGCACGACGGCGUGGUGGUGGAAGCAGCGGGAUCUCGGCAGGGCUUCGCCAAGCACCAACGAGAGGGAGAGGUGUCACGGAGGGAGAGGGAGGCGCCAGGGACUUGGGUGCGGCUGCCCUCCCUCCCCUCCACUAUAUAUAGGGGCUAGGGGGUGCCGGCCCCUCUAGAUCCCAUCUAGAUGGAGGGGCGGCAGCCAAGGGGUGGCUUGGCCCCCAAGCCAAGUGGAGGCGCCCCCCACCCCUAGGGUUUCUAACCCUAGGCGCAGGGGGAGGCCCAAGGGGGGUGCACCAGCCCGCCAGGGGUUGGUUCCCUUCCCACAUUCAGCCCAUGGGGCCCUCCGGGAUAGGUGGCCCCACCCGGUGGACCCCCGGGGCCCUUUUGGUGGUCCCGGUACAAUAUUGGUGACCCCCGAAACCUUCCUGGUGGCCGAAAAUGGUCUUCCUAUAUAUAAAUCUUUACCUCCGAACCAUUCCGGAACUCCUCGUGAUGUCUGGGAUCUCAUUCAGAACUCCGAACAACUUUUGGGUUACCGCAUACUAACAUCUCUACAACCCUAGCGUCACCGAACCUUAAGUGUGUAGACCCUACGGGUUCGGGAACCAUGCAGACAUGACCGAGACAACUCUCCGGCCAAUAAGCAACAGCGGGAUCUGGAUACCCAUGUUGGCUCCCACAUAUUCCAUGAUGAUCUCAUCGGAUGAACCAGGAUGUCGAGGAUUUAAUCAAUCCCGUAUUCAAUUCCCUUUGUCAAUCGGUAUGUUGCUUGCCCGAGAUUCGAUCAUCGGUAUCCCAAUACCUUGUUCAAUCUCGUUACCGGCAAGUCACUUUACUAGUUCUGUAACACAUCAUCCUGUGACCAACUACUUAGUCACACUGAGCUCAUUAUGAUGAUGCAUUACCGAGUGGGCCCAGAGAUACCUCUCCGUCAUACGGAGUGACAAAUCCCAGUCUCGAUUCAUGCCAAUCCAACAGACACUUUCGGAGAUACCUGUAGUGUACCUUUAUAGCCACCCAGUUACGUUGUGACGUUUGGCACACCCAAAGCACUCCUACGGUAUCCGGGAGUUGCACAAUCUCAUGGUCUAAGGAAAUGAUACUUGACACUUAGAAAAGCUCUAGCAGACGAACUACACGAUCUUGUGCUAUGCUUAGGAUUGGGUCUUGUCCAUCACAUCAUUCUCCUAAUGAUGUGAUCCCGUUAUCAAUGACAUCCAAUGUCCAUGGUCAGGAAACCGUAACCAUCUAUUGAUCAACCAGCUAGUCAACUAGAGGCUUACUAGGGACAUGUUGUGGUCUAUAUAUUCACACAUGUAUUACGAUUUCCGGAUAACACAAUUAUAGCAUGAACAAUAGACAAUUAUCAUGAACAAGGAAAUAUAAUAAUAACCAUUUUAUUAUUGCCUCUAGGGCAUAUUUCCAACAGUCUCCCACUUGCACUAGAGUCAAUAAUCUAGUUACAUUGUGAUGAAUCGAACACCCAUAGAGUUCUGGUGUUGAUCAUGUUUUGCUCGAGGGAGAGGUUUAGUCAAUGGAUCUGCAACAUUCAGGUCCGUAUGCACUUUACAAAUAUCUAUGUCUCCAUUUUGAACAUUUUCAUGAAUGGAGUUGAAGCGACGCUUGAUAUGCCUGGUCUUCUUGUGAAACCUGGGCUCCUUGGCAAGGGCAAUAGCUCCAGUGUUGUCACAGAAGAGACUCAUCGGGCCCGACGCAUUGGGAAUAACUCCUAGGUCGGUAAUGAACUCCUUCACCCAGAUUGCUUCUUGUGUUGCCUUCGAGGCUGCCAUGUACUCCGCUUCACAUGUAGAUCCCGCCACGAUGCUUUGCUUGCAACUGCACCAGCUGACUGCCCCUCCAUUCAAAAUAUAUACGUAUCCGGUUUGUGACUUGGAGUCAUCCAGAUUUGUGUCGAAGCUAGCAUCGACGUAACCCUUUACGACGAGCUCUUCGUCACCUCCAUAAACGAGAAACAUAUCCUUAGUCCUUUUCAGGUACUUCAGGAUAUUCUUGACCGUUGUCCAGUGUUCCAUGCCGGGAUUACUUUGGUACCUUCCUACCAAACUUACGGCAAGGUUUACAUCAGGUCUGGUACAUAGCAUGGCAUACAUGAUAUACCCUAUGGCCGAGGCAUAGGGGACGACACUCAUCUUUUCUCUAUCUUCUGCCGUGGUCGGGCAUUGAGCCGUGCUCAAUCUCGUACCUUGCAACAUAGGCAAGAACCCCUUCUUUGACUGAUCCGUAUUGAACUUCUUCAAUAUCUGGUCAAGGUACGUACUCUAUGAAAGACCAAUGAGGCGUCUCGAUCUAUCUCUAUAUCUUGAUGCCUAAUAUGUAAGCAGCUUUUCCAAGAUCCUUCAUUGAAAAACACUUGUUCAAGUAGGCCUUUAUGCUUUCCAAGAAUUCUAUAUCAUUUCCCAUCAAUAGUAUGUCAUCCACAUACAAUAUGAGAAAUGCUACAGAGCUCCCUGAUAGAGGCUAAGGUGUCCCGAUGUUUCGAUGAGAUGGUGGCUAUCGUUUUCUGUGGGAGUCGACCUUGACGAUCCGACUACGAAUGUGCGAGACGUCGCGCCUUAGCAAUCGCUAAACCAACUUCCGAGGGUUAUUGUGUUGGGUUUCGUAGUAAUUUCAAAAAAUUUCCUACGCACACGCAAGAUCAUGUGAUGCAUAGCAACGAGAGGGGAGAGUGUUGUCUAUGUACCCACGCAGACCGACUACGGAAGCAUUGACGCAACGUAGAGGAAGUAGUCGUACGUCUUCAUGAUCCAACCGAUCAAGCACCGAAACUACGGCACCUCCGAGUUCGAGCACACGUUCAGCUCGAUGACGAUCCCCGGACUCCGAUCCAGCAAAGUGUCGGGGAAGAGUUUCGUCAGCAUGACGGCGUGGUGAUGAUCUUGAUGCACUACAGCAGCAGGGCUUCGCCUAAACUCCGCUAAAGUAUUAUCGAGGAAUAUGGUGGCUGGGGGCACCGCACACGGCUAAGGAAUAGAUCACGUGGAUCAACUUGUGUCUUCUAGGGUGCCUCUACCUCAGUAUAUAAAGGACUAGUGGGGGGAGGCUGGCCGGCCAAGGGAGGGCGCGCCAGGAGAGUCCUACUCCCUCUGGGAGUAGGAUCCCCCCCCCAAUCCUAGUUGGAAUAGGAUUCCUUGAGGGGGGAAAGAGAGAGAGGGGGCCGGCCACCUCUCCUAGUCCUAAUAGGACUAGGGGAAGGGGGGAGGCGCAUAGCCAUCUUGGGUUGCCCCUUUCUCCUUUCCACUAAAGCCCACUAAGGCCCAUAUAGCUCCCGGGGGGGUUCCGGUAACCUCCCGGUACUCCGGUAAAAUCCCGAUUUCACCCGGAACACUUCCGAUAUCCAAACAUAGGCUUCCAAUAUAUCAAUCUUUACGUCUCGACCAUUUUGAGACUCCUCGUCAUGUCCGUGAUCACAUCCGGGACUCUGAACAACCUUCGGUACAUCAAAAUGCAUAAACUCAUAAUAUUACUGUCAUCGUAACCUUAAGCGUGCGGACCCUACGGGUUCGAGAACAAUGUAGACAUGACUGAGACACGUCUCCGGUCAAUAACCAAUAGCGGGACCUGGAUGCCCAUAUUGGCUCCUACAUAUUCUACGAAGAUCUUUAUCGGUCAGACCGCAUAACAACAUACGUUGUUCCCUUUGUCAUCGGUAUGUUACUUGCCCGAGAUUCGAUCGUCGGUAUCCAAUACCUAGCUCAAUCUCAUUACCGGCAAGUCUCUUUACUCGUUCCGUAAUACAUCAUCUCACAACUAACAUAUUAGUUGUAAUGCUUGCAAGGCUUAUGUGAUGUGCAUUACCAAGAGGGCCCAGAGAUACCUCUCCGACAAUCGGAGUGACAAAUCCUAAUCUCGAAAUACGCCAACCCAACACCUACCAUUGGAGACACCUGUAGAGCUCCUUUAUAAUCACCCAUUUACGUUGUGAUGUUUGGUAGCACACAAAGUGUUCCUCCGGUAAAUGGGAGUUGCAUAAUCUCAUAGUCAUAGGAACAUGUAUAAGUCAUGAAGAAAAGCAAUAGCAACAUACUAAACGAUCGGGUGCUAAGCUAAUGGAAUGGGUCAUGUCAAUCAGAUCAUUCAACUAAUGAUGUGACCUCGUUAAUCAAAUAACAACUCUUUGUUCAUGGUUAGGAAAUGUAACCAUCUUUGAUUAACGAGCUAGUCAAGUAGAGGCAUACUAGUGACACUCUGUUUGUCUAUGUAUUCACACAUGUAUUAUGUUUCCGGUUAAUACAAUUCUAGCAUGAAUAAUAAACAUUUAUCAUGAUAUAAGGAAAUAAAUAAUAACUUUAUUAUUGCCUCUAGGGCAUAUUUCCUUUCAUAUUGACCACGCCGGAGCACGAUCAACCUGACCACGAGGGUCUGUUUCCUGCGAGCAAAUGAAGAACAAGCAAGAAACUAAGAUUGCAAUCGGGAUAUUGUGAAUAUAAGAUGAAAGCUUUAUUGAUCAAGGUGGGGUUCUGUGACGUCUUGGUCUGGUCGUUGGACAUAAACGAAGUACGCGAAGUUGCAGCUAUGGCGAACUUUUAAUCUAAACAAAACCCAAAGUCUAAACGACGCCCUAAGGGAUGUAUAUAUGGAGAAAUAGGGGGCAAUUUCGUGGCCCUUGAGGGUGGGGUCCGAAACCAACCCUAACUCUUAUUUCCCCACACAUACGGACUCUAAAAAUAGCCUAUACUUAAGUAUUUCGAAAUUACAUGGGCCUGGCCCAUUAAUAAGGUGACGCAGCACCUAGAAUAGCCUAUGGACGAAUAUUAUGAAGUGGCAUCUUGUAUAUUUCGUCCAAGGCUUCAUGCACUCCUUAUGGCGGCUUCAAAGUCCUGAAAUCAUCACUUAUAACUCCGUUCUUGAUCCCCUUGCACAUGCCAUCAACUCCAUGCGUGUUCUUGCUCUAAUGUUCAUCCUUCUCCAAGUUAGGCCCUUCAUUUGUAAGCAAAACAAAUGUAUCCAAUUUAGGCAGCAUCAUAAUCUCAUGAACAUUAGAAUCAUUACCAAGAAACGUAAGUACCUGGUAAUUUAAUUGGCGUGCGCGAGCUCUAGUAAUUGGUCCAGUAUAUGUAACAGUAGGGGCUGUGGGUGUAACAAUGGUAUUGAUGUCCUCAUCAUCCUCCCCUUCUUGAAAUGAAGUCGUCCUCGACGGAAGCGCAUCUUCCUCACCCAAAUAAGGCUUCAAAUCUGCAAUGUUAAAAGUGGGACUAACCCCAAAAUCUACAGGUAGCUCAAGUUUAUAUGCAUUAUCAUUUAUUUUCUCUAACACCUUAAAAGGACCAUCAGCACGUGGCAUUAGCUUUGAUUUGCGCAGAUUAGGAAAUCUAUCUUUACGCAAAUGUAACCAAACAAGAUCUCCAGGUGCAAACACAACAUGUUUUCUACCCUUAUCUCCAGCAAGUUUAUAUUUAGCACUCAUACGCUCAAUGUUUUCCUUAGUUAACUCAUGCAUUUUUACAAUCAAUUCAGAACAUUCUUUAGCAUCAAAAUUAACCUUCUCUGAAGAUGGAAGAGGCGACAAAUCAAUAGGUGCACGAGGUAGGAAACCAUACACAAUUUCAAAAGGGCACAUCUUAGUAGUAGAAUGCAAUGAACGAUUAUAAGCAAAUUCAAUAUGAGGCAAGCAUUCUUCCCACAUUUUCUUGUUAUUCUUCAAAACAGCCCUAAGCAUAGUAGACAAUGUUCUAUUGACUACCUCAGUUUGUCCAUCAGUUUGGGGGUGACAAGUAGUACUAAAAAGCAGCUUAGUCCCCAACUUAGCCCAUAAACAUCUCCAAAAGUGGCUAAGAAAUUUAGUAUCACGAUCUGAAACAAUAGUAUUUGGCACACCAUGUAAGCGAAUAAUUUCACGAAAGAACAAAUCAGCAACAUUAACAGCAUCAUCGCUUUUAUGACAUGGUAUAAAGUGUGCCAUUUUCGAGAACCUAUCCACGACAACAAAUAUGCUAUCCCUCCCCUUCUUUGUUCGAGGUAAACCUAAAACAAAGUCCAUAGAUAUAUCAUCCCAAGGAACACUAGGUACAGGCAAAGGCAUAUAUAAACCAUGAGGAUUGAGUCAUGACUUAGCUCUUUGACAUGUAGUGCAGCGAGUAACAAAACGCUCAAUAUCCCGUCUCAUCUUUGACCAAAAGAAAUGUGUAGCAAGUAUAUCCUCCGUCUUCUUGACGCCAAAGUGUCCCAUUAAUCCUCCUCCAUGCGCCUCCUGCAACAACAAAAGACGAACGGAGCUAGCUGGAAUGCAUAGCUUGUUAGCACGAAACACAAAUUCAUCAUUAAGAACGAACUUGUUCCAAGUUCUCCCUUCCUUACAAUUCCGCAAUACAUCUUUAAAUUCAGCAUCAUGAACAUAUUGAUCUUUGAUGGUCUCCAAACCAAAUAUUUUAAAGUCAAGUUGUGAAAGCAUAGUAUAACGACGAGACAAGGCAUCAGCAAUAACAUUUUCUUUACCCUUCUUGUGUUUAAUAACAUAAGGGAAAGUCUCAAUGAAUUCAACCCAUUUAGCAUGUCUACGGUUCAGUUUUGCUUGACUUUUAAUGUGUUUCAAAGAUUCAUGAUCAGAAUGUAUAACAAAUUCCUUGGGCCAUAAAUAAUGUUGCCAUGUUUCUAAGGUUCGAACAAGAGUAUAUAAUUCUUUAUCAUAAGUAGAAUAGUUCAGACUAGGCCCACUCAAUUUUUCAGAAAAGUAUGCAACAGGUUUUCCAUCUUGUAAUAACACACCUCCUAAUCCAAUUCCACUAGCAUCACAUUCAAGCUCAAAAGUCUUAUUGAAAUUAGGAAGUUGGAGUAAAGGAGCAUGUGUCAACUUAUCUUUCAAUACCGUGAAAGCUUCUUCCUGUGCGGUACCCCAAACAAAAGGCACAUCCUUCUUUGUAAGCUCGUUGAGACGUGCAGCAAUGGUGCUGAAAUCUCUCACAAAACGCCUAUAGAAACCAGCGAGGCCAAGGAAACUCCUCACUUGUGUGACCGUUUUGGGCUGCGGCCAACUCUCAAUAGCUUCAAUCUUGGCUUUAUCAACUUCAAUUCCCUGUGGAGUAACAACAUAGCUAAGAAAAGAUACUCGGUCGGUGCAAAAAGUGCACUUUCCAAGGUUUCCAAACAAACGUGCAUCACGUAGAGCAACAAAAACAGCACGUAAAUGUUCCAAAUGUUCCUCCAAAGAUUUGUUAUAAAUCAAUAUGUCAUCAAAGUAAACUACCACAAAUCGUCCAAUGAAAGCACGUAAAACUUCGUUCAUUAACCUCAUGAAAGUACUAGGUGCAUUAGUUAACCCAAAAGGCAUGACUAACCACUCAUAUAAUCCAAACUUAGUUUUAAAUGUUGUUUUCCAUUCAUCACCCAAUUUCAUACGAAUUUGAUGGUAUCCACUACGCAAAUCAACUUUGGAGAAUAUUGUAGAGCCACUCAAUUCAUCAAGCAUAUCAUCUAGCCUAGGAAUAGGAUGACGAUAACGAAUAGUAAUAUUAUUAAUGCCUCUACAAUCAACGCACAUACACGACGUAACAUCCUUUUUCGACACUAAAAUGAUAGGAACAGCACAAGGACUAAGGGAUUCGCGUAUAUAACCUUUGUCGAGCAGUUCUUGUACUUGACGCAUAAUCUCCUUCGUCUCCUCUGGAUUAGUACGGUAUGGUGCACGGUUGGGUAGCGAAGCACCGGGAAUUAAGUCAAUUUGAUGCUCAAUCCCUCGAAUAGGUGGUAAUCCCGGUGGCACGUCUUGUGGAAAGACGUCAGCGAACUCCUGCAAAAUGUUAGUGACAGCAGGGGGCAAAGAGGAAGGCACGUCCUCGAAUGAAAAUAAUGCCUCUUUGCACACAAAAGCAUAGCAAACAGAUUUGCUAAAAUCUAGCUCAUCAAUAUCAGAUUUGGUGGCAAGUAAACAUGCACUUUUCAAUUUAAUUUCAGAAACAACAGUAGAUGAUUUAUUAUUAGGCUUCAUUUGGUGCUCAAAUUCUUUUGCCACAAUCUGAUUUUCACUCUUAUUUGUCUCCUGUUUUGCUUUAUUAGCUCUAUUAAUAUCAUCUUUUAAAAUGGAAUCAGGAGUCAUAGGAAGCAAAGUAAUAUUUUUAUCGUUAUGAACAAGAGUAUACUGAUUGUUUCUACCAUGGUGUAUAGAUUUUUUAUCAAAUUGCCAUGGUCUACCAAGUAAUAAGGAACAUGCUUGCAUAGGUACCACAUCACAAUCAACAUAAUCAGCAUAUGUAGAGAUACUAAAAUGCACACGAACAGUACGUGUUACCUUAACCUUGCCGUUGUUGUUGAACCAUUGGAUGUAGUAAGGAUGUGGAUGUGGUCUUGUGGUGAGAGAUAGCUUCUCCACCAUCUCCAUGCUAGCCAAGUUAUUGCAGCUCCCUCCAUCUAUGAUCACGCGAACAGAAUGUUCCUUCACGACUCCCUUUGUAUGGAACAAAUUAUGCCUCUGAUUUUGCUCAGCUUGUGUAACCUGCACACUCAAAACACGUUGAGCAACUAAACAUUCAUACAUGUCAGCAUCUUCAGGAGCCAUGUAUUGCGUCUCAUGAUCACAAUCGUCUCCACCGUGUUCUUCACGUGUAAUAAGAGCCAAAGUCUCCUCAUCAUAGUCACUAGCGGACUCAUACCCACCAUCCUCAGUAACAAUCAUCACACGCUUAGAUGGGCAUUCUCUCGCAUAAUGACCUCCACCCUUGCAACAUCGACAAAUAAUAUCAUGUGUUUGCCCUGUUGAUGCCAUGGAUGAAGAAGAGCUCUUUGCAGGCCCAAAAGGUGUGCUCUUGGCAGAUAGUGGUGAUUGUGCCUGCUUUAUUGUAUCACGGUUGGAGGUGGCAGCCGACGGAGGCGCCGGUGUAGCAGAACGUGUGGAAGUAGAUGAUGCACGUGGUGUCCAUGAUGAAGGUCGACCUGCAGAAAAGUUAGUCCGCGCCAAUGCAUGUCGAUCCUGCACUUCACGUUCAGCUUUACAAGCAAGAUGGAAUAAACGAGUGAUAUUAGUAUACUCCUUAUACUCUAGAAUCGUCUGAAUCUCUCUAUUUAAUCCACCCAUAAAACGUGCAAGCAUAGCUUCAUUCUCCUCAACAAUACCACAUCUAAUCAUGCCAGUUUGUAAUUCCUGAUAAUAUUCUUCUACAGAAUUUUUUCCCUGUCUUAAGCGCUGCAAUUUUUGAAGUAAUUCACGUUGAUAAUAUGGUGGAACCCAACGAAUACGCAUAGCAGUUUUCAAAGCAGCCCAAGUAGCCGGAAUAGGAUAUAAUCUACAAUGCUCAGACCACCAAACACAUGCAAAACUAGUGAAUGCACAAACAGCAGCAGGAACACAUCUCUCCUCGGGAUAUUGUAAACAUGUAAAUCGUUGUUCAGUUUCUAACUCCCAAGUAAGAUAUAUAUCAGGAACAUAUCUACCCUCAAAUGGUGGAAUAUUCAAUUUUAGUUUAGGGAGAUGGUCAUGAUCUCGUACCUGAGGGUGAGCCCUACCAUUGCCAUUAUUUGCAUGUGGACGGCCUGGUGGUUGCUGUGCUGGUGGUGGCACGUAGUUCUGAUUUUGAUCAACCUCAUCCUCAUAAUCUCCCACAUAAUCAUCCUCCUCCACAUCAGCAGUAGGAGCCACAGAAGUAUCAACAGCAGCACCAGCAGUUUGGCCCGACUGAAGAGGGACAUGGCUCGCUCGGCGGAGGGCUGUUUCCCGACAUGGAGGUAGUCGAUGUUGUUGCUGUUGUUGCAGAGGUGCGGCAGGAGCAGCCGGUGGUGGUGGUGGAAAACGCGAAAGCAAUUCAGCAAACUUGUUAUCGAGCUUUGUUUCAAACGUCUUCUCCAUGCCAUCUAUCUUCUCCAUGGCCUCUUCAAAUCUGUUUAUCACAUCUUGCACUUGUCCACUCAUCAUUUGCUGAAACGUAUCAUGAAGCUCCUUGUUCGUCAAGUUCUCCCAGUCAGUCUCGUCGACUUGUGAUCCUGGCAUGGUUAGCAGCAAUAGAAACACACACGAAGAUGAUCCUACAGACUACUAACAAGUGGUGGUGGUGGCGGGUGUCACAAAUCCGUCAAGCAAAUCUCAAAUUCUUACCAGUUUUUACCCAGCAGCAGGCGGUGAUCGGCAACCGUUGUAGUCAAAACUCUCAAAAGCUUGGAUAGAGCGAUUGCCAGGGAGAGUCAAACGCACGACUUAGAUGUAUGUGGAGCUGGGAAGGCUUAUAGUAUGGUAGCAAAAAAAGGCCAGCAAUAAUCAAUUCAGAGAUGCAAAGUUGAAUAAACGCUCAACAACGGUACUGUGCUGGUCCUAGGCUAGACUGUGCUAGAGACACGAGCCUAGAACACUAACAAAAUCACGGCGCUGCACGUAAAUAAGGGAAAAGCACACUCUGGAACUCUUUUUUUUCGCUCUUUUUUUUCCGCUCCUUUUUUUUUGCGCUCCUCUUUUUUUUUGCGAAAAAUCACUAUAAUGGCGAGUGUCUCAAAACUCUUCCCUCGUCAAACUGAUAGGAUGGGCACGGAAUUUUUUUUUCACUUUUUUUCGGAAAUCAGGGCAGCGACGACGAAAAAGUGCAACAAAAAAUCACUAUGAUGGCACGUGGCUCAAAAGACUCAGAAAAGCCUAAAAAUAGGAUAGGGAAAAAAAUUGCCCGUGAAAAUUUUGGCCUAAAAACUGCCCGGGGAUCUCCAGACUCUUUUUUUUGAGACCUACGCAGGCAAGGAAACACGAAACGGAAUUUAGAUUAAUCUCAAGAACAAACCUAAUAUGAGAAGAACUCGGAUUGGUGGUGGAUAUAUGGUUGUGGUAUAUGGCAGCGGUGGUGGUAUAUGGUAGCGGUGGUGGUAUAUGGAUACAGAUUGGUGGUGGUAUAUGGAUACAGAUUGGUGGUGGUAUAUGGAUAUGGAUUCAGAGCGGUGGCGGAUAAGCAAAAGUGGUAGAUGGGCGAUGAUGAUGGUGCGGCGGCGUGACAACUUAUGACCAGAACUCGAAACUCUAAAAGACUAGACUCUAAGACCAGCAACUUGACACGACGAUGCAACCGCAAAUUUAGCAAAGCAAAAACCCUAAAAAGAUUAUGCAAAGGCUCAGAUUGGUUCGGAUAUGAUGAACUAACCCUAAUUUUUUUUUCUGGCUUUUUCGUGGACUGUAGGUAUGAAGAACAGACUCGAUCUAAUCUAUGAAAAACUAUAAAAUCUCACCGAGCAACCUGGAAAUCUGAUACCACUUGAUAGAGGCUAAGGUGUCCCGAUGUUUCGAUGAGAUGGUGGCUAUCGUUUUCUGUGGGAGUCGACCUUGACGAUCCGACUAUGAACGUGCAAGACGUCGCGCCUUAGCAAUCGCUAAACCAACUUCCGAGGGUUAUUGACCACGCCGAAGCACGAUCAACCUGACCACGAGGGUCUGUUUCCUGCGAGCAAACGAAGAACAAGCAAGAAACUGAGAUUGCAAUCGGGAUAUUGCGAAUAUAAGAUGAAAGCUUUAUUAAUCAAGGUGGGGUUCUGUGACGUCUUGGUCUGGUCGUUGGACACAAACGAAAUACGCGAAGUUGCAGCUAUGGCGAACUUUUAAUCUAAACAAAACCCAAAGUCUAAACGACGCCCUAAGGGCUGUAUAUAUGGAGGAAGAGGGGGGAAUUUCGUGGCCCUUGAGGGUGGGGUCCAAAACCAACCCUAACUCUUGUUUCCCCACACAUACGGACUCUAAAAAUAGCCUAUACUUAAGUAUUUCGAAAUUACAUGGGCCUGGCCCAUUAAUAAAGUGACGCAGCACCUAGAAUAGCCUACGGACGAAUAUUAUGAAGUGGCAUCUUGUAUAUUUCGUCCAAGGCUUCAUGCACUCCUUAUGGCGGCUUCAAAGUCCUGAAAUCAUCACUUAUAACUCCGUUCUUGAUCCCCUUGCGCAUGCCAUCAACUCCAUGCGUGUUCUUGCUCCAAUGUUCAUCCUUCUCCAAGCUAGGCCCUUCAUUUGUAAGCAAAACAAAUGUAUCCAAUUUAGGCAGCAUCAUAAUCUCAUGAACAUUAGAAUCAUUACCAAGAAACGAAAGUACCUGGUAAUUUAAUUGGCGUGCGCGAGCUCUAGUAAUUGGUCCAGUAUAUGUAACAGUAGGGGUUGUGGGUGUAACAAUGGUAUUGAUGUCCUCAUCACUCCCACUCACUUUCUUGUAAACGCAGGCUUCUCCAUAAGUCUGUGUAAACCCAAACGCUUUGAUCAUCUCAUCAAAAUGAAUGUUCCAACUCCGAGAUGCUUGCACCAGCCCAUAGAUUGAGCGUUGGGGCUUGCACACCUUGUCAGCAUUCUUAGGAUCGACAAAACCUUCUGGUUGCAUCAUAUACAAUUCUUCCGUGAGGAAACCAUUAAGGAAUGUCGUUUUGACGUCCAUUUGCCAUAUCUCAUAAUCAUAGAAUGGGGCAAUUGCUAACAUGAUUCGGACGGACUUCAGCUUCGCUACGGGUGAGAAAGUCUCAUCGUAGUCAACCCCUUGAACUUGUCAAUAACCCUUAGCGACAAGCCGAGCUUUAUAGAUGGUCACAUUACCAUCCGCGUCUGUCUUCUUCUUAAAGAUCCAUUUAUUUUCUAUGGCUCGUCGAUCAUCGGGCAAGUCAGUCAAAGUCCAUACUUCGUUUUCAUACAUGGAUCCUAUCUCGGAUUUCAUGGCUUCCAGCCAUUUGUCGGAAUCUGGGCCCGCCAUCGCUUCUUCAUAGUUCGAAGGUUCACCAUUGUCUAACAACAUGAUUUUCAGGACAGGGUUGCCGUACCACUCUGGUGCGGAAUGUGUCCUUGUGGACCUACGAAGUUCAGUAGCAACUUGAUCUGAAGUUUCAUGAUCAUCAUCAUUAACUUCCUCUCUAGUCGGUGCAGGCACCUCAGGAACAUUUUCUUGAGCUCCACCACUUUCCGGUUCAAGAGGCAAUACUUCAUCAAGUUCUACUUUCCUCCCACUUACUUCUUUCGAGAGAAACUCUUUCUCUAGAAAGGAUCCAUUCUUGGCAACAAAGAUCUUGCCUUCGGAUCUGAGGUAGAAGGUAUACCCAAUAGUUUCUUUAGGGUAUCCUAUGAAGACGCAUUUUUCCAAUUUGGGCUCGAGCUUUUCAGGUUGAAGUUUCUUCACAUAAGCAUCGCAUCCCCAAACUUUUAGAAACGACAGCUUAAGUUUCUUCCCAAACCAUAAUUCAUACGGUGUCGUCUCAACGGAUUUCGAUGGAGCCCUAUUUAAAGUGAAUGCGGCAGUCUCUAAAGCAUAGCCCCAAAAUGACAGCGGUAGAUCGGUAAGAGACAUCAUAGAUCGCACCAUAUCCAAUAGAGUGCGAUUACGACGUUCGGACACACCAUUACGCUGAGGUGUUCCAGGCGGCGUGAGUUGUGAAAUUAUUCCACAUUUCCUUAAGUGCGUGCCAAAUUCGUGGCUCAAGUAUUCUCCCCCACGAUCUGAUCGCAAGAACUUGAUUUUCCUGUCACGUUGAUUCUCAACCUCACUCUGAAAUUCCUUGAACUUUUCAAAGGUCUCAGACUUGUGUUUCAUUAAGUAGACAUACCCAUAUCUACUCAAGUCAUCAGUGGGGGUGAGAACAUAACGAUAGCCACCGCGAGCCUCAACACUCAUUGGACCGCACACAUCAGUAUGUAUGAUUUUCAAUAAGUUGGUUGCUCACUCCAUUGUUCCGGAGAACGGAGUCUUGGUCAUUUUGCCCAUGAGGCAUGGUUCGCACGUGUCAAAUGAUUCAUAAUCAAGAGACUCCAAAAGUCCAUCUGCAUGGAGUUUCUUCAUGCGUUUGACACCAAUGUGACCAAGGUGGCAGUGCCACAAGUAUGUGGGACUAUCAUUAUCAACCUUACAUCACGUUCGAGAUUAAAUAAGAAUAAACCAUUGACCAGCGGGGCAUGACCAUAAAACAUAUCUCUCAUAUAAAUAGAACAACCAUUAUUCUCGGAUUUAAAUGAGUAGUCAUCUCGUAUUAAACGAGAUCCUGAUACAAUGUUCAUGCUCAAAGCUGGCACUAAAUAACAAUUAUUGAGGUUUAAAACUAAUCCCGUAGGUAAAUGCAGAGGUAACGUGCCGACGGCGAUCACAUCGACCUUGGAACCAUUCCCGACGCGCAUUGUCACCUCGACCUUGGAACCGUUCUUGAGGUCACAGGAGAAAUCAUGUUGCAAGUAAUCAUGUGAAUUUGAUAUGUGCUCUAUAUUUUGAUAGUAUGUAUGUUGUGAUUCCCUUAGUGGUGUCAUGUGAACGUCGACUACAUGACACUUCACUAUAUUUGGGCCUAAGGGAAUGCAUUAUGGAGUAGCAAUUAGAUGAUGGGUUGCGAGAGUGACAGGAACUUAAACCCCAGUUUAUGCGCUAUUCUGUAAGGGACCGAUUGGAUCCAAAAGUUUAAUGCUAUGGUUAGAAUUUAUUCUUAAUACUUUUCUCGUAGUCGCGGAUGCUUGUGGGAGACUUAAUUAUAAGUAGGAGGUUUGUUCAAGUAAGAACAACACCUAAGCACCGGUCCACCCACAUAUCAAAUUAUCAAAGUACCGAACACGAAUUAAACCAACAUGAUGAAAGUGACUAGAUGAAAUUCCCGUGUACCCUCAAGAACGCUUUGCUCAUCAUAAGAGGCUGUUUUGGCGUGUCCUUUGCCUCAAAAGGAUUGGGCUACCUUGCUGAACUUUUGUUACUACUAUCGUUACUUGCUCGUUACAAAUUAUCUUGCUAACAAACUACUAUGUUACUUACAAUUUCAGCACUUGCAGACAUCUCCUUGCUGAAAACUACUUGUCAUUUCCUUCUGCUCCUCGUUGGGUUCGACACUCUUACCUAUCGAAAAGAGCUAAAAUUGAUCCCCUAUACUUGUGGGUCAUCAAGGUUAUUUUCUGGCGUCGUUGCCAAGGAGUGAAGUGCCUUUGGUAAGUGGAUUUUGGUAAGGAAACAUUUAUAUAGUGUGCUGAAAUUUAUUGCCACUUAUUACUAUGGAAAACAAUCCUUUGAGGGGUUUGUUCAGGGUAUCUUCACCUCGUCCGGAACCACAAUUAGCUACCCCACAACCUACUGCACCUUCUGAAAAUAUUGAAUAUUAAAUUCCUUCGGGUAUGAUAGAACAACUGCUAGCUAAUCCUUAUGCAGGAGAUGGAACCGAACAUCCUGAUAUGCACUUGAUAUAUGUGGAACAAAUUUGUGGAUUGUUUAAGCUUGCAGGUUUACCCGGAGAUAAAGUUAUGAAAAAGGUUUUCCCUUUAUCUUUGAAGGGAAAACCAUUGGGGUGGUAUAGGCUAUGCGAUGAUAUUAGAUCUUGGAAUUGGAAUCGUUUGAAAUUGGAGUUCCGUCAAAAAUUUUAUCCUAAGCAUCUAGUUCAUCGUGAGCAGAAUUAUAAUUUUUGGCCUCGUGAAGGAGAAAGUAUCACUCUAUCUUGGGGAGGCUUAAGUCAAUGUUAUAUUCAUGCCCCAAUCAUGAGCUCUCAAGAGAAAUUGUUGUGUAGAAUUUUUAUGCUCGGCUUUCUCGUAAUGAUCAAACCAUGCUUGAUACUUCUUGUGUUGGUUCCUUUAUGAAGAAGACUAUUGAAUUUCGGUGGGAUCUUUUGGAAAGAAUUAAACACAACUCUAAAGGUUGAGAACUCGAAAAGGUAAAGAGUCAGGUAUUAAACUUAAGUAUGAUUGUGUCAAAUCUUUUAUGGAUACCGAUGCUUUUCAAAAGUUUAGCACUAAAUAUGGACUUGACUCUGAGAUAGUAGCCUCCUUUUGUGAAUCAUUUGCUACUCAUGUUGAACUCCCUAAGGAGAAGUGGUUUAAAUAUCACCCACCUAUUAAAGAAGAAACUAAAGAACCAGUACUAGUUAAAGAAGAACCAUACUUUAUAAUGUUGACCCAGUUGUUCCUUCUGCUUAUAUUGAGAAACCACGUUUCCCUAUUAGGAUAAAGGAACAUGCUAAAGUUUCAACUGUGGUUAACAAAAGCUAUAUUAGAACACCUAAACCUGAUGAACAAAUUAAAUUAGAACCUAGUAUUGCUAUGGUUAAAGAUAUCUUAGAGGUAGAUAUGGAUAGGCAUGUUAUUUACUUCUGUGAAGAAGCUGCUAGAAUUGCCAAACCUGAUAAAAAGGAUAAACAUAGACCUAUUGUUGGCAUGUCUAUCAUCUCAAUUAAAAUAGGAGAUCACUGUUAUCAUGGUUUAUGUGACAUAGGUGCUAGUAUGAGUGUUAUUCCCUACACAUUAUAUCAAGAAAUUAUGAAUGACAUAGCACCCGUAGAGAUAGAAGAAAUUGAUGUUACUAUUAAACUUGCUAAUAGAGACACUAUAUCACCAAUUGGGAUUAUUAGAGAUGUUGAAGUCUUGUGUGGGAACAUAAAAUACCCUACUGAUUUUCUUGUUCUUGGUUCCCCACAAGAUGACUUUUUUCCCACUAUCUUUGGUAGACCUUUCUUGAACACCGUUAAUGCUAGAAUAGAUUGUGAGAAACAAACUUUCGGUGUUAGUUUUGGUAAUGAGUCUCAUGAGUUUAAUUUUUCCAAGUUUAGUAGAAAUCUUCAUGAAAAAUAAUUGCCCAGUACGGAUGAAUUAAUUGGUCUUGCUUCUAUUGUUGUACCACCUACUGAUCCUUUAGAACAAUAUUUGCUAGACCAUGAAAAUGAUUUACAUAUGCAUGAAAUAGAUAAAAUUUUCUUUGAACAACGUCCUCUGCUUAAACACAAUUUGCCUAUUGAAACUCUAGGAGGUCCUCCUCCACCUAAAGGUGACCCUGUGUUUGAAUUAAAACAAUUGCCAGACACUUCGAAAUAUGCUUAUCUUGAUGAAAAGAAGAUAUAUCAUGUUAUUAUUAGUGCUAACCUUUUAGAACAUGAAGAAGAAAGAUCAUUGAAAGUUCUAAGGAAGCACCGAGCUGCCAUUGGAUGUACUCUUGAUGAUUUAAAGGGCAUUAGUCCCACUCUAUGUCAGCACAAAAUUAAUAUGGAACCUGAUGCUAAACCCAUUGUUGAUCACCAACGUCGGUUAAAUCCAAAGAUGAAAGAAGUGGUAAGAACGGAAAUAUUAAAACUUCUAGAAGCAGGUAUAAUCUAUCCCAUAGUUGAUAGUAGAUGGGUAAGUCGUGUUCAUUGUGUUCCUAAGAAAGGAGGUAUAACUAUUGUUCCUAAUGAUAAGAAUGAACUUAUUCCACAAAAAAUUGCUACAAGCUACAAAAUGGUAAUUGAUUUUAGAAAAUUAAAUAAAGCAACUAGAAAAGAUCAUUACCCCUUUGCCUUUUAUUGAUCAAAUGCUUGAAAGAUUAUCUAAGCACACACACUUUUGCUUCCUUGAUGGAUAUUCUGGCUUUUCACAAAUACCUGUUUCUCAACCUGAUCAAGAAAAGACCACUUUUACUUGUCCCUUUGGAACCUAUGCUUAUAGACGUAUGCCUUUUGGUUUAUGUAAUGCACAUGCUACCUUUCAAAGAUGUAUGACUGCUAUAUUCUCUGACUUUUAUGAAAAGAUUGUUGAGGUUUUCAUGAAUGACUUUUCUGUUUAUGGGAAGUCUUUUGAUGAUUGUUUAAGCAAUCUUGAUCGAGUUUUGCAGAGAUGUGAACAAACAAAUCUUGUCUUGAAUUGGGAGAAGUGCCACUUUAUGGUUAAUGAAGGCAUUGUCUUGGGUCAUAAAAUUUCUGAAAGAGGUAUUGAAGUGGACCAAGCUAAGGUUGAUGCAAUUGAGAAAAUGUCGUGUCCUAAAGAUAUAAAAGGUAUUCAUAGUUUCUUAGGUCAUGUUGGUUUCUAUAGGAGAUUUAUCAAGGACUUUUCAAAAAAUUCUAGGCCUCUCACUAAUCUCUUGUAAAAGGAUAUUCCCUUUGUUUUUGAUGAUGAUUGUUUAGAAGCCUUUGAAACACUUAAGAAAGCUUUAAUUUCUGCACCUAUUGUUCAACCACCUGACUGGAACUUGCCUUUUGAAAUUAUGUGUGAUGCUAGUGAUUAUGCUGUUGGUGCUGUUCUAGGACAAAGAGUUGAUAAGAAACUAAAUGUUAUUCAUUAUGCUAGUAAAACUCUAGACAGUGCUCAAAGAAAUUAUACUACUACUGAAAAAGAAUUCUUAGCAGUGGUGUUUGCUUGUCAUAAGUUUAGACCUUGCAUUGUUGAUUCCAAAGUAACUGUUCACACAGACCAUGCUGCUAUUAAAUAUCUUAUGAAAAAGAAAUAUGCCAAACAUAUACUUAUUUGAUGGGUUCUCUUAUUACAAGAAUUUGAUUUACAUAUCAUUGAUAGAAAAGGACCUGAGAACCUAGUAACUGAUAAUUUGUCUAGGCUUGAAAAUGUGCUUGAUGACCCACUACCUAUUGAUGAUAGUUUUCCUGAUGAGCAGAUAGCUGCAGUAAAUGUUUCUCAUGGUACUCCUUGGUAUGCUGACUAUGCUAAUUACAUUGUUGCUAAAUAUUUACCACCUACCUUUACAUACCAACAAAAGAAAAAAUCUUCCAUGAUUUAAGACAUUACUUUUGGGAUGACCCACACCUUUAUAAAGAAGGAGUAGAUGGUAUUAUUAGACGUUGUGUACCUGAGCAUGAACAGGGACAAAUCCUACGAAAAUGUCACUCCGAAGCUUAUAGAGGGCAUCAUGUUGGAGAUAGGACUGCUCAUAAGGUAUCGAAGUCUGGAUUUUAUUGGCCUACUCUCUUCAAGGAUGCCUGUAAGUUCGUCUUAUCUUGUGAUGAAUGUCAAAGAAUAGGUAAUAUCAGUAAGCGUCAAGAAAUGCCUAUGAAUUAUUCACUUGUUAUUGAACCAUUUGAUGUUUGUGGAUUUGAUUAUAUGGGGCCUUUUCCUUCCUCUAAUGGGUAUACAUAUAGUUUGGUUGCUCUUGAUCUAAAUGGGUAGAAGCUAUUCCAACCAGUAGUGCUGAUCACAACACCUCUAUUAAAAUGCUUAAGGAAGUUAUUUUCCCAAGGGUUGGAGUCCCUAGAUAUUUAAUGACUGAUGGUGGUUCACACUUCAUUCAUGGUGCUUUCCGUAAAAUUCUUGCCAAGUAUGAUGUUAACCAUAGAAUUGCAUCACCAUAUCACCCUCAGUCUAGUGAUCAAGUUGAACUUAGCAACAGAGAAAUAAAAAUAAUCUGGCAAAAGACUGUUAGUAGGUCUAGGAAGAAUUGGUCUAAGAAAUUAGAUGAUGCACUUUGGGCUUAUAGAACAACACAUAAAAAUCCUAUUGGUAUGUCUCCUUAUAAAAUGGUUUAUGAAAAAACUUGUCAUUUGCCUAUUGAGUUAGAACAUAAAGCAUUUUGGGCAAUCAAAGAACUCAAUUAUGACUUCAAACUUGCUGGUGAAAAGAGGUUAUUUGAUAUUAGCUCUCUAGAUGUAUGGAGAACCCAAGCUUAUGAAAAUGUAAAAUUAUUCAAAGAAAAAGUUAAAAUGUGGCAUGACAAAAGAAUUCAAAAGCGUGAGUUUAAAGUCGGAGAAUAUGUUUUUUGUACAACUCUCAUUUCAGAUUCUUUGCAGGAAAACUCCUCUCAAAAUGGGAAGGCCCAUAUGUCAUCGAGGAGGUUUACCGGUCUGGAGCCAUCAAAAUAAAUAAUUCCGAAGGUACUAACCCGAAGGUUGUCUAUGGGCAACGAAUAAAGCAUUAUAUCUCAGGUACACCUAUUAAUGUUGAAAGUAAUAUUAUCCAAACUUUGACACCGGAAGAACACAUAAAAGAGUCCUUCCGGAACACUCUAGAAUCGUGAAAAUAAGGAGGUACGUGAUACGGUAAGUAAACAGACUCCGAAAAAUCCACAUUUUUUUCUUUCUGUUUUGGGAUAUUUAAAAUUAUUGGAAAUAAAGAAACUUCCAGGAAGUGUCCCCUGGUGGGAACAAGAUACCAGGGUGCACCAGGCUUGCGUGGCGCACCCAGGUGGGUUGUGCCCACCUGGGACACCUUCUAUACUCCGUUUUUUACCAUAUGCUUGUCCUCCAAGAUAAAAAAUUUAUAUAUACUUCCCGAACCUUUUGAUCACCGUAUCGUGAAGAAAUCCUCUGUUCUCUUUUUCUUGCUGCUUUCCUGAUAGAUAUGAAAAUAUGUCUUCCCAAGACUCUGAGGGUGAGAGCUAUGUUGCUGAUUUCAUCGCAAACCCCAAUUCCUAUGGGGAUGAGGGGCACUAUAGCUGGACCUCCGAAGAGGAAGAAGAUGAAUCGGUUCCUCCCCGGUUCAAAAACGAGAGCAUGGAGGCGUUAUGCAAGAGGAUAAUAAAACUCGAGAUGGAUAAUGACGAGUUGAGGAUAGAUAAUUUUAUUCUCCGGCAAAAACCGGGGGAAGCUAAGGGGAAACCCUCCACUUUCUCACCACCACCAUUGCCUGGAAAUCCGAGAACACUUCUUCGUCACCAACAUCACCUUCUUCACCACCAAAAGAGAACUGAGUAUUGGGUAUGGGCACUCCCCUUGGCUUUCGCCAAGCUUGGGGGAGAUGCCCUGGUAUUGUAUCAUCCCACUAUCUUGUUACUUUUACUUAUUUUAGUUCCAUCUUUUGCUUUAGAUGAAUAAAAGUUUAGUUUGAUUCUUUCUUCUUUGAGAGUUUCCUUAGUGAUCUAUCCUUGUAAUCGUGUGCAAGUUGUAUAAUAAAGUUUAGUUUGAGUUUUUGCUUUCUUUACUUUCAUGUCGCAAAUAAAAGAAAAGAAAUAAGAGAAAGGUAAUAAAUAAAAGAAAAGAAAGAAAUAAUGAAAAAUAUUAUAUACUAAUCCUAUGGUAGGUGAUGGCAUCACAUAAGGAAAAGUAUAAGUAGGAUUAAUAAGGGAAUAGAAGAUUCACAUAUAAAUACUAUCCUAGAAAUCUUUUGUGAUUGUGAGCCCUCAUCAAAAUAUUAUAUGCCAAAAAAUUUGACGUUGGACCACGAAGACAACUUAAUGAUUUAUGCUUGUUCAUAUUCACAUAGAAGUCAUAUUGUCAUAGAUCCUUUAACAUGUGGUGCUUGCCCCUAUCUUUGCUAGCCAAAAAUUCCGCACUAAGUAGAGAUACUGCUUGUGCAUCCAAAAACCCUUAAACCCAAAUCUUAUUUUUCAAGUGUCCACCAUACCUACCUAGGGAUUGAGCAAGAUCCAUCAAGUAAGUUGUCAUCGGUGCAAAAAGGCAAUAAAAUUUGCUUCUAAAAGUGUGAGAUCAUUUGAUGUAAGAGAAAAUUGAGCGUUGCACGAACUUGUGAUGGUGAAGAAUAAAAGCGACAGACUGCAUAUAAAUGUCGCUAUCACAACGGGCAAUGUAACGUGACGUUCUUUUGCACUAAGGGAUUGGGCAUACAAACAAAUAAGCGCAUGGCAACCUCUGUUUCCCUUUGCGAAGGGCCUAUCUUUUACUUUUGUGUAUUUACUUUUAUGCAAAGAGUCAAAGUUUUCCUUCUAUUCCUUUUUAUUUUUAUCUUUUGGCAAGCAACAUGUGGUGAGGAGAGAUCUAGGCACAUAUGUGCAGUUGAAUAUGGGUGGCAUGCGUUAUUAUUGUUGACAUCCCCCUUGAGGUGAGUACGUUGGGAGGCGAAACCAUAAGCCCCUAUCUUUCUAUGUGUCUGGUUGAAACAUUUUGCUCAUGUGUACGCGAUGAGUGUUAGCAAUCAUAGAAGACUAUAUGAUGGUUGAGUAUGUGGACUUGCCUAAAGGCUCUGGCACACGACCCUUCCUGAAAAGAUGAUGACUUGUAGUUGCAAAGUUGACUGAGAACAUAGUUUGUUGGUUUCUAAUAGAGUUUUUGUUUUAUACUCUGAUUGUGUGAUGAACUAUUACUUAUUCAUGAGAAGUAUAUGAUAAAAGUCCUAUGUUUAAUUUUGUUGUUGUUAUAAUAAUCAACAUGAUGCUUCUAUGUCCAUAUUUUGUUUUUAUCGACACCUCUCUCUCAAACCAUGUGGACAUGUUUUUCGAUUUCGGUUUUUGCUUGAGGACAAACGAGGUCUAAGCUUGGGGGAGUUGAUAUGUCCAUUUUGCAUCAUGUUUUCUUACUGUUAUUUAUGAUGUUUUUAUCCAUAAUAAUGCUUUUUGGAGUAAUUCUAAUGCCUUUUCUCUCAUAAUUUGCAAGGUACACACCAAGAGGGAGAAUUCUGGCAGCGGAAAAUCUGGACCUGAAAAAGCUACAUCAGGCUACCUAUUAUGCACAACUCCAAACAAGCUGAAACUUCACGAGGAUUUUUUAUGGAAUAUUUAAGAAUUAUUAGAGCCAAUAAGUACUAGAGGGGGGCCACCAGGUGGGCACAACCCACUUGGGCGCGCUAGGCAGCCCAGGCGCGCCCUGGUGGGUUGUGUUCCCCUCGGCCCAUCUCUGGUGCCCAUCUUUUGGUAUGUAAGUCAUUUUGACCUAGAAAACAAAAUAAGAGGAGGACUUUCGGGACGAAGCGCCGCCGCCUCGAGGCGAAACUUGGGAAGGAACACUUUUGCCCUCCGGUGGAGCGAUUCCACUAGGGGAACUUCCCUCCCGAAGGGGGAAAUCAUCGUCAUCAUCAUCACCAACAACUCUCCCAUAUUGGGGAGGGCAAUCUCCAUCAACAUCUUCAACAACACCAUCUCCUCUCAAACCCUAGUUCAUCUCUUGUGUUCAAUCUUGUUACCGGAGCUAUAGAUUGGUACUUGUGGGUGACUAGUAGUGUUGAUUACAUCUUGUAGUUGAUUACGAUAUGGUUUAUUUGGUGGAAGAUUAUAUGCUCAGAUCCAAUAUGCUAUUUAAUACCCCUCUGAUCCUGAGCAUGUUUAUCAUUUGUGAGUAGUUACCUUUGUUCUUUAGGUCACGAGAGAAAUCAUGUUGCAAGUAAUCAUGUGAAUUUGAUAUGUGUUCGAUAUUUUGAUAGUAUGUAUGUUGUGAUUCCCUUAGUGGUGUCAUGUGAACGUCGACUGCAUGACACUUCACCAUAUUUGGGCCUAAGGGAAUGCAUUGUGGAGUAGCAAUUAGAUGAUGGGUUGCGAGAGUGAUAGAAACUUAAACCCCAGUUUAUGCGCUAUUCUGUAAGGGACCGAUUGGAUCCAAAAGUUUAAUGUUAUGGUUAGAAUUUAUUCUUAAUACUCUUCUCGUAGUUACGAAUGCUUGUGGGAGGGUUAAUCAUAAGUAUGAGGUUUGUUCAAGUAAGAACAACACCUAAGCACCGGUCCACCCACGUAUCAAAUUAUCAAAGUACCGAACACGAAUUAAACCAACAUGAUGAAAGUGACUAGACGAAAUUCCCAUGUACCCUCAAGAAUGUUUUGCUUAUCAUAAGAGACCAUUUUGGCCUGUCCUUUGCCUCAAAAGGAUUGGGCUACCUUGCUGCACUUUUGUUACUACUAUCGUUACUUGCUCGUUACAAAUUAUCUUGCUAUCAAACUACUUUGUUACUUACAAUUUCAGCACUUGCAGACAUCACCUUGCUGAAAACUACUUGUCAUUUCCUUCUGCUUCUUGUUGGGUUUGACACUCUUACUUAUCAAAAAGAGCUACAAUUGAUCCCCUAUACUUGUGGGUCAUCAACAUGGAUGAGGACAGUACCCAGGGAAAUUUCCAUCCAAAUUUGAAUUAUCAAACUCAUCCCAUGCGCGUAAAGCGGAAGAAUCGUUUGUGAUGAACACAAUCGUUCAAAGUGAAUGGUGUCCGGCGGCACCGCACGCAAAGUUUCCCACCACAUUUUGAAAUUUUUGGCCUACGAAAUAUCUACCCCCGCCCCCUUCCCCACCCCUUUUCUCCCCGACCACAAGUCAUAUUUCCCAUGUUUCCUCCUCCCUCCUUUCCUUCCUUCCUUCAUAAGCUAUAGCCGCUUCCUCGAUUGCUUCCUCGCUCUCGCCGUCUCGCAUCCUACCGCCGGGGGCGCCAUGGUCUUCUUCAAUGACCUCUCCAGUGAUUCCUCUUCCGACGACAAAUCCUUCACCACCCGGGUAUGCCUCUCUUUUCUCUCUCGGGCUAUGACUUGGAAUGAAGGAUUUUAACCCGGCGGUCGAUUUGAGUCAUUUCUCCCUCUUGUAGCUCCCUAGGACCAUCAGUUGCAACGAAUGGAGCGGGGUGGCUGAAGAUCUGUCUGCUCGUUGUCACCAUCAAUCUCCAUGUGUGAAGAUAGUUGCGUUUGAAUUUGUGGACAGUGGGAGGAAGUUUCUGGCAUGUGCAAAGAAGGUUAGUCCCCUCUUUCGUUGUUACAAAUCAUUUGUUAGAUGUGAUUGUUCUUUAAAUUUGCAUCUUUACGGAUCCCACUAUUAAGAAACCCAUGAGAAGAAUUAAUGAUGUUCUUAUUGUUGCAAAUAGGAAUUAUGUGCCCGUAGAUUUCAUCGUUCUUGAUACAGAUUGCAAUCCUACACGUCCUAUUAUUCUUGGUAGACUUUCCCUUAGAACGAUUGAUGCAAUUAUUGAUAUGGAAGAAGGAAAUAUUAUAUUUCAAUUUUCAUUAAGGAAGGGCAUGGAACACUUCCCAAGAAAGAAAAUUAAAUUGCCAUAUGAAUCUAUUAUGAGAGCUACUUACGGAUUUCAUACCAAAGAUGACAAUACCUAGGUCUAUUUGUGUUUUAUGCCUAGCUAAGGGCGUUAAACAAUAGCGUUUGUUGGGAGGCAACCCAUUAUUUUUUGUUCUUUGCUUUUUGGUUCUGCUUUGCAAUAAAUAAUUUAUAUAAUCUCUGUUUAGAUGUGAUUUUGUGUUUUAAUUACUGUUUGUGCCAAGUAAGACCUUUAGGAUGGCUUACGAUGAUAGUUGAUUUGAUCUUGCUGAAAAACAUAAACUUCUGUGCCCAGGAAAAUAAUUUCCAUUUUUAACAGAAGCGUGAUAAAAUACUGAUUCUUUUUGCAGAAGAUUAAUAAACAAAUUGCCCAGGUUGUCCUAAUGUUUCAUAAUUUUUGGAGUUACAGAAGUAUUCGAGAGUCACAGAUUACUACAGACUGUUCUGUUUUUGACAGAUUCUAUUUUCUAUGUGUUGUUUGCUUAUUUUGAUGAAUCUAUGGGUAGUGUUAGGGGGUAUGAACCAUGGAAGAGUUGGAAUACAGUAGAUAUUACAUCAAUAUAAAUAAAGAAUGAGUUCACAACAUUACCAAAUGUGGUGAUUUAAUUACUUAUACUAACGGAGCUUAUGAGAUUUUCUGUUGAGUUUUGUGUUGUGAAGUUUUCAAGUUUUGGAUAAGGAUUUGAUAGACUAUGAAAUAAGGAGUGGCAAGAGCCUAAGCAUGGGGAUGCCCAAGGCACCCCAAGGUAAUAUUCAAGGACAACCAGGAGCCUAAGCUUGGGGAUGCCCCGGAAGGCAUCCCCUUUUCGUCUUCGUCUAUCAGUAACUUUACUUGAGGCUAUAUUUUUAUUCAUCACAUGAUGUGUGUUUUGCUUGGAACAUCUUGUAUGAUACGAGUCUUUGCUUUUUAGUUUGCCACAAUCAUCCUUGCUGUACACACAUUUUGAGAGGGACACACAUUAAUCGUGAUUUAUCAGAAUACUCUAUGUGCUUCACUUACAUAUUUUGAGUUAGGCAUUCUUGCUCUUGUGCUUCAUUUAUAUCUUUUAGAGCACGGCGGUGGCUUUAUAUUGUAGAAAUUAUUGAACUCUCAUGCUUCAUUUAUAUUAUUUUGAGAGUCUCUAUACAACAUGGUAAUUUGCUUUGGUUAUGAACUUAGUCCUAAUAUGAUAGACAUCCAAGAGGGAUAUAAUAAAAACUUUCAUAUAAAGUGCAUUGAAUACUAUGAAUAUUAUUUUUUACCCUUUAUUAUUCCACAAGUGCAUAUGAGUUUUUCACUGAAUUGCACAUUCUAGGAUCAUAGAAAUUAUAGCAUAGAAUAAAAACUCUUAAUUAUGAACAUGGAUAUAUAAUAAUAUAAUAUUAUUUCCUAUAGGGCAUAUUUCCAACAGAGACGACUAUGUAGUGGCAACGUCGAAGCGGAACCAUGGUAUGGAAUGUAACCCCGUGUGAAGGAGUUCCAUAACCCUAGGGUGAUCCGCCUACUGAAAAAAACUGGAAUACUACAAUACAGGGUAACUGGAAUUACCGUCACACUAGCACACUUGAUGUAUACCAUGAUCCGAAGUUCACCUAAUAUCUCUAUUGUAAGAAAACACUUUAUUUUCUGUCUUUUCUUUACUUCUAAGUUUUUAUAUUCUCGCAACCACAAUCCAAUAUUUUUACCACUUCGGUUUAUUUCCAAAGAAAAUAAAAUAGCUUCUGCAGACACUCAAACCGUUACUUCACACGAGCACGGUGACAACUUGUGUGUGAUCGAAACGCCACUCAUAAAUACUCUCCCCCGCCCUUCACUGGGACGAUUACUAUUAACAAAAGUGCUACACUGCCAUGCGUGUCUUACAAGUCAUGAGCUUCUGAUUUUCUUGUCUUGGACGACUAGACCUCCAGAGUCUUCCUUCUACAGAGCCCAUGGACUGAUAUGAUGACACAAGACAAAAACCGACCCAGGGGGCCUUGGGGAGGCCCGACAACCAACAGUGUGAGGCACCCAUGAGUCGUAACACCAUCUACGUGCUUUCCACUCAAGUUCCGCUUGUAAAUUGUUUAACCAAAGUUAUGCUAGGCAAAAAAACAUUCCAAGUUGGAAUGCAGUUUAGGGCAUCUUCAACGCUAAACCUCAAAACGGACACGGUGUUUGUCCGCACGCAGUGUUGAGGGAGCCGACCAUCCAGCCUUGUCCCCUAAAACUUCGUCCGUAGGGGGCGGAGGGUACCUGGUUGCAGAGGGAAUCUAGGUGGACGACCAUGUAGGACAAGGAGCGCGUACACGUUGCUAGGGGCCACUGAUGUCCUAUGAUGCCCGGGCGACAGCCGAAGAGGUACAACGAUUGUGGCGGAUGAGAAAGGUGCGGAUCCAAAGCAGGGGGAGCAGGGGCGGAGUGGGAGAAAAGUGGAUCGGGGAUGUCAGAGUCGUGUGUGGUGGCAGUCCCGACUCCCGCAAAGCCCCACAUCUACGACCCGGAUGGAUGCAGGGUGGUCGAGGGUCCGCGUUGGAGAUGCCUUACUUACUUAAAAUGUGUCGAGUGUUGCAGAUUAUGCGAUUGAUACACUUCUUCAAUUUUUCAGGGCACACAAACUGCACGACACUUUGUUACAACAAUUUACAUGCAUCUCCUUCCAUUUUGAGAUGCUCAGAAAUUUCAAACAAUGUAGUAUAAACGAAAUCGAAAGUCCAAAUUCCAAACCCCAAGCCGAGGAGGGAAGGGAAGGCAACAUUUCCUAUCUGGUGCUCUCAGCGCCCAUUAAAGGCUAUUCUACAAACCUGCGCAUACCCUCCUCCGGCAUGGGCUUGGCCCGUUUACGCUUUCUCUUCCGUUUCUUCAAAACUUCAAAAAACAAGUGUCUGUGGGAUUUUAUCCCUGAAACUCCAGGUUCGAUUCUAACUGCGAUAACCAGCUGGGACACCUCACGUCUUGUGAUUACCUAUUUCUUUUAUUCGUUCCGUGCUGCGUGAACUUGUAGUAACAAUAAAGAUUGGACUCUGUUUUUUCCCUGUUUUCUUUGGCCGGUUUUUACUCGUUUUUUUGUUUUUGUUUUCUGUUUCCUUUUCCUUUUUCUUUCUCCUUAAACACGUGGACUUUUCUCAAAACCGCAAUAUUUUUUUCCAAGUUUUGGCUAACAUUCAAGUGAACUUAUUUUCAAAAUUUAUGAUUUUUUUUAAAUUGAUGAGUUUUUUCUUCAAAAUUGAUGAACUUUUUUUCAAAUUCGAUGAACUUAUUUAAAAUUCAAUGAACUUUUCUCAAAUUUCGUGAACUUUUUUCAAAUUUGAUGAACUUUCUUUCAUAAUCGUUGGACUUUUUUCAAAUCGAUGAACUUUUCUGAAAUUUGUGAACCUUUUCCAAAUCUUGCGAGCUUUUUUCAAAUCCAUGUACGCCAUGAAAUCCGUGAACCUUUUUAAAAUUCAAGAACUUUUUCAAGUCUAUUUAACUUUUCAAAUCUGUGAAAAUGUAGUUUUUAUCUUGAAACAAAGACCAGUCCAGAAGAAAGAAAAUCGAGCAAACAGAUCUUUUUUUUAGCCAAACGGGCGAACAGGCCAGGGGCGAAGAGCGAGCGAGCGGAGAGAACAGGCUAGCGAUGAGUAUCAAUGGGCUUCGCCCUGUAAAAUCGGUUUCGGCCCUCAAAAAAAAAAAGGAGCUCCCACGCGGCGAGCGAGAGAGAUGGCGGGAAAGCGAGCUCCGUCUCCCGCGCGGCCCCAGAACACCCGCCCUUUCCCAAACCGAUCCUCCCCUUCACCGACAUGUGGGGCCGCAGCAUCUCGGACCCACUCGCAGGCCAAUCUUCCAGGGGAAGGGAGCGCGAGCGGGAAAAUAUUUCGCGUUCCCUCCNNNNNNNNNNNNNNNNNNNNNNNNNNNNNNNNNNNNNNNNNNNNNNNNNNNNNNNNNNNNNNNNNNNNNNNNNNNNNNNNNNNNNNNNNNNNNNNNNNNNNNNNNNNNNNNNNNNNNNNNNNNNNNNNNNNNNNNNNNNNNNNNNNNNNNNNNNNNNNNNNNNNNNNNNNNNNNNNNNNNNNNNNNNNNNNNNNNNNNNNNNNNNNNNNNNNNNNNNNNNNNNNNNNNNNNNNNNNNNNNNNNNNNNNNNNNNNNNNNNNNNNNNNNNNNNNNNNNNNNNNNNNNNNNNNNNNNNNNNNNNNNNNNNNNNNNNNNNNNNNNNNNNNNNNNNNNNNNNNNNNNNNNNNNNNNNNNNNNNNNNNNNNNNNNNNNNNNNNNNNNNNNNNNNNNNNNNNNNNNNNNNNNNNCCAUUCCCCUCUCCACCGCGCACUCCCGCCUCUCCCAAAUCCUAGGGUUUCUCGAUCCACCCCUCCCUCACACCCCGCCGCCGCCGCCGCCGCCGUCGCCGUCCGCCGCACUCCCGAGGGUUUCUCGAUCCACCCCCGCCCCCUUCGCGCCCCGCCGCCGCCGGCCCCCGCCCGCCCGCGAAGAUGUUGGAGCUGAGGCUGGUGCAGGGGAGCCUGCUGAAGAAGGUGCUGGAGGCGAUCAAGGAGCUGGUGACGGACGCCAACUUCGACUGCUCCGGGACGGGCUUCUCGCUGCAGGCCAUGGACUCCUCCCACGUCGCGCUCGUCGCCCUGCUCCUCCGCUCCGAGGGAUUCGAGCACUACCGCUGCGACCGCAACCUCUCCAUGGGCAUGAACCUCGGCAACAUGGCCAAGAUGCUCCGCUGCGCGGGCAACGACGACAUCAUCACCAUCAAGGCCGACGACGGCUCCGACACCGUCACCUUCAUGUUCGAGUCACCCAGUAAGCACCCCUCUGCACAUCUCUUCCUGUCGGUCCUCUUCCUUAUCCGUGGGUGUCGAUGGUAACCGUGGUUUGGGUGGGUCAACAGACCAGGAUAAGAUUGCCGACUUCGAGAUGAAGCUCAUGGACAUCGACAGCGAGCACCUCGGGAUCCCAGACUCUGAGUACCAGGCCAUCGUUCGCAUGCCCUCCUCGGAGUUCUCCAGGAUCUGCAAGGAUCUUAGCAGCAUCGGCGACACUGGUAUGCGGAAUCCCCCAUUUCCUGUAUUAUUGUGGUCUGCUGCACUAGUCAUCUCUGUUUCUUACAUGUCUCAUGGCUGACGCGGUUUCUGUGCGCUGCAGUUAUUAUUUCUGUCACCAAGGAGGGUGUCAAGUUCUCCACUGCUGGAGAUAUUGGAACCGCAAACAUUGUUUGCAGGCAGAACAAGACCGUUGACAAGGUAUCCUGCAUUGUUCCUCCACUAGUUUGUAUAGAUCUGUUCCCCUUUCAUGCAUUUAUAUUGUGGUUUUGUGGUGUAUUGCAUAAUGAGAGUCAGGAAUCCCGAUUGCAGGGAUGAUUGUAGUUUGUCAAUACCUUAAUUGUAGCAACAUAAAUAGUCAGCUGCACCCAAUUCUCAACCAGAUUGUUUACUAAUCACUCAGUUAUUAUAUUUGGACGAUUUGGUAGUUAUUGUUGCUGGUGUAGUUUAUUUAUGAUAAAAUUGCCCAGCAUGUCUUCAUAGAUGCACACUACCCAGUCCUGCUGUUUUAUUCCUUUACAUGGCUUAAAAUGAUGCUUUGAAAUGUUUAGUUUGUUUACAUUAUUACAUAGUUUUUCACUUCAAAAAGUGUUGUUAGUUGUACAUAGCUUUGUCUACUGAAGGUUGAGUCCAACAGAUCUACAAGGACUGCAGCUACAUAUUUUUGUAACAUGCUAUUUACUAUACAAAGUGAUUUUGAUGGCCCCUGUACUCUGAGCUGGCGAACCUGGCAACUGAAGUGAUAGUUGCAAGUGUAAAAUAUUGGAGUACCAUUUUAAAAUUGUGGUUGAGGUGGUCAGUGAACAAAAAAAGACCUGUAUUCAGCUUAAGCCAUGUGGAGUAUUAAUCUCACCUAUAGUUUACACUUGCAAAUAUUAUUUCAGUUUGAGCCUUGGUUUUCAUAUUGGAGUACCAUUUCAGGGACAUGUAUCAGUAUGGUAGCUAAUGAAUGUUUGUAUCAAUGCAGCCUGAGGAAUCUACCAUUAUAGAAAUGCAAGAGCCGGUUUCACUUACCUUUGCUCUGAGGUACAUGAACUCCUUCACUAAGGCAAGCCCACUGUCAGACCAAGUCACCAUCAGCCUCUCAUCUGAACUGCCAGUGGUUGUUGAGUACAAGAUUGGCGAGAUGGGCUACAUUAGGUUUUAUUUGGCACCCAAGAUUGAAGAGGAUGAGGAAAUGAAGGCAUGAUUGUGUUUCAAGGAUCUGCUUAUUUUGCCUUCAUUAGGUUUUAUCUGGCACCCCAAGAUCGAAGAGAAUUUAGGAAAUGAAGGCAAAUUAUGUUUCAAGGAUGUGCUCAUCUUGCCUAUGUUCACAGUCGUUAAAUCAACCUCCAUUUGCUUAACGAUUGUUUGUAAGCAAAAAUGAUGUUAUGCUUGUUUUAGCUACUUGUAUCUGUGACUGGUGGUUCAUGGAUUUUCAUCUAUGAAUGUUGGUGUUUUAGGAGCUACUUGUAUCUGUGACUGUUGGUCUAUGUUACACCAGUGCUGUUAUUGUUAGGCAACGACUUAGAUUGUUUUUUUAUCAUAAAAUUCUACUGGUUGGUCCUUCGAUUGAAUGCAUUUUAGGUAUUGCGAGUGCAAUGAUUGCAACUGCAAAAACUGUCCUAAUAAUGCUAAUUGUCAUUGCUGGAGGCAUUACAAGUUGCGGAGCUGCCACUAUCAGGGGUACAAGUGCUUCCAUUGCAACAUGUACCCCCCAGGUGCCAGCACUACUGCCAAUGCCUGCAAGGCUGCAACCUCUGUAGGCGUGUGAGUGUGAGCUCUCUCCCUGCUAGGUAAUUUGGCAAUGGCAAUGUUUAUUUAGAGUAAGGCAUAUAGUGAGAUGGGAUGUGUAAACAAAAGUCUACAUAGCAGUUCCAAUGCUAUGCCUUGAACUGCUUAGCCAUCUCUCCUACAUAAGUUAUUAUGGAAAAUAAACCGAGUGAAUAGCGAGUUUUUCUUAUUCCUGCAGUAUAGGUACAACCGCAACCACUCGGGGGUUCCAUAGUUCUAUUGGAAAAAUUCCUUUUGAUCUAAGUGGAAGGAUACAUGAUUUUUUACUAGAAAUUGUGCUCCUAUAAAAUAAAAGUUUUAAUUUGGGUUUUCCUGCAACUUGGUUGAAGAAAUUGAAACCGAUAACUACUCUACCUACUUGGACAUUGUGAUUGUACAGCUGGUAUUCUGUGUCUCAAAGUUAAGAGCAUCUCUAGUGGCUUGUCUAAAUUUGGUAGUCUAUAUCUUCACAUACACAAUGGUGUAAAAAAAUUUCAUUUUAGACAACCUCAGUUUUUCAGUGGAUUGUCUAAAUUUGAUAGUCUAUAUUCCCAACGGCUACAUUUUGGACGUGGCGCGGGUGUCCUUCUCGUCUCCAACAGCUCCGGAUUGGCACGGAAGAGAGCUCACGAGGAGCAUCUCUCGUUUGGACAUCCUCGCUCGGUAGUCCAAAUAUAGACGAUGUGUAGCUAGUCUGAUGGAUGUCUAAAAUUUAGACCACGCCAUACACCAGCCGCUGGAGACGUUUUUUGGCCUCUGGUGGUCUAUAUCUGGCUUAGACUAUGGGAUACACUAGGCCACUAGAGAUGCUCUAAUUGAGAAAUAAUGUCUAGGUUUUCCCCCUUCUAUUGAGAGUAGGGAAAGCCUUUGUCUGGAAAUUAUUUUUGUUAAUUGUUGAAUUUUUUCCUAUCUGCAGGAUAUGAAAUACUCAUAUCCAAGGAGGAAAUACUGCAAGUGCAAGAACUUGAAUGUAGGCUCCCUUAUAAUUUGUUAAAACAAUAUGCAUCAUAAGGAUCUUGUUGCUAUUGAAUUUGUCUUUAAGGUAAAUAUUUUAUCCCUCAAGUCAUUUUCCAGCCCUUAAAGGUUAGUGCUUAUUUACGUAUAUUACUACCUGUGAAAAAUCUCAUUGUGAUUGUACGUGCAUAGCAUGUGCAUAUGCUUGUAUUGCUAUGUGCCAAGUGCUGCUGACCAGUCGCUGGGCACAAUGCAAACAGGCAAAAUAAUGUAUAAUGAACCUCCAAAUGAAACCAGAUAUAGUUGGUAUUUCUUGGUAGUAUUUUCUUUCAUAAUUUGAUGCUAGAGUUCUAGAGUUCGUGUUCUAUGCUUUGUGGUUAGUUUCCUUCCCAGGCUACAUCUUUAGAGCACUUAUAAUAGAAAAUACGGAAAUAAAUAGAACAAAUAAUUCUAGAUUGCUGUUGUUGUUCCUUUGUGUCUUGCACUGUCAGGAUAAUUUUUAACUGAAUUAAAAAAAAACAAUCUAAAAUAGUGCCAAAGUUAUAACGAAAGCAAAUGCUCCCUCCAUUUGAAUUGAUUGAAGUUCUAGUUUUGUCCUAAGUCAAACUUUAUAUUUGACCAAGCUAUUAAAAUGUUCUAAUAUCUACAACAGUAAUGAGAUUUUGCUUUCUAUCUGAGCACUUGCAUUACUGAUGAACUCCUUACAUUCUCUCAAGUCAGUUGAAGGCCCUUACUAUUUUUAAUAGCUAGGCAACGACUUGAAUUGUAUUCUUUAUCAUAAAAUUCUACUGAUUGGUCUUUUGAUUGAAUGCAUUUCUAGGUAUUGUGAGUGUUUUGCAUCAGGUAGAUACUGCAGUGAUUGCAACUGCAAAAACUGUUCUAGUAAUGUUAGUCAUGAGGCUGCAAGAUAGGAUGCUAUCAAUACUGUGAUGGAAAGGAAUCCUGUGGCCUUUAUGUCCAAAAUUGGGAAUAUCCCUCCACAUGCAGCCCAGAAUGGCGAGGUAGAGCACAAUGUAUAUUUCGCAAGAAUCACUUGUGUUUUCUUCUAGUUGCUGAAGGGCUUGGCUAUCUAUGUCUUGUUUUGCCUGUUUCCUUGUCGGUAUCCAAAAUUUAAACACAAUGAAGUGGCCCGUAAAUACGGCGCAAAUAAUGUUCUGAGGUCAAGACUCAUAUAUCAUUAGACUAAAGUGUCACAUCUUUAUAUUUUUAUGUGCAAUAGAUCGGUGAGAUUUGGGCAUCAACAAUGAUAGAGAGGUCAAAUCCCCUUUUUGUCAUCUAGAACUUGUCUUCCAAUGUUAGCAACUGAUACAUGGAGUCAUGGAUUGCCAUUACCUGACUCCCUUUUGGGUACAUUGCUUAAAAUCGAGAAUUUUGAGCAUGGUGUUCUGCUAGCAGUGCCGAUUCUUGAACCCAUACCAUGAGUUGAGGGCUUAAGGUUAGCAAUAGUCGUAUGACAAACAAGCCAAAUUCUGAGUUGUAUACCAAUAUGUUUGCCUUCUCAUGUCAUGUAGGAAAUCCAUUCUCAUUACAUCCCAGUUUAAAGUGGCAGAAGGCCCUGUUGUGGUUAAGCACACGAAGGGGUGCCACUGCAAGAGAUCUGAGUGCCUGAAGAAAUACCGUGAGUGCUUUCAAUCUAAUGUUCUCUGUUCAGAGAACUGCAAAUGUACGGAUUGCAAGAACUAUGAGAGCAGUGAAGAUAUGAAAGCAAUAGGCCUUAUCACCCAGUGGCACCUUGUCUAUUCACAUGAUAUGCAGAAUCCUGCUAUAAUGUUGGCUCUUUCUCAUGCAGUAGAAAAGCUCUCCAAUCUCUCAGUGGCUCCAUUAGGCAGAGAUCAGGUCAUCAGUAAAAAUGAUUGUUCACAAGUAAUUCUUUUACAGGACCCCUUUUAUAAUUUUCCGGAAAGGCUUUCAUAAUUUUCAUGCCUUCUGCUUUCGUUAUGUGGACUUAGAAAUAAUUUAAGGUAUAUAGACUAUAGCAGCCAAACAUGUGUGGUGUCUUAUGGAUAGCUGACUGAAUAUGUAUGGUUAGUAGCUCAAAUGCUAUAACAUAUCGUUCAGUUAAAAUAAAAGCUAAAUAAAUGUUGAAAUUCUGGUUAUUAACAUAUACUUUUGUCUUUUCCCAUGUCAGGUGACUUCGUCUUUCCUCACCCCUGUUCCUAUAGAAGGCACUCAAAGUACUGUCAAAUUAGCGCCGCAAGGAGUUACUUAUAGACGACAUUUUGCCCAUGAUUAUAGCCAAUUUCUCAUCUGAACUUAUUUAAUUGUGCUGUCUGACAUAUAUUUCUUAUCUUCCCCGAGGCCACUUUUAGCUGAUAUUAUCCAGAUAGAGAAUGUCGAUGAGCUCUGUAAAGUAUUGGUUCUAGUAUUAAGGCAAGCUGCCGGAACAUUUGUAGGUAUUGUUUUUCUCUGCAGAAGAAUAAUCAUAGCUAUGAUCCUAAUAUGUGAUUCGUUAUGCUAAAUGGUUUUCUGUUUGCUAGCUCACAUUCUUCUGGUAAGUUGAUUUGCCAUCAAACUAUUAGGAAGUACAGCAUAGAAUAGAGAGACCUUGUCACAUUCAGUUCAAGGGAAUGCUUUGUUACUCCACCUAAAGAAAAUUUGCACAUACCUUAAAAGUAGAACUCACUAUCUGACACCAGGUGCAAAUCUUCUCAGUUAGUACCAAGUGAUUGCAAGUUGCUUAGAAGAAGCCUUCGAUGUUUGCUUCUGUUUUGGCUGAGAACUCACACGUACAGAACUUUUAUUGCCAGUGGUAUAUUUCAUUGAAGGAUUUAAUGGCGAAACAUGCAUAUAUCUUAUCAGGGUGUAUAUGUUCUCUGAAUCUCACAACUAUUUCGUAUUCAGGUGUUCAGGAGAACACAACAGAAAAUUAGAUCGAUCAGAGAGUUGCCUUUGUUCCACAAACCAUGACACGGAAGCAAUUCAGAAACAACAUGAUGAACAAGUGUGCUCAAAAGAAAACAGUUUAACCACAGUUACUGCAAUUCUCUCAGUCGCCAAGCAGAAAUUGCCAGACACUUACAAAGAGCAAGAGAAGCGUAUUCUGAAGAUUUUGCGUGAGGUUGUGAACCGCGGAAGACUUCAUAGUGGGUGCCAGCAGAUCAUCAAGUUCUGUAGAUACAGUACAACAGCAGCCAUUAUCCAAAUAAGAGACGCUGAAACCAUCUAAACCUGUAGUUAUUUUCUGGCUCUUUGUAUUUGUUCGUUAUCAGCACUGCUGCAAAUAAGUAUCCAUAUUUAACAGCUCUUGGUUUCUGCAGAAGAGAAGCUCUCUUGGAUGUCAUCCAAGUUCCACGAGCGAACCUCUGUCGGCAGCAGCUGCAGCUCGUCCGUAUCAAGGGUUGCAGAGGUUGCCAGGAUGGGGCAAACAAUCCGACAAGCGCUCCAUUCUCCAGCAGGUAUCAAAUCACCAGGUCUUUUGUCAAUGGAUACGUCUCAAUCCAAUAACUGAACUGCGAUGAGCAGCCCAGUGCCAUGAGCAUAAUGCUGCAGCCAAAAUGAUGAUUUAAUUUUCUGCACAAAAAGGCCGCAACGCAACGCAAAACGAAGGCACCACCUCCCAAGUGCUCCCCAACUACUUACCCAAACACCGCAUAUCCGAUCGACCUCCCGUCAUCGUUCCUCGACACCAUGGCCCAAGGCCAAGAAAGCAAGUGCACGAGUUGGACGAUAGGCGUGACAGCGAUAGUUAUCAUGAUAGGUAUUUUUGCUCCUCUUGCGUGGUACGCCGAGAGGCCAGCUGACACGACGUACGAGGCGACCAUCACCAGCGUGGGCGGCCUGGACCCGGCCCUGGAUCUCCACGGCGACCGGCAGGCGCUCAGCCCGGUGUUCGGCAUCACCGUGCGCGUCGACAGCACCCGCAACAAGGUCUUCAAGAAGCGCAUCGGCGGCGCCGGCUCCUCCGUGGUGGUGUCCUACGGGGACGCGCUGCUCGCCAAGGGCGCCGUGCCGGAGCUCUGCGUGCACACGUCAGGGGUGGGAGAGGUGGCGGCCGAGGCGUGGGGCUUGAACGUGCAGGUGCCUCAGUUCCUCCGGGACCGGCUGGCCGGCGAGAUAGAGAGCGGCCAGGCGGUGGUGGACGUGGCGGUGCGGACUCCCGUGGGGUGCUACAUAAACGGAUGCUUGGACGCGGUGCUUGUCUGCAAGGCCAGGAUCCAGGGCGGUUCUUCUCCGUGUUUUUCUAUGUAGAGAGAGGCUAUCAGCGGCACGGGCGCAAACGGAUGGUUUCGAGCGUUUUUUUGCGGUUUAUUUUAUUUUUGCUUAGGAUAGCAUGAAGGGGUUUUUGUUUUCAAUCAAGCACCAUCUUUUAUAGUGGAUCCAAAUUUUGUAUUCUCUAUCAAGAACUGUGUUUAACAGUUGAUCUGAUUUUUGUAUUUGCAAUCAAGAACUGUGUUUUAUAGUGGAUCUGGAUUACUACCCGCAAAAAAGAGUAUAUUAUACUACAAUAAAUGCAUACAUUCCCUCCGUCACAUAAUGCGUUCAUCACUUUUCGUGAAAACCAAAUAUCACAAAUUUGAUCAAGUUUAUAGAAAAAAUAAUACAAAACAUAUACUAUAUGAGAUAUAUUUCAUGAUGAAUCUAAUGGUAUUGAUUUGGUAUAGGAAAAUUAUAUAUAUCCAUAAUACAAAAUAUAUAUUGUAUUAAUAUUCUGGAUGAAUCUAAUGGUAUUGAUUUGAUAUUAUAGGUGUUGAUAAAUAUAUUUAUAAACUUGAUCAAAGUCCAAAUAUGCUAAAUGGAGGACGAGCUCCAUGGAGCUCUUUUUUAUCUGAAAACAUAAUAAUAAUAAUAUUAUUAUUAUUAUUAAAUCAUAUUUUGAAGUUUCAAAAUAUUCUAAAAAAAAUCACACACGACACGUGUGUAAAUUUUCAAGAUGAUAUACAUUAUGGUGAGAGCUACACAAGAAAGACAAAAUCAUGAUUUUGAAAAUGAUGAACAAUAUACACACUGUUCACUAUUAAAAAUACACCAAACAAUAAUGUAUUUCAUCUUCAGACUUUACAGGCAUGUAAAAUACAUCCCUAUGAACCCGUAUGAUUGUUUUUCAGUUUUUUUUUUAAUUUCAAAAUGUGAUUUUUUUAAAAAGAGCUCCAUGGAGCUCGUCCUCUGAAAUGCCCCACUCAUCAAAGUUUUAAAGUUUUAAAAAAAUCUCAAUUUUUUACGUGUUCAUAUGGAUGUAUUCUACAUGUGUAUAAAGUCUGACAAUGAAAUACAUUAUCGUGAAAGCUACACAAAAAAGACAAAUCCGUGCAUUUUUAUAGUGAAUAGUGCACAUACUCCCUCCGUUCC
This 89810-nucleotide long non-coding RNA is filed under the name Triticum aestivum (bread wheat). RNAcentral describes it as "long non-coding RNA (TAES_LNC021120)". The stretch from base 15419 to 15505 matches the Rfam family "MIR1120/MIR1122 microRNA precursor family". Lineage: Eukaryota; Viridiplantae; Streptophyta; Magnoliopsida; Poales; Poaceae. The record is from RNAcentral.